This 93511-nucleotide long non-coding RNA is filed under the name Malus domestica (apple). Lineage: Eukaryota; Viridiplantae; Streptophyta; Magnoliopsida; Rosales; Rosaceae. The record is from RNAcentral.
CAGCCACUACUACAUGUCAUCCCGACAACCCACUCUCAGCUUCCCAAACCGCCAUUUUUCACCCACUCACUUACCUCUCUCUCUCUCUCUCUCUCUCUCUCUCUCUCUCUCUCUCUCUCUUACCCAAGCCACUGCCAUUAUUCAUUCAAUCAACCCAAAACACGAGAGCCACCCCAUCUCACCACUCGAACAGAUGCAGCCACCCACCCAUUUAAUCCCAGUCCAAAAUCAAACCCUCUCCUAAACCCACCCCAGAAUCCAAUAAUUUCAAAAAAUGGCUGAUUAUAUCAUUUCAAGAACCUCACAAUUCCAAAAACUAAAAACCCACUUCAAAGAUGUAAUAUUUUUCUCUCUUCCUCUUUUUGGGUUUUUUUUUUUUAUCAAUUCUCUUCUGGGUUUUUGUUUACAGUGUAAAAUCAACACUAAUUUACUAAUUUUGCUUUGAUUUUUCAAACACUAUUGAGGCGUGAUAACCUGUUGCAAGCUCAGCCAUGGCGGCUACUGCAAAAUCUAACGGAAAAACCAUCACAGACUCUGCCAUUUCAUCCAAGGUUCCGACAAUAGCAAACCCUUUAACGAAUAGCUGUCGCAGAUUUCUUCCAACAUCAAUCACCACGCGAAAUUAAUUGUCAAUGAAGACGAUCCCAUUCCCCUUCGAAAUCUGCUGGGGGAAAGAGGCCUUCUUUCAUAUCUGCUCUGAGACCUGUUUAUGCGAGAGAGUGGUGAGCCUGACGACAGAGAGAAAGAAGGGCAGGAUUGGAAAAUUGGAAAGUUCAUUUAUUGGUUACUGUUUAUCCGUGUUUCUUCGAAAUAAGCUGCUUUUUCCAGCUUUGGGUUUUCAGUAUUUUUUUAACCCAUAAUUUUGAAAGAAAAAAAACUGAUUUGAAAUGUUAUCAAACACUUAAAAUGUUCCAAUCUUUUUUCAUACCUAUUUUUUUUAUUAAAAGUUAAGCUAAACAAAAACCAGGAUUAAGUUUACUACUUUGAAGUUUCUUGCUUUUCAACAUUUCAUACAUUGAAUUUUUCUCAUCCAGUGUCAUACCUAAGGUGAGAAUUGUGGGACACUUUUAUACAUCCGUUAGAUUUUCUGUGAAUUAUGGGACACUUUUAUACAUCCGUUAGAUUUUUUGUGAUAACCUUCGCUGACCCACGAUGCGGCAUGCAUGUGGACAUUAAAAAAAAUUCAAAAAUUCAAAAAUUCAAAAAUUUUAAAAUUUAAAAUUCAAAAAUACUAAAAACCUAAACUUUUCAUAAUAUUGAGUUGAGAGACUGAAUCUUUUCACACUCGGCCAAAUUUUCUUUGAAUUUUAAUUAAAUGAAACAAUGAAUCUUGAACAAAGCAAAACAAAACGUAAUAUUGAGAGAUUCAGUCAUUGAAGUGGACGUGGAUGUUGGGUACUCAAUAGUCCAAGAAUGAAAAUUCUCAUAUCAGUUUCUAUCCAAAAUUUUGGAAUUAUGUGUGUUGCAACGAUUGUCCAAAGGAUUAUUCUUCUUUUAUUAAAUUUCCAUGAAAAAUGAGCAUGGGGGCAUAAAAAUUGAACGAAUGAAAUUUCAACGAUUUGAAAAGGGUUGUGAGUUUGACACGUCAUUUUUCUUCCUUUAAUGCAAUCAUGUUUAUUAAAAGACAAAAAUAAAUAUGACUUUACAUAAGGAGAGAGAAAGAAUAGUUUUCUUUGAAAAAAUCAACCAUUUAUUGAAGAGGGAUGUUGAUAAGGAGAUGAGACAUUCAUUAGAAGCUAGAAAAAAGAAGUUAAAAGUGAUUUAGAAAAAAGCAAGAAAGCCACAUUUUCAAAGUGGUGGUCAUUGCACAAUACUUAAUUAGAAGAAAACUCAUAGUAUUGUAUUUACAAUUUCAAGUCUUUAUGGGGAACGAGAGUGCAAAUUUUCCAAUUGGAAUAUGAUAUGAAAUUUCUAGAUAACUAUAUAUGACAAAGAAAGAAGUCUAAGUUUCUAAGUGGUAGGGCUUCCAAUUGAUGUGAGUUUGUUGAGAAAUGUAGAUGAAGAUGAAUAUUGUUGUUGAUGUUAGUGAACAACAGAACAAGUUGCUUCUCCUUUGGCCUUCUAACAUGAUAUCACGGAAAACAAGUUGUUGCUAAUAAAUGUAUCUGAUUGGUGGACUUAGACGUGCGCGGUACGAUUUUUGAUAACGAGAAAAGAUGGACAGUGUCAUGACAAAAUUUAUCCAAGUAGACCCAAAGGAAAGACUUAGGAACUUCAUAUGCAGUGGGAUAAAAUCUUAAGCUAAUUUCCUUACCUAUUUUAUAGUCAUUAAGUAAAAUGUAUAUGUAUAUUUCUAGAUGCUGACACACCAAUGUACUUACUAUUAACUCCUUUCAAAUACCCAUUCGCAGAAACGCAAAUCUCUCUUGCAUGCUUGUUGUAAUGCUCAUGUAGUGCGUAUCUAAUAUCUUAUGUGUAUAAUUUUUUGUGAUCCAUUUUUUCAUCACUAUGCCAAAAUCCCUUUAGAAUUUGCAAUUUAUCCAUUUGGUUAUGGUAAAAAAAAAAACUCGGAAUUUCAUUUAAACUCAAAAAUCUAGAAUUGGGAAAGCAAUUUUCCCUUGUUCGGCAACUUGUAGCGAUAGCAAAGGCAAAUUGUACAGGAAAAAAGUGGAAAUUGGGGAUGAAGAUCCAAUUUUAAUUUCGUCAAAAUAAGUGUAAUUUCACAAUUCCAACAACGUUGAGAACAAAUGCAUUGCGGGGAAAUCUUGCGACCACCAAACUUUACGAUUAGAGGGCCAAAUUUCAUGAUAAAACGUAAUAAGGGUUUAGGACUGCAUCGUUCACUUUGUUAACUCUCCAAUCUUCGACGGGAUUUUCAACUCGUGCAUCAUCUUUUGCUUUGUUCUAGGUCAAAGCCUACUCUUUUCUUUCUUGAAUUAUUUUAGCUUUGAGGGUAUACUCUUUAGGCCAAUUGUGAAUUUUGCUAGUUAUUUUUAUUUUCUGAUGGUCAUAUGUUUGUUUUGUUUUUUUUUUCUUCCAAUUGAGAUGUGUAUUGGUUGGAUCAGUAACUUUUUUUUUGGAUUUUUAUUUUUAUUUUUAUGGAUUUUGGUGUUAGUUCCUUGUUAUAGAUGUUGUGGAGCAAAAAAUAAUCUCAAAAAUCGUGGAGGUGACACACGGAUUUUUGGACAAGAAUGACAAAAUUAUCCUCGAAGCACAUCAGGAUUCCCACGUGCAUGCAACGGACAAUAACGGCUCAAUCAUGGAAGAGUCAAAGGUGAUCAAUAUGGUAUUUAUUCAAAUCCCUCUCAUCACUCCUCAUCAAUCCCUUUUUUAUUUUAUUCAAAAGGUAACUCCCAAAACUUCCUAUUUAAUUUAGGGAUCAUUGUCAUGUUAAUUGCAAGAUAUUAUUUCACAAAAUAUCUUGUAAUUAUUCUUCAAUUACCACCAUGUAUGGCCGGCCACUCCUCACAUUAUGGGCCGGUCACUCCUCACCCUAUGGGUCGGCCACUCCCUAUAAAUAGCCCUAUUAUUCCACUAAUAAGGAAGCCAUUUGCUACCCACAAACUCCUAAACACAUUCUUUCAGAAUUCUAACUUUGGCAUUGGAGAUUCUUAGGCCAAAUCCCCCCUCCCAUUCAUCAUGGGCGCAUAAGGCUUUUGGCCUUAGUCUUAGGUAUUAUUAUUUUGCAGGUGCAUUUUUGUCAAAGACGAAGAUGGUGAAAAUUUGCAUCCACAAAUUGGUGUUUUCAUUGAGAGUUUGAUUCAUAAGCUCGAAGAAGACUCACAUUCAAAGUUUCACAUUUCUCAUUCAUAAGUAAAUUUUUCAUACGUUCUUAUUCCUAAAAUUUUUUAAAUCUUUGAAUAGACGUAUGAGAGAAAUACAAUGGCUAGAAAUUUAGAAACCACGACGAACGAAACUUCCUACGUUCAAAGAUCCAGAUAAAAUGAUGGAAAUUGCGAUGUAGCCCCACCACGACGAUCCACGAAGCUCAACGUGGUGGCAAAAUGAGUAACUUGGCCACCACGGAGUACCACCACCACCAUAGCCAAGGCAACCCAUGUUGCAGUGGGGAGUGGGACAGCUUCAUGGCAGCAAAGCCACGAAGCAACAAUAAAUGCCAUCUUGCAGUAAUGAGCCCAGGCCCGUGUCACAAGGCAGUCAACCCAGCGCUAGGUAACCUAGAUCUAGUAGGCCCACGACGUUGCCAUAGCAGCUGAGGCCUAAAGCAAGGCCCAAACAGUUGCGGUUGCGGCAAAUGGAGCAGCACAACACUGGCGGGGCCAAUGCACCCUUGGCCUAAUGCUAAGCAGGCUAAAUCGCACCACACCCACUAUUCAAACUAACCCUAAGUUGAGUAAGUAGCAUUGAAGGUUGUCAACCGCAAGGCGUUGAAGUACGAAUAAAGUUACACACCCCGCACAUGACUUGGCCCACUUCCGCGGCCCAACUUGCUCGCAAGGUCCACCUAGUGAUCCCGACUAGUCGAAGGCCAGUUUAAUCAUCCCAUCUUCAGAUUUCUGGACUGACGAUUGAAUCGGGGGUAUUUUCACCCCGAUUUUCUACAGAUUUGACAUAUCUCAACUCAAAUCUCGCACUUGGAGUCCAUUGCACUUCCAUUACUCAAGGAGACGCAUACCAUUUAAGAUCUUCCAUCCCAAAUGGCGAACAACACUUGUCUCGACAAGUCAUAGAGUUGACAUGCGCUUUUGCGCAGUAGACGACCUUAGUGAAUCAGCUCUUGCAACGCACAUAGAUGCAGUGUGCCCCAGACGAUGUGUCCCGAAGUAAGACAAGUACAGAUGACGAUUCUCUCCAGCAGCGUCCCAACAAGCAGCCGCUCGACUAGCCACGAACCGAGCGUUCUGGCAGUGUACACUCCCGUCUAGGUCCUCAAGAAAGCGUAUACUCUCGUCUUAGCGCGCGAAUGAGCGUGCACUCAUGGUUAGGCCUAUGGACGAGCAUACAUUCACGGUUGGGACCAUACUCUUAUAAUUAACAUGGACAACCUGCUAGACGAAGUGUUCAUUCGCGGCUAGGCCCGCAAAAAGCAUUUUCCACCUCAUAUUGGAGUAAGCAGCACAGAAGACGAAGAUAAGCAGUCAAUUAAUCUGGCUCAAAUUCAAUCGGCCACCUGUAAGUAACCAGUUCGCCUGCCAAGAACGUAUCAUAUGCAAUGUAGCCACGACAUAGACUAGAUGAGCACAACGAUAAGCAACCUAGACUAACAGGUUACGACUGGGGGCAGCCAGAAGCUCUGCUGCCCCAAUAGAGGUAAAUUUAGAAAGAAGUUGAGAGGCUCAUGACCGAACAAUUGUGCGAUUUCCAACGCAACGAAGCUACUGACAAGGCGCUUAAACGAUACACGACCAACAUAAAUGGGUCACCUUUUAUUGACAAGAUUGAGCAGACAGAACCAUCCUACAUACACUGGCGGAUACAAAGAUUACAUCUAUUUUAACAUAUGCAUCAACUCAGCCUAAUGGCGUGUCGAGGGCAAAUGGGUACCAGAAUGGCACACCAGCCCAACCACCAAGAACCAGGGCCAAAUCUUAUUUUCAUCACUCCACACGAUUCAAUACUUGAGCAGCACAUCACCAGUAAUCGAGCACCGCAGACCUAAUGGUCCAAUUCCUCCUGAUGCACACAAGCUCACCCCAGCUCCACGCUCAAAGCCUUGCCUACCUGCUCCACAACACUCAGCCACCCUUGAUUUGUCACCAUGGCUCACAAUUAUGCCAAUUUUGCACCACAGCUCAUAGCCGUGCUAAUCUUGCCAUGCGGCUCUUAACUACGUUAACCAAGCCCACGAUACUUUAUACUUCAAAGCAUCCAACGACGGAGUAGAACACGAGGCUCUACUAGCAGCCCCUGCUAGUGAAAGACUUUGCGGUGAAGAGGCUUCCAAUCCAUUCAAAUUCUCAGUUGACCACCUGUUGGGUUUUACGACUCAAAAUUAGGAUGAUGCAAAAAAAAUUGUGUUACCUAUUUGGUUUUGGUGUCGUAUUUGGGUUUGGAUUUUGACCUCUUAGUUGGUUUCCGUGGUGGAGAGAUUUUGUUAAUUACCUAUUUGAUUAGGAUUUGGAUUUACUUCCUAUUAAGAUUCUUAUUGUAACCUAAGUCUUAUGCACUAUAAAUAGGACCUCAGGGUUAGUGUAUUUUGUGUGGCUCAUUCGUGUGGCAAUUUGGUGAGAGUCAAUUUGUGAGUUUGUGAGUUAGAGAGCAAUUUGGGAGAAUCUUCUCCGUUAGUUUUGGGUUCUCUACUCGUUUGGUUUAGGGUUUGUAAUUUGUGGGAUUUGGAUUGUGAGAGUCUGAACACUAUUUUGUAAUCUCCGUUUGUUUAGUGAAAUUUCUUGUCAUGCUUCGCUCGUGGACUUAGAUUUUACACCGAACCACAUAAAUCUCUUGUGUUAGUUUGAGAUUGUUUGUUUUAGUUUUCACCUACGACGUUGAUAUCGGUACUUUGUUAGAAUUCGCUUUCCUUUGCUCAUAAAAGUACAACAAGUGGUAUCAGAGCCCGGCUUUCGGCUUGGGCUUUGCUUGGCAAUCACUAUGAAGCCUUCUGUGUCGUCGGUGAAAGUUGAUAUUGAAAAGUUCGAUGGCAAUGACUUUGGUAUUUGGCAAUUGAAGAUGCGUACUUUGUUAAUUCAACAAGAGCUUUUAAAAACGCUAAAGGGUGUGAAGGCUUUCCUGAAUUCGUGGACUGAUGAAGAAAAAAAAAGAUGUUAUGGAGCGGGCACUUGGAACAAUCCUGCUAACUUUAUCGAAUGAAGUCUUGCGUCAAGUUGGUAGCAUCAAAUCUGCACCGAAGUUGUGGCUAAAAUUGGAGAGUUUGUAUAUGACCAAAUCCCUUGCUAAAUGGUUGUAUUUGAAGAAAAGUUUGCGUACUCUUCGUAUGGAUGAAGGUACGUCAAUUCAUAAGACCAAAUCCUUAUUGCUGCCAAAAGUCCUCAACAGUUCCAAGGGAGAUGGGUAAGAGUUCGUAAUAGUGAGAGAUUGAAUCUUUUCACACUCGGCCAAAUUUUAAUUUUAAUUAGAUGAAACAAUGAAUCUUGAACAAAGCAAAACAAAAUUUAAUACUGAGAGAUUGAAUCAUUGAAGUGGACGUGGAUGUUGGGUACUCAACAGUCCAAGAAUGAAAACUCUCAUAUAAGUUUUUAUCCAAAAUUUUGGAAUUAUGUGAGUAUUGCAACGAUUGUCCGAAUGAUUAUUCUUCUUUUAUUAAAUUUCCAUGGAAAAUGAGCAUGGGGCACAAAAGUUGAACGAAUGAAAUUUCAAUGAUCUGCAAAGGGAUUGUGAGUUUGACAUGCCAUUUUUCUUCCUUUUAUGCAGUCAUGUUUAUUAAAAGACAAAAAUAAAUAUGACUUUACAUAAGGAGAGAGAAAGAGUAUUUUUCCUUGAAAAAAUCAACUAUUUAUUGAAGAGGAUGUGGAUGUUGAUUGAUGCGCAUUGUGAAUAGGAAAAAAAUAACCUUGAAGGGAGACGAGACAUUCAUUAGAAGCUAAAAAAAAGUUAUAGUGAUUUAGAAAAAAAAAGUUUUAACGAAACAUUUCCGGUACUGUUUACUCUUUACGAAAAACCACAUUUUUACCUUUCCUAACUACUAUUCACUACAUCUUUAUUUAUCAUUUUUCAUUAAAACUAAAGUUUUUGUUUUAACUUUUCGUUAGUUUCCUUUAGAAAAAAGCAAGAAAGCCUCAUUUUCAAAGUGGUAGUCCUUGAAACAAUACUUGAUUAGAAGAAAAGUCAUAGUAUUGUAUUUACAAUCUCAAGUCUUGAGGGGUAACGAGAAUGCAAGUUUCUAAUUGGAAUAUGAUAUGAAAUUUCUACAUAACUAUAUAUGACAAAGAAAGAAGUCUAAGUUUCUAAGUGGAAGGGCUUCCAAUUGAUGUGAGUUUGUUGAGAAAUGAAGAUGAAGAUGAAUAUUGUUGUUGAUGUGAGUUAGUGAACAACAGAACAAGUUGCUUCUCCUUUGGCCUUCUAACAUGAUAUUACCGGAAAACAAGUUGUUACUAGUAAAUGUAACUGACUGGUGAACUAAGACAUGCGGUACGAUUUUUGAUAACUAGAGAAGAUGAACAGUGUCGUGACAAAAUUUAUCCAAGUAGACCCAAGGGAAAGACUUAGGAACUUCAUAUGCAGUGGGAUAAAAUCUUAAGCUAAUUUCCUUUUUAAUCUUAUAGUCAUUAUGUAAAAUGUAUAUGCAUAUUUCUAGAUACAUACACACCAAUGUACAUAAUAUUAACUCCUUUUAAGUAGUCAUUUGCAAAUCCCUCUCGAGUGCUCUUUGGAAUGCUCAUGUGGUGCCGUUCUAAUCUCUUAUAUAUAACUUUUUGUGAUCCAUUUUUUCAUCAAUAUGCCAAAAUCCCUUUAGAAUUUGCAACUUAUCUUUUUGGUUACGGUAAAAAAAAAACUCGGAAUUUCAUUUAAACUCGAAAAUCUAGGGAUGUGAAAGCAAUUUUCUCUUGUUCGGCAACAUGUAGCGAGAGCAAAGGCAAAUUGUACAGGAAAAAGUUAGAAAUUUGGGAUGAAGAUUCCCAAUUUUAAUUUCGUCUAAAUAAGUGUAAUUUCACAAUUCUAACUACGAUGAGAAUCACAAAUAUAUUGCAGGGAAAUCUUGCGACAACCAAACUUUACGAUUAGGGUGCCAAAUUUCGUGAUAAAACCUAAUAAGGGUUUAGGGCUACAUUGUUCACUCUGUUAACUCUCCAAAUCUUCGACGGGAUUUUCGGCUCGUGCAUCAUCUUCUUGCUUUGUUCUAGGUCAACGCCUCUACUCUCUUCUUUCUUGUAUUAUUUUAGCUUUUCAGGUAGACUCUUUAUGGCUGUUGUGAAUUUUGCUAGUUAUUUUUAUUUUCUGAUAGUCAUUUGUUUGUUGUGCGUUUUUCCUUCCAAUUGAAUUGUGUAUUGGUUGGAUUUGUAACAUUUAUUUUUUUUAUUUUAUUUUAUGGAUUUUGGUGUUAGUUCUUUGUCAUGGAUGUUGUCCUUUUGAAGGUUAACAAUAGCCAAGACUAAACAUGAUGAUUUUGGUGUUAAUUACUUUCUCAUGAUACUAAUGCCAUAUUGUUCUCUAUUUUGCACUCACAAGUAAAGAGAAAUAUCCUAGACCCUAACUGGAUAUGUUAUUGUCAUGGUCAUGCAUUGGUAUGGUAACAAUAUGUUUGGAUAAGGAAAAUAAACUUAGAAUUUGACAAAAGAUAAAAUUUAUAAAUUGAUACAAUCAAUUCCUUUGUUUAGAUUCAUAAACAUAGAAAUUUAAACUUUCCGCGUGAGAAAAAACUUGGAAUUUGGGACCUUCAAUUCUCAUGUUUAAAUUUUAUGUAAAUAGGUGUCAUUUCUAAAUUUCAGUAAGUGAGAAUUUAAAAAUAACAAACAUGUAUUCAAAUUUCAUUCAUCUUUUAGGUUAACCAAACAAGAAAUUUUAUAAAUUCUAGAAAAUAAAAUUUCGUUAUUUCAAUUUCUGUUAUUUUAAAAUUAGUAAUCUUAAAUUUUCUCAUCCAAACAAAAAGUUUCCUUGUCAUAGAACUUUCAAUUGGGAUCAAGGAAGACAAUCUUUUCACAACUGAUUAUUCUCACCAAAUUUUAUUAUUAUUUUAAAGCAGAUCAAUACCAAACUUCAAAAGCAAAGUAGGAAGGCUAAAAUUAAGGUGAAGAACCUACUUCCACUAAUUACCAUGGGAGGGAGAGAGAGAGAACCAAGCGAGAGAGAAGAGAGAGAAAACACCAAGUAGUAUUAUAAUAUAGGUGGGGUUAAAUCACCUUUCGUGAAGUUGUAGUAAGAGCAGCUCCAGCGGGAGCUCCAACUUGAUGUACCGGUGAGAUUUCCUACCCAAUAGCCCCAGCUCCUUGCUCCAGUCCAUGCGGGUGAUUGGGCUGAGGGGGGCCGAGUGAGAGGCCUGACUCGAAUCGGUGGCCUGAGAGCCUGAGACCAAAAAUUAUCUUUUUGGAUAAUGACACGUGGUGCAACGAGAACGAUUAAAAAUCUUAUCCGAAAUUACAAAUAGAAUUAUUUUGUAUUAUUUUAUAAAAUAAAAAAUACUAAUAUUUUAUUGCUUAUUGACAUGACUAUUCAAUUACGGGUGGAGAUGCAGAAGACAAUUAUUAUUCAUUAAAGGUAAUUAUUGUUCAUUGGAGGGGAUUGAAUAUGAAGUUGCACUAGAAGGCCUUUGUCACGGCAAUAGGCAAUUACUGUUCUAAGGACUUCUAUCCUAGAAGAGAGACAAAAACACCAAGUAGUAUUAUAAUAUAGGUGGGGUUAAAUCACCUUCCGUGAAGUUGCAGAUAGAGUAAGGACUUCUAUCCUAGAAGAGAGACAAAAACACCAAGUAGUAUUAUAAUAUAGGUGGGGUUAAAUCACCUUCCGUGAAGUUGCAGAUAGAGUAAGGACUUCUAUCCUAGAAGAGAGACAAAAACACCAAGUAGUAUUAUAAUAUAGGUGGGGUUAAAUCACCUUCCGCGAAGCUGCAUUAAGGACUUCUAUCCUAGAAGAGAGACAAGAACACCAAGUAGUAUUAUAAUAUAGGUGGGGUUAAAUCACCUUACGUGAAGUUGCAGUAAGGACUUCUAUCCUAGAAGAGAGACAAAAACACCAAGUAGGAUUAUAAUAUAGGUGGGGUUAAAUCACCUUACGUGAAGUUGCAGAUAGAGUAAGGACUUCUAUCCUAGAAGAGAGACAAAAACACCAAGUAGUAUUAUAAUAUAGGUGGGGUUAAAUCACCUUCCGUGAAGUUGCAGUAAGGACUUCUAUCCUAGAGAAAAGUCGGUCAAUGGUGUUUGACACAGUCAGUCAACGAUAAAGACAGAAUUGUGUAACCAUAAUUCUCUCUCUAUCUCUUUUUCAUUAACGGAGGACAGUGUAUAAUUACUACGUAUACAUCUCUGCUCAAUUAUUGAAAAGAAAAAUCCAUGUGCAUUAUUUUUAUUAUUAUUAUCUCAGAAAUGCAGAAAUUGAUCAUCUCUUCCUUCUGCAUAUUGAUACUGGUUUUCUUCAAACUAGUUGAAGCAAGCCAAUAUGUGUGCGCGAAAUCCAACUGUAGCAAUGAUCAACGCCCGGCUAUCCAUUUCCCAUUGAACAUCAGGCGCACACAUCAUUGUGGAAAUUCUGGGCUUGAAUGCAAUGGGAGAUAUGGGCAGCAAAUACUAAUAAAAUUAUUUGUCAAACACAUUGAUUACAAGCGUCAGGAAAUCCAAGUCUAUUCCCCAAGUAACUGCCUGCUGCUAAAGCAUGUUGAAAUCCCAAACAUGCCACCCUCUCCCUUCAACGUGUCAGUCGAUGACUACAUGAGUACCCUUACCUUAUUCAGUUGUCCUACUUCUGUUGCAAGACGAGAUACGUAUCAAGUCCCCUGCCUCGGCGACCCUGGCAAGAAAACUUAUGCCAUUCGUUCUUACUAUGAUUUUGGAACUCUCUUCCAGAAUCUACAAUCCUGUACAAAAAUGUAUGAUGUUUUAUCAGUUCCAAUAGCCUAUGAAUAUUAUGUUUUUCGUUUCAAAUGGUCUAUACCAAAUUGCAGAAAAUGUGGAGAGGGAAAGAAGUGUGGAUGGCAGAACAAUGAAAUUAAAUGUCUUCCCUGGAGGAAACCAAGUAAGGAUAACAUAUGUAUUCAUUGCUAGUUUUAAACAUCUUUACAUUUAUGUCUUAGUAAUUAUUAUUUGAAGGAUGUUGUCCAAUCCAUUUUUACUAGGAAUAUUACCUGACAGUCUCGUUUAAAUUCGCAAUGAUCUUCUACAGGCAACACAUGGAAAAAAGUGGUUACAGGUGGAAUCCUGUGUGCUUUGCUUCUUGUUCUACUGACGAUUGCAGCAUAUCGGGUAUAUAGCGCUGAUAGAAAGGAGAAAGAGAGUCGAUUAAGAAUUGAAAGAUUCUUGGAGGACUACAAAGCACUCAAACCAAGCAGGUAUUCGUACGCAGAUAUUAAGAGGAUUACAAAUCAAUUCAAGGACAAGUUGGGCCAAGGAGCCUAUGGAACUGUCUUCAAAGGAAUGCUCUCUUCUGAAUUUUUUAUUGCUGUCAAAGUCCUCAACAGUUCCAAGGGAGAUGGGGAAGAGUUCGUAAAUGAAGUGCGAACGAUGGGUCAUAUCCACCAUUUAAACGUGGCUCGCUUGGUUGGAUUUUGUGCUGAUGGAUUUGUACGAGCUCUUGUUUACGAGUUCUUCCCCAAUGGUUCCCUGCAGGAUUUCAUUUCAUCUGCAGAUAGUAAGAAUUCAUUUCUUGGUUGGGAUAAACUGCAAGAUAUUGCCCUAGGCAUAGCCAAAGGAAUUGAAUAUCUUCACCAGGGAUGCGAUCUACGAAUCCUGCAUUUCGACAUCAAACCCCAUAAUGUUUUGCUAGACCAAAACUUCACUCCAAAAAUUUCUGAUUUUGGUAUGGCCAAGUUAUGUUCCAAGGAUCAAAGCUUGGUGUCCAUGACUACAGCUAGGGGGACCAUGGGCUACAUUGCACCUGAAGUGUUCUCCAGGAAUUUCGGAAAUGUGUCUUACAAGGCAGAUGUCUAUAGCUUUGGAAUGCUGCUGCUUGAGAUGGUAGGAGGAAGGAAGAAUAUUGGUUCAAUCACGGAUAACACUACAAAUGAAAUUUACUAUCCACAGUGGAUUUAUAAUCUUCUAGAGGAAGGGGAUGACCUACGAAUCCACAUUGGGGAAGAAGGAGAUGGUAAAAUUCCAAAGAAACUUGCAAUUAUAGGGCUAUGGUGUAUCCAAUGGCACCCGUCGGAUCGUCCUUCCAUGAAAAUAGCGGUUCAGAUGUUAGAAGGAGGAGGAGAAAGCUUGAGUAUGCCGCCUAAUCCCUUUGUGCCUACUGGUUCUACAACUAGGAAUGCAAGACGCCUAGAGCUAGAAGCUAUUGCUGAAUUAGAGUAAAAUGUAUAUGCAGAUAUGUAGACGUAUAGAUAUAGUAAUAUUUAUAUUGAAUAAGAGGCCGUUUGAUAACCAUUUCGUUUUCAGCUUUUAAUUUUUAUUUUUCACUUUUUUGAAAACUAAAAACUAAAAUCUUGUUUGGUAAAUACUUUUAGUUUAAAAAAAUUAUGAAGACUGAGAACUAAAAUGUGAAAGCUCAAAGGAAGUAGAUUAAAAGUAGUUACCAAACAAACUGGAAUCUCAAUAAUAAAAAAAGAUUGAAUUGCACAAUGCAAUCCAAACCAAUCAAAACAUUAAAAUAGCAAAAAAAAAUUAAAAUUCUAGUUGAUUAGAUUCUAAACGUAGUAAAAAUGAACAGAUCCAAUGAAAAAACAAAAAAUUCUCAAAUAAAAAUAGGGAUAAAGUAAAAUAUUUAUAAAUAGCUCUUUGUCUCUUAUGUCAUCAAUUAUUUCUAUAGUAUAUACAGGUUUUUGGAAAAAUUAGGUUCUCAUCCCUUAUUUUCAUAUUACAUUGAUUGAAAUCUUAUUAUUUUUCUAUUUUAGAUCAAGGUCCCUUGACUUAUUCCAUGUCAUCAUUUUAGUAUUUAAAAUAUUACACGUCAUCAUAAACGAAAUCUCAUCCCUUUCUGCAUUUAAGGCAAAAUAAACUAUAUGAGUAAGUUUAAAACAAGGAAAAUCCAUUUGAACUCCUCCAUUCUUCUUCUUCCCUUAUGCACAUCUGGAAUCUACAACACCCCAAACCCAAUUUUCUCCAUUUUUUCUCCAUUCCUGAAUUGAUCCAAUGCAUAUAUGUUGAAUAAACCUAUUGUGAUUAAAAUACAAAUUAGCAUCAAUGGUUUUAUCGGCUUGUGAGAUUUGUGUGGCAUAGGCAAGGCAAUGCAGGCAUUGCUUUCUCAAGGAAUCUGGUUGAUUCAAACAUGCAGAGACUGUAGAGUGAGCGGGCUAUGUGAAAAUUGUACCAUUCUGAAGUCAUUUUCUUUUGUUCUUUAUAUUUUUUUUCUUUUUCUUUUAUUAUUAUAUAUUAGUCUUGGUUAUUCAAUGUCUGGUUGGCUACACUUAUAUCCAUGGGUACAUUUUUAAUCUACAUGUUUCGUUCUAAUAUAUCUAUUGCUAUAAUAUGUUUUGGUUGGUUCAAAUUUGUUUUACAUAAAUAUAUGGGUACAAAGUUUUUGGAGAAUAUUAUGUAAAAUGGUUUUUAAGGUUGCUGCAUUUUACGUUCCCACAUAUGCAUGUCUAUAAAACAAUGUGGUAUGAUGUACAUUCUUUUCUUUGAGUUUUUAAAUGUACCCAUGAGUUUUCUUGUAAAUUCGUAUGUACCCAUAUGCUAUUUAUGUUAUGGGUACAUACAUUAUUUUUGGUCUAAGUUCAGGAUACAUUGCUUUUGUAUGUAUGAAUUCAUGGGGUACAUUAUUUCCCUUAAUACUACUCAAUAAAAUUCACAAAAAUAUGUGUAGUGUGCAUGAUUUUUUAUUGUAGAAAUUGUUUGUUUUUUUUAAGUCUCAUAAUUCAUGAAAUUUGUACAUAUAUGAUCCCAUAAAUUUUUUAAUUUUAUUAAAUUUCUGUUAGACUUGAUCGAUUGAUUGAAUCUCAUAAUACUAGGAUUUUGAAUUACAUAAAUUCUUGGAUUUGAAUCCCUUAAAUGUUGGACUGCAAUCAAUAUUUUAAAUUACAGUUUUUUGUUUAAGAUAUCAAAAAGAUGACAUGGGAAUAUAGUAAUACUAAAAUGCUGAGGUGUACAAAGUCAAGGGACUUUGAUCAAAACAUAAAAAACAAUAAGAUUUCAAUCUAACAAUUGAAUUGACUAGGGACCGGAACCAAAAUGACCCUAGAUUUUUAUUGAGUUUAAUCUUAAUCAAAAAAAGACUUCUUGUAUCACAGAAAAUACAAGAACCAUUAUUUGAAUGAAAUAAAAGCUAUGGGAUGGAGAUAUAAAUGGAUCCUUUUAUUCACAAUCGGAUUAUAUUUAUUUGAUACACUGUUGUCAAUAUGAAUGUUGAGAAAAGACUACAAAAGAAAAAACAAUUUAUAAAUAUAACUAAAAAUUCCAAUUUCAAUCAAUUAGAUAAUUAGAAUUAUAAGAAGAAAAAAAACAGAAAUCUCAGUUUUCAGUUUAAAAAAAAAUGAAAACAAAAACUGAAAACUGAAAACAAAAUGGUUAUCAAAGCCGUCCAAAUAAUAGAAGUUUGUUUCCACUCUUUGUUUAAGCAUAGAUGCCAAUUUUUGUUUAUCAUUUUUUUAACCUCUAUUUUUUGUUACAGUAGAAGCCCUAGAAGGAAAUCGAGCACUGGACUUACCAAACUCUUAACUUAUUUCUACACACCAAGAGCUUGAUUUCGGUUCUUAUUUAUACUAUUUAAGCUAUAAGCCGUGAUAAGAAUUAGAGAACUAUCAUUUGUUGUGAGCUUCAAUUGGUUAGCACUUUGUAUGUUUUCAUUAGAAUUUAUAUUUCACUUAGACUUUCUUAUUAAAAAAGGGAUCAUUUGGUGACUUCACCAUGACAGUCCAAUUUUAUGGGGGCCAUGAGUACUCACAAAGGUAUUUCAGCCUCCCCCUAUAUCUACCGUCGCGUGAUUCACCAUUGCCGGGAAUCGAACUCAAGACGUGUUGUAUAGAAUACAAGCCUAAAAUUCGUUUCUAACCACUGAGUCACCCCGCGUUUGAUUAUAUUUCACUUAGACUUAUCUUGCGGUAUAGCAUGUCAUCCCCGCCCAAGUUUUUCUGUUCGCAUUGAGUUUGGGAUACCAAAACUUGCCAAACAAAGUAGAUUGAUUAGUAAGCGAAGCUAAUUAUUCGACUAAACAUUGUUUAGAAUUUUAAUUAAAAGAAACAAUAUGAAUCUGUUUUUUUUUUUUUUUUUUGACAAACUAUAACGUUAAGGAGUUAAAUUGUUAGUUGUUAAGAGUACAGGGAUAGGUGAGGAUCGAACCUCCACCAGAGUGCAUAGACAUUAUUGGUUCUACAACUGCGGUAAAUCACAUAAAACAAAACGUAAUACUUUGAGGAUGGAAGACACUUCGUGGAUAGCGGGCAAUCAACACUAUCAGUCGCUAUCCAAAACUUGGAAUUAUGUUUAUUGUCCGAAGGAUUUUUCUUCCAUUAAAUUGCUAAGGAAGAUGAGGAUGGGUGGAGUGUCUAAAUGUCAAGGUUGAUAAGAAAGUGUAUGGUGUUCAGCAUGCGAUUGAGAUUUGUUGAGUGGCACAACAAACCACAUAAAAUUUUCUAAAUGAUAAGCAAUGAUAAGCUUGAGUAUAAUUUUUUACCACGUAUUUAUCUUUAAAAUCAUUAUAAUUAGAUUUUCUCUUAAUUAAUAUAGACCGUUAGAUUGACCCAAGUUUUUUUCCUCUUUUCUUUCCCCUCGUUUUUUUCUUCUCUGAUUUUCCAUUCACCGUGUAGCAGUCGUUCUUCCCCAACUAAGUUUCUUAUUUUUCUUCACAAAAAAAUUGUAGAAAAUAUUAAGAAAAGAAAAGUCAUCAAUAUCAGACUCGAUCAGGUAAUCGUUCCAACCUUCCCAGCAACUCUCAGUCUUAACAAGGCACCAAAUUUUCUCCGCCACCUAACUCGUCAUUCAUUCAUGGGUGUUUCAAGCUUGGUGAAAAUUGAUAGAGUUCCAUGUGUGUACAGGGAUGUGAACAUAUUGGCCACUCUCUAAGAAUGAGUCAUUGGAAAAGUUGAAGGAAAGAUGUAACCGAUGAAAUUAAUGGAUUGGAAUUACAAUGAAGUCUGUGUUGGUUUAUCACAAAGAACCCAGAAACAAAAUUUUAAAAGCAAACAAUUACAACUUCUCAAAUAUUAUGUAACAAACUUUCAAUGAAAUGUUGCUCAUAAUUGAAAAAAGGUUGACGAAGGACGGAGUUGGGAUUAUUUUAGAUGGGGAAGAGUUAAAAGAAGGAAGCACCAUUUAAUUACUAAAAGUAAUUGGAGAAAUGGUAAUUCAAUGGUGGGCGUUUUUAAGGUGUGGACCUUGUGUCACACCCCGAUCCCAACAUACAUUGAGGAUCGACACCUGACAUGGGGACCUAGGGGACAUAAAUCUUACGUAAGAUACAGAAUGAAAUACUAUAAAUAAUAUCCCAAAAUGAAUAUGAUAGUGGGUUCACCCCCUAUAAAAUAUAUACAAGUUUGUACAUUCACAAAAAAAAAAAAAAAAAAAACACACACACACACACACAAAACUCUUGCUAGGCCAAGACUUGCCCAUGGUUCUCAAAGGAAAGUCCUAAAAGAAAUAGUACAAUGAAGGAUAAAGGGGUAACCUAAACACUCCAAGUCUCUGAUCUCUGCACUGCUACCCCCACCGGCUCCUCGUAAUCUACCUCAGACCUGUCACUUGUACAAACAGUGCCUACAUUGUGGGAAUGGUGCACCGGGCAAACAAAAACCCAGAUAAGCUGCAAAACUCGUGUGGUAGCCGGCCUGGGACAUGGGAGGGGGCCGAGUCUUUCAGAAACCCUUGGGUCAUUGAUCUUCAAGCUUACAUGGAUGGGAUUGUCUCGACGUUGCUUUAGGAAGUCUCGACAGUCGUGAAAGACGGCUUUCGAUCCUUCCACUCCUUCUGUAAGAAGGUGUCUUCCUCCACUCCUUCUGCUUCGGGUUGAAGCAGCUGGGUUGAGAGAAGUCUCAUGUUGGUCGCGAUUUCGAUGAGUAGCUCGCUCCUCAACAGGAAUACCCAUGUCGAGGGAAAAUGAGCCUCUGUGUUGGAGGCACCCAGUUGAUGGUUGACUUCCACAGGGGUGAUGAGCUCGUGUGUUUUAGUAUAUCUAGCCUCGUGGAGCAUCUCGAAGACCUUUUCAUACUGCUCUUGGAGGAUCUCAUUCUUCAUCGCUAUCUUGUUGUUCUGAGCCUCCAGCUCAUCGACUUUAGCCUGAAGAGCAAACUUCUUUUGUUCCUUCUUUCGUUGUUUCGCACCAGGUGUAAGAGGGGUGUCAUUCUGUGUGCCGUGGCUUCCUUCGCUCCCCAUGUUAGAGAGGGAUGCCUGGUCAAAAGAGAGAGUACGAAUGGUGGAAACCAGCUUGGCAAAGCUAAAGAGAGUGGGAAUAAGUGUCGUUCCCACAGACGGCGCCAAAUGUUGAUGCACAAAAUCAGUGAGGACUUUGGUACAACAGAAAGUGUUAAGUUUGUGUCCUUCGCUAGAUUGGUCCGGUCAUUAGUGUGGAUAAGUAUGUAAAUGGAUAGGGACAGGGAAGCAAACACAAGAUGUAUGUGGUUCACCCAGAUUGGCUAUGUCCAUGGAGUGGAAGAGUUCUCAUUAAUUGUGAAGGGUUUACACAAGUACAUAGGUUCAAGCUCUCCUUUAGUGAGUACAAGUGAAUGAUUUAGUACAAAUGACAUUAGGAAAUAUUGUGGGAGAAUGAUCUCCUUUUAUAGAAUAGUUUCUAGCUUUGUUCUGACAUUGACACGUGUCAUGCUGUGAUUGGCUUUUGAUGUUGACAUGUGUCGCAUUGUGAUUGGCCUCCUGGUUUGAGGGAAACUCUUCUGGGUCCUUGACAGUAUAACGUUGACAGGUGCUCAGUAGUUUCGGGAUUGGUCAAGUAUGGUACAAACAAAGUCACUGAAAACUUCGAAGGAGUCACCCAGACAUCCAACGACUUUUCUAAAUCAAAUCUCAGAGAUUCCCAAAACUAUCGUUCACAAAUACACUAAAAACUAAGGCUAGAGUGACACAGUUUGGCCAAAGCCUACAUAAGUAACCAAAUAAGAAGUGGCCCCCCCAUAGCGGAUUAAUCAAGUAGAGCCACUCCUGAGAAAGUAACCAAGUAGGUAGUGACCCCAUCACGAAUUAACCAAGCAGAGUCACUCCUACGAAACUGUUAGGUAGUGAUCACCCAUCGCGGAUUAACUAAGCAUGAUCACCCCUAAGUACGUAUGGCCAUACCUAAGAAAUAAGGAUCGCCCAUCGCGGAUUAACUAAGCAUGAUCACCCCUAAGUACGUAUGGCCAUACCUAAGAAAUAAGGAUCGCCCAUCGCGGAUUAACCAAGCACAAUCCAAAAAUAUUAUGGGUCCCCUAUCGCGGAUUAACCAAGCAGGACCAUCCAUGUACCACUGCUACAUGGUGCAGAUUCGGUGUCACCUAACCCCGUGACACUAGGGUAACGGUCCUCUACUAGCCCUCACGUUUUUCAAACAUUUCAAAUAUAUAAUUUAAAACACAAUUCAUAAACAUUUCGAAUAGGGAAGUCACAUAGUGUUUAAUAAUGUAGGUCAAUGGAAAACUUUAAAAACAAUUAUUUAGCAUAAAACAUAUUUUAGAAAUCCAUGCUGUAUCCACAAAGUAUACUAGCACGGGAGAUUUUCAGGGUAAUAACUCUAUCACAUAUAUUAAAGUCACUCACCUGGAGUCCGCACUAACGCACCCUAGCACGAAUAUCAAGAUGUCACGUACUAUCAUUUGUAACAUCCCACAUCAACCAACAGAGAGGGGGUGAUGUGUCUUAUAUGUACAUGCCCACCUCUAUAGCACGAGGCUUUUUGGGAGCUCAUUGGCUUCAUAUUCCAUCGGAACUCCAAAGUUAAGCGAGUUUGGGCGAUAGUAGUCCAAGGAUGGGUGACCCACUGGAAAGUUCUCGUGUGAGUUCCUAGAAACAAAACCGUGAAGGCGUGGCCAGGGGGGCCAAAGUGGACAAUAUUGUGUUACGACGGAAUUAAGACUGAGAUGUGACAGAAUGGUAUCAGAGCCGCUCUGCCGCGUGGUGCAAGUGUGCCGAAGAGGACAUCGAGCCCCUAAGGGGGGUGGAUUGUAACAUCCCACAUCGACCAACGAAGAGGGGGUGAUGUGCCUUAUAUGUACAUGCCCACCUUCAUUUAGCACGAGGUCUUUUGGGAGCUCACUGGUUCCGGGUUCCAUCGGAACUCCGAAGUUAAGCGAGUUCGAGCGAGAGCAUUCCCAUGAUGGGUGACCCACUGGGAAGUUCUUGUGUGAGUUCCCAGAAACAAAACUGUGAGAGCAUGGCCGGGGCCCAAAGCGGACAAUAUCGUGUUAUGGCGGAGCCGAGAUUGGGAUGUGACAUCGUCACCUAAGACAAAGUACAAGUCCACAUUUAGAGUUCUUCGAGUAUUCACAUAAUCAAAAAUUUACAUACGCACCCUACAACUAAUGAAGAGAAAUCGAGACACGUUGACAAAAAGUCAACCGUCGAUCAACGGUAGGGUCCACAACCCUACGUAACUUAAUCCGUAAGAUCCAGCCACUGUAUUUGUGAUUCAUAAGUUCCUAAGGUCCUCAAAUCUUACGUACAAUAACAUACUAAACUUUAGUGACGAUCUAAUGGUCGAAUCAUCAUUUACUAUAAUGUUCAAAUGACGCAAAUUCGUCAAUCGGAUGUCAAAUAUGGAAUCGGUCAUCGAAUUUAGCCUAGGAAGAUCAAGUGGUGUCUCAAGCCACGCACCACCAUGCGCAGCAGUUGGCAACCCAGAUUCGUCGAAAAAAUCACCUGAUUCCAAAAUGAAUGUCGUGAGACGUGGAGUAAAUUGUAUACCUGUGAGAAGCCCAAUUUGGCCAGGAAGUGGCCUGAAAUCACUUUAGACCGUCGGAAACCCUAAAAUAGGUGAAUCUCGAUUAGUCAUCUCUGGUAUUCCACCGUCCUCAAACUUGUUUAGGGUUCUCAAAAAAAUGCUAAUGAUGAUGGUGAUUGAAGGAGAACGUUUCAGAAAUAGUGAAUCGCCGGCGAGGGUUUCACGGAAUCGACAUGGGUGUUCCUCGUGGAACCAAGACCAAAUCUCAACGGUUUUGGCUAGAAAUGGAUGCUGGGAUGUCGUGGUGAGGUUUGGUAUUGAUGGGAGGUCGAAGAAAGUCAAAAAAAUCGACGAAAAAACUGUCGUCGGAGUCACAGGAAACGUGUUAGAAAAAUGAGUCGCCGAGUUUGAAACGGGUCGAAGGCUUUUGGGACAGCUACUUAAUCUCUCUUCUCUGAUUAGUCACUCCACUCACUCUCUCAUUUGAUUGGUCCAGCCUUCCCACAUGGUGGGAGUUCCCUCAUAUAGUAACCCAAAAUUUACUAUUUAAAUUUGGUAUCAAACGUCCGUAACUUUUUUGUUAUAGUUCCGAUUCACAAACGGCUUUCGCCUACGCGCUCGUAUGAUCGAAUUAUACUUGAAAACAUUAAUUGUGACCUUAAAAAGGUCUACAAGUUUUAAAAGAUUAAUUACAAAAAUUCACACCUUGUAACUAUACGAUUCAAAUUCUAAAAUUAACGGAAUUAAAAUAAACUAAAAAUAAUGUAAACACGAAAUACAGACUUUAAUAAUGAAAUACGUAAUUAAUAGUGGAAUUCUGGGGAUGGGAUUUCACACCUUGCGUCCGGACCUUGAGUGCGGAUCAGAAUCCAAAGGUCGUGAUCUGACGAGCUCAUGUAUAGAACAGAGUUGUUGUGACCCAAUGCAAUUCAAAACUUUUAUGUUUUUUUAUUUACUGGGUACGUUUUUGUAGGAGGAAAAGGGGAAGUCGAGGGAUUCUUUGCGCAAUAAAGAGGGAAAGAGAGAAAAGGGGAGCUAAGAGGUUCUUCGCGCGUUAAAUUUUUGCUUCUGAUUUUGCAACCUAGAAAUAAAGUAUUUUCUUUAUGGUUUAUGGUUCAAGAAUAUAAUGGAUGCAACCUAAAAAUGUUUAUUUUUUUAUUUUUUACUUUUUUUCUUCUUAUGUUGGCUUUUGGUUUAUUCUUAUAAUGCACUAUAUAUUAACUAAAUUUAUAAACAUUUUGUAUCUUUGUUGCAGUCAAAUUAAUCAUAUGGGUUGGCAUGACGAAGUUCGACUGAGACAUACAGAUGUUUUGCAAUCUUAAGUCUAACCUGACACACCCCGACCUCAAUAUCCAGUGGACACCAAAAUUGAGGUGUGAUGGCCAUCAUCCGGAUGGGUGACGAAACCAUUAUAUGCAUGAAAACAUAAUUACCCAAACACGUCUUAUUAAAAUAUUGAGUAAAUACCAUACAAGAUAGAAUACGUCAGAGCUGUUGCAAAAUACCUCAACGUCCGAUGUAAUCACUGAUAGAAUUACUGAAUCAUGUAUAAAUGGAAAGCUGAUAAAUACAUGUAAUUUGAGUGGAUACUUACCAGCAGCAUGGAUACAAUAUCAUCCACCAGUCGUAACUAGUGAAAGUUGGAUAAUAUAAUCAUGUCAUUGCCGAGUAAUCUCAAGGCAAUGACAAGAUGAGAAUGUAACUGAGUAAUCAUAUCAUUACUAAAUAAUCUCAAAGUAAUGACAAGCUAAGAGUAUAACCGUAUAAUCAUGUCAUUACCUCGUAAUCUCAAAAUAAUGAUAAGCUGAGAGUAUAACUGUAGUACCUCUUAUUAGUGCAAUGCAUGAUAUGAAUUCCAUCUCACAUAUAUAUGCAAGCCAUAAUCAAACCAAUAAACAUCCAACAAAAGCCACAAUCCUUUUAACAUUCGACCACAAGAUCAAUUUUCAUAUUUCCCAAACCUAGGUUCCAAAGCAUUGUUUCGAAUUAUUAAUACAAGAAACCACCACCACCUCAAUCAACUCCUAUUCACAAGUGUAAGCAAUUACUAAAUGCAUCACUUUCGACUCUAGUCUUAAUUAGAUUACUUGGGAUACUCACACCAUCAGAUCCAAGUACUAUUUUGAUAAACUUUAAAUAGCAUGGUUAAAAUAAAUGAAACACUUUUAGAAAAUAAGUGAAGAUGUUGUUUACAAAUAUAGAUGCAUCUGUAUAUAAAAGCUUUGGCGGUUGAUCCGUAUACACACUUCCAGAGAUAUAAGCAAGUUCAUUGGAAUAUACAUACAUAGUUAAUGUAUUACAAUAUAAUUAAUAAGAAAACAAUUGCAUCCCUUUCAGAUUAUAUAUAUAUAUAUAUAUAUAUAUAUAUAUAUAGACACACACAUACAUACACACAGGCCCUUUAUGCAAAGGAAUUUCCAUUUUUUUUCAAAAAUGGGGAUUAGUUGUGGGGCCCACGCUGCAUUGAACUUUAACGAUCCGAACAGUCUAUUUUGUAAGUCUCGAUUCAUAGAUCAUCCUUGUAAAAAUUCAAUUCAAUCCGAACCCAUUUGCCUAUUUAAUUAUCAAGAUAAAAUUUUAUUGUUUCUUAUAUAACAAAGUAUUCGUUAAUUUCUUUGAACUCAAUUAGAUAUCUUAAACAUUUCCGAUUUGGUUAAUAUUGUGUAAGGAUGAUCUAUGUGGUGCAACUUGAAAAAUAGACGAUUACGAUCGUUAAAGUUCGAUGUGGUGAGAACCCUACAAUUAAUCUUCAUUUUUAUAAAAGAAUGGGAACCCCUUCCCUUAAAGGUUUCCUAUGUAUAUAUUUGUUCUCCAGACAUAUGCAAAAGGUAAUGUAAAACCAAUGAGAACUUAAAUAGAUAUUCCAUACAUAGGACAAUUCCAUAUAUGCUUUUUCAACAUUUAUAUCGAAAAGCCAAAUUGUUUUGAGGAAAUUAAUUGUAGCAAUGAUCCCUUAACUUUUAUCUUAUUGGAGCAAUGGUCUCUCAACUAAAAAUUCAUAACCAUUGGUUCCUUAACUCCACACAACGUGUAGUUAUGGUCAUUUUCAUUAACUCCGUCAGAACUUUUGUUAAAACAAGUAAUGUUAGAAGAAUCAUUGCUACAAUUAAGUUAAAGUUGGGGACCAUUGCUCUAAUUAAAUUAAAAUUGAGGGAUCAUUUCUCCAAAUUGCUUAAAGUUCAAGGACCAUUUCUACAAUUUUCUCAUCUAGUUUCCCAUAUUUACCCCAUGAUUCAGCUUCACAUGCAUUGCACAUGACUCAUUUUGAAAUUUUUUUUAACGAAAUUGAUGAAAAUGACCAUAAAUGCACGUUUUGAAGAGUUAAGAGACCAAUGGUCGUGGAUUUUAGUUGAGGGAUCAUUGCUCCAAUUUAGUUAAAGUUAAGGGACCCUUGCUACAAUUUUCUCAAAUGUUUUGUAUGCGAAAAUAGGCAUUUGUAAAGUUUGGCUUGUUCAUGGCAUUAUUACUUUAGUCUAAAGUAAGGCUGGAAAUGGCACUGUAGAAAUGAAUAGUGUUCCAAUCCGAAUUUCAGUUUAAUUACAACAAUGCCAUUGCUCUUUGUGUUGCCUUUAGGUGAGCAGCCCGGCUUGCAGCCAGGCCCAAAUGUAUUGGUUUUAGCUGAGAAGCCCGGCCCUUAGUCAAGCCCAAAAUUUUAAAUUACAGUUUUGCCCAUACAAAAUAACAAUCCGAUUGUAUCGAGAAGGACAAUUUUGUCCUUUCAGUUUUGGGUGAGAUAGGGGGUAACAGGGUAAGUUUCAUUUGCUGUCGUUGAAUGAGGGUUUCGAGGAUGAGGGCUCUGUGUGUGUGGGUGUGUGAGAGAGAGAGAGAGAUAGAGAGAGAUAGAGAGGGAUAUGGCGAUGGAAGGAGAGCGAGGGGGAAGGGAAGGGUUCUCGGCACUGUUGCUGCAUGUGAAUUUCACAAGUGGGAGAGUGGGUAUGGUCAGAGAAGACCAUAUAGGUCGUUGGGAUUUCAGGGAAACGGGGUAGGGGUCAUGAAUGAACCCUGCUGAGAGUGGGUACUGGAUCUUGCGCUGCAUGCCUCAAAUCAAAGAUAAGUUCGUUUUUUUUAUUGUAUUUUUUAUGGUAGCUUAGCUUUUGGAAUUGUUUAGUAUGUUAGGUCCGAUUUUGGGGGAUUUAUCUUUUUAGAGAGAGAGAUGGACAGGGAGAUAGAGAUAGAGAGAGAGAGAGAGAGAGAGAGAGAGAGAGAGAUGAGGAAGCAUGACUGUGUGCAAUUUUUUAUGUUAAUUAAUGGGUUGGUGCGCAGGGUGAGUGACAGAGUGACAGAGUGAAGGAGGGACGUGUGGGAGGGUAUGAGUUUUCAGUUCUUUCUUUUGAUUCAACAGGUUAUACACUGUUUGAAAAACCUUUUUUUUAUUAUUUUGUUCUCGUUUGCUUUGUUAAAACCAUCAUUUGAAUUUUUGGGUUUCAUUGUGCUUAUUUCUCUGCUUCUUCAUAAUUUGCUGGUGUUUGCUUCUCAUCCCUCUGUUGGUAGAUCUUUUUCUCAUUUCUUGGUUCCUUAUGUAUUCUUUGGUACAAAUCUGUUUACUUUUUGGCUGUGUGAUAAUCUUAGCAGGUGAACUAUAUGAACGUUUUUUUGAAACGAGUUAAGAAGAUCCAGCUGAAAAGAGCAUACAAGAUAGAGAACUGGUAUGCUGCUCGCCAGGGAAAGGCUGCUGGAAAGGUUGAGACGGAUGCCUCUUUCAGAAACCAGGUCAGUUUCCUGCUGCUCGGCGUCUUAAUGUAUCCAAAUUGUUUAUCUUUUGAUGAAAUUAGCUGGCUAUAUUUUCUAUUUUAUUUAUCUGCAUAUUAUUUUGGUUUGUUGAAAUUUUGACUAUAGUCAUUGUCACAUGGGCGCCUAGCCCAACCCAAAUUAGUUGAGGAUAUUUAAAUCUUCACCAUGGUAUUAUAGUACUCACUCACAGUUGUGAAUACUAAGGUGCAUGCAUGGCAUGAAGAAGUGGACCGUGCACGCCAAGGUCAGAGGGAUGCAGAAGGCAAGCUUUUUUCUUUGGAGGUAAGUAUCCUUUGUUUAUUGCCCAACAGUGUUGUUAUUAUCAAUUUGUAGCUUUGCGUUCUGAAUUUUUUGCUUUGUCAAACAACCUUCUUGAAAUGCUCGAUUUCAAGCCGAAGUCCAAAAAAUGAAAGUUGAGAUGGCUUCCAUGAAGAGGGAUGUAGAGCAUUACUCGCGCUAGGUGAAAUCUGCUUCCUCUCUUUUCGUAUAUCUUCAUAUGAAGAGUUUUACUAAGUUAUAUUGAGAACUAUGUUAUUUAUAGGUUAUAUUUUCCAUUUUGCAGGAACACAUGGAGCUAAGGAAGAGCUAUCGUGAACUCACUGAUCUACUGGUAAUGUCACUCAAACUGCUUUAUUUGUGCAUGCUGCUACUAUGCGCUUGAAUGCAUUUUAUUACUGGCGGGAUGCGAAGAAAGCUAGAUAUAUGUGCUGGAUCGCUUGAUUAAUGUUAGGGUUUUAACAACUAAUUGUUAGCAGCUAGAAGCCCUGGUUAGAUUAAUGCUAAUUUGAUUUUCCUUACAGUACUUGAGUGCCAGUUUCAUAUUGUUUGUUCCCUGUUGGAUACCUGCUGUACAGUUUCAUUUCUGUUUCUUCAUAACUUUCUUGGCCCUGGGAUAUAUGCAUAUUGAGUACAAUGAAUAUCCAUUGUUCUCUAACUGUUGGGCUUUACUAUCUUUGUAGCAGCCUGCCUAACAUUUUUUAGGCUCUACACUCUACCAUCCAAUUUAUGAAAAAUUCAAAGAUUGGACGAUAUUGAUUGCAGAAAUGAAAAAAAUACUAUGAUAUUAGAAAGGUGAAUGUAAUUGUGUUAGAAUAAGCGUCUAGCAUGAUGGGUAAUAUUUUAAGUUUGUAUUUCUAAAAUUUUUUCGUUCUGGAGUAUGAUUUACCUCAAUUGUUUUGUACUUUAAUCUUUACUAAUUUUCAUUGUGGAGUAUGAUUUGCCUCAACUAACAACUUUUCAUUGUUUAACUUUUUCCUCCCUUAGAUAGUUGCAUAUGUUUGAUUUGUUAAUCUGCUUCUUACACAUGUUGUUUCCUAAUGGUGUAGGUGGGUUGUCGGAUGCAUGUGCAGAUUACUUGAAUAGACGAAGCUAAGAAUGACUUAGUAUUAAGUGAGACAGAAGCUUGGGUCAGUUGGAUUUUGACAUUUGAUUUAUUCAUGUUUUUUGUUGCUUGCAAUGUUCUCGCAUUGUUUGUUCUGAGAUUCUGUGAUCUUAUUUUUCAUAGGAACUGACAUUGGUUUGCCAUAUAAUGUUUCAGGAACUAAUACAACAACUAAUCACCUUGCUUAGCUCUCAAGACACAUACUUAACAGGUUAACAAACACUAACCUAUAAACUGAUCUGCUAAGCUGGACCAUUAACCUCUGUUUAUAUCCCUGCCACUCAUCUUUUGGCACUUAUCAAUAGCAAAAUCUAGAGUUGUUGAAACCCCAAUUUUAAUGAAUAUUAUUUUUAGUUGAUAAUUAAAAUUAAUUGAUGAUUAAUCUAUUCCAUUGUGCAUUAUUUUAUCGCCAAAUACUUUGAAUAUUCAUUAGCAAAAGAUAUAGGGUUCACUAUUUAAUGAAUAGAAUUUUGAUGGUGGAUUGCAUUUCCUGAGUUAUAAAUGUGGUGAAUCCAUUAUUUACUAGCUGAAUAAUCAUAAUGUUUUGGCCACUUACCUUGAAUUUUGUUCAAAUUGAAGAAGUCACAUGUUUCUUUCUGUUGUUGAGGUAAUCUCUCUGUUGAAAGCUUCUAUUUCUUUUUUUUUUUUCUUUUUUUCAUUUGGGUAGAUUUUUUUUUUUAUGGAUUUAUGUAUUUUUUUUCCAGAGAAUUCGAAAUGAAAUAAGAAUAGCGGAUUGAGCAUAAACAAAUUGAUGAAAUUUUUAUUUGAGUGUUUGUGUUAGUCCUUUUUUGAUUUGUUGAGGUUUGGAAUUAUUUGAGUUUUUUUGCUGUUAGUACUAUGAAGGAUGCUUGGCAAUCGCGAAAUGGGGGCUACCUCUUUGGAAAGAGAAGUCUCGCUAUCCAACCUCUCAUGAAUUACAAACAGGGUGAUUUCUUGCUGAAAAACCACUGAACCAGUAGAACUUUCCUCGGUUCUUCAAUUCGAUUCGAAUAAUUUUUUUACCCAGAAAAGCCAGCGUUUCCUGGUGGGUUUUACAGCUUUCUCAAUGUUUUUGUGAUUUUGGAUUUGCAAAUUUGUUUUCUGUUCAAAUUUCCUUUUGUGAUUUUGGAGGUUUUGUUUAUCGAUUCUCUCACUCAUCUCUCAGCUCUCUCUCACUUUUGAGGUACAUGCCGUUGGAUUCCGUUUGCUGCUGCUGAUCUGUAGGUAAAGCUUCAAUUACCAUAUAAAGUUUACAUUUUUCAUGAUUUCUUGAAUUUGGGUUUUAAACAAAGGAAAUAUUGCUAGAUUCUUAUCUUAUGUGCAAAUUACUGGCUAUUUGGAUUGGUGCCUGAGAUUUAGAGAAUGCCUCGCAGCUUUAAUUUCUUUUUCCUUCAUUAUUACUGUUUUCAAAAUUUUUAUUGCUGGGUAUUGAUAAUUUGUAGUAUGUGAGGGCUUCAAUAUGUUGGAAUUUUGAAUGGUUAUUGCUUCAUCGGAAUUUGGGUGGUCCAAAUUUUGAAUUAGAAGAAACCCAUUUGAUUAAUAUUUUUGGUGGAUUGGUUCUCUGUGUUUUCCUUGCUAUUUCUCCCCCAGUUGGAAAUUGGAAGCCCCAACUUUGAGCUCAGAGCUUGAAUUUCUCAAUCGUUCGUUUCUCUGCACUCUCAUCAAUCACUCUUGAUCCUCUAUCUAAAGAACUGGGUAAUUUUCCAGCUCUAUCAAGUAAUACUCCAUUUAAUUGCUUAAUUGAGGUUUUUUGUUUCUCUUUUUCGCUCUUUCAUCAGUUCAUUGACUUUGAUGUUGAGCUUAAGUAAAUGGGAGAUCAUUAAUUGGCAUUGUUCAAGAUAUAAUUCUGUGUUUUUGGAUUUGUGAAACGAUUUGCCUAAUGAUGAUAGUGGUUAAAAUAAAUUUUUCGUUAUGAAGAGAACAUUGUUCUUCAUUUGCCUACGGUUUUAACUACAAAGUUAAACUACUAUGCUUUUGUUCAAUUGACUGCAACUCAUGCCGCAGUUUGCUUCACAAACCUCUACGGUUAGCUUCCAUACAGUAUGUUGCAAGUUUGAGGAUAUCUUUACAUCUUAAUUUUUGCUCUCUCUGGUUGCUUCAAGUUUGUAAUUUUACGUGUUACAUUGCUACUUGAUUUGAUUAUAAAAAUGCAAAACAAAAUCCGUUUUGCUUUUAUUCAACUUAAAUGUAUCCUUUUGUUUGUUCAUAAUUGUGUUGAAUUUAUUCAACUUAAAUGUGUUUUAUUCAUCUAUUUACGCUUAAAACAACUGGUUCCCCUAGCAAUGCGCGGGCCUAAUUUCUAGUACAUAUACUAAAAGCCAGCAGAAAAUUACUGUUCAUCAUGGGAGAUAGAGCACUGUUCAUUAACAGUGAAAGGGCGAAAAUGCCCUCGGUUUCUUCUUUACUUCACGUACUGUUUACGAAUUGCUACAGUAUAAAGUCCGUUUUGUCCUUCCUGUCCACACAUCUUUCAUCGUCCGUUUCUCUUGCUUCGACCGUAUCUUUUUUGCUUUACCUUUCCUCUUCAUUUUUCGCAUUCGUUAGGCUGCGAUUUUCGGAGGUGGAUUGUUUGCCCUCCCAUUUCCAUGCUCUCCCCAUGCCUAUGUGGUCACAGUUAAACCACGUCAAUAUUUUAUAUUAAUUUUUUAUAAAAAUAAUAAAACAAAAAGUAAUAAGAAUAUAAAAUAUUGACGUGGCUUAACGUGGUCCGUGAUCACAGUAGGCAUGGAAAUGGUCCGCGACUUUCUCCCUUUUCGCCAGCCCCUCUUUUGCUCUCAAAUCCUUGCUCUUUCUUUUGCAAAAUAGUCUCAGAAGAGAUCCUGGGUUUAUCGAAUCCUUUGUUGUUCGGCGUUUUGUUCUCAUCUUGUGAUCGUCGGGUCAGCAGCUUUAAGGUAAGUUUGUUUUUAAUGAUUUAUCCUCAUUUUACGAUGUCUGGGCUAACAAAUUUAAGAUCUUUAUUUUUCUUUUUGCUGCGGAUCUGCAGGUUUUGACAAGUUUUUUGUGAAAUUGGUGCUGUCAGUGGGUGUUAACAUCAGGUACCCAUGUUCAGUUUUUCGUUUUGAUUUGAAGGAAUUUCUUGCGCAGAAGUGCUAGGGUUUCUUGGUGAGUUCUUCGGGUUGUGCAUAUGGGUAAUUUUCUUUUCGGUUUAACCCGCUGCUUCUGCUGCUCUCUCUCUUUCUCUCAUCCCUGCCUGCUCCUCUCCAAUUGUUUGCUGUUCUUAAAUAUUGUGUUCAUUGCCUGAUACAAGGAGCUGCAGCAAUCUGUUUUAUCCUACACGGGACAACGAGGCAAUGGCGUGACAACAGGUGAGCUUGGAUAUCCAAAGAAAGAGAACAGUUGGUUCAUCUGCUGGAGUCUGAAGCUCAGAGAAGUGGAGGAAAAUUGCAGGUGUGCGAGAAAUUUUAUUUUGCUGAUAGGACUCCUUAUUUACGGAUGCAUUUUGAAAUAAUUGAAAAGUUGGAUUUGAGUUAACAGCUAUAAAAAUGUAGACAUGAUUGCUGAGAUUAUGCUAUGAAAGUGGAAUAAAAAAAUGGUAGUUUAUAAUAUUGCGUACCAAUUUUUUUCUCUCUUUUUUACCAAAUGAUAAGGGUGGUGGCUCAGGCCGCCCCCCCUACGCGUCCCCACUCUUCGACAAGUUGAAAUCAUGGUGAUAGUUUAUGGGCUGUGGUCUUGGGAUUCUGCAAAUAGAUUAAAAAACAGACACUUAACUAUCUUGUUAUUAAACAUUUCUGCAUCAUUCAGUUGCUCUUGAUUUUCGUCUUUUAAGCGAUCUUAUUUCUGCGAUCUGACUUGAGGAGGGUUUUUAGACCUAUGGUUGUGGGUGUUUUGUCUGACCCCAUUAAAUUGGUUUCCGAGAUUUGUAGACUUGCGAUCGGCAGUCAAACAUUUUGUGAUUCUUGCUUUUUUUCCGACUGGGAUUGACGAAUUUUGGCCGAAUCUGUUUCCUGUUUUCUUCUCUGUUUGAGCGGCCGCUGCCUUUCGGUCGUUGAGCGCCGGCAGUCUUUAGAUCUUUGGCAAAUCAAUUUAAUACAACCGAGGUAUGUUUUAUAACUGCUGUCUUUCAAUUUUUGUUCUGUAUUUUUGUUAAUUUGGAUGAAGCUCUAAUAAUUUUGUUUUGGAUCAGUUGUGGUCCUCUGUUAGGAUUUUCCUGGCUAAGAGGGUAUUUGCGUUUUUGUUGCUUGGUUGGUCGAUCACAGAUUUACGAACAGCUGUGGUGGUCCUGUUAUUUUUUUGGUAUGUUUUUUCUCCUUUUUGGUUUUUUCCCGGUUUGAGCACCCAUUCAUGAAGAAUUAAAAUGUGUUUAUAGUUUUUCAGGAGAGAUUAGAAAAGUGAUUUCAAUUUGGGAAAAUUUAAUGUUGGUUAAAAUUUGUCUAUAAUUUUUGGGAAGGAAUGAGAGGACCCAUUGAAGUAUGUGUUGUGAUUAUUUUUUAUUCAUAUUUUUAACAAAUUGGGCAUGAAUUGGUAGGUUAACUGUGUGUGUUUAUUAUUUGAAUCGGCCAUGUUUGUCUUUCUAUGGUUCUAAAAAAUUUGUAAAGGCUGUUAACUUGGAAGAAAAUGGGAUCGAGGGUGAGGGGAAAACGGCAGAGAAAGCAUGGAAGAGAGAUUUGGGAUUAGGGGUAGGAAAACAGAUGAAAAGAAUAUGAUAGAGGAAUGAGUUCAGUUCAUUUUCACUAUUUUUUUUAACUGAUUUGGAUUUUGUUUGGGUUUGAGGCCAUCAUUGGCGUUAAGACGUUUAUUAUCAGAUCGUGUGUGUUUUUUGCUAACUUUUAUUGGUCAUUUUUAUGUUGUUCUUAUGAUUUUGUGUGGUAGGGUUUCUGAAUUUUAUCGUUAUUCAUUUGGUUUUUUGUGUGUGUUGGUUUGUUUAUUUUGCAGGUUGUGUUUGUGCUGGGACAACAUUUUCCACCUUCUGUUUGCACUGGGAUGAUUGCGUUUUAAAACUGUUGGGGUGAGAUUUACAUAUGGAAUCAUUCCAUUUUUUUUCUUCCAAAUAUGUGCAUUUAGUUCUUUUUAUUUUAAAUUUUAAAAAUUAAAUCGUUAUUUGAGUAAAAUGUUUUAUUAAUUUAUGUUAUGUGUUGUGAUCAGGAAUUCUGUUGGAUUUGCAAAUUUUGGUUUGAUGAGAGAGAUGAGGAGUUUUUUUUGUUUGAAUUUUUUAUUGGACCGAUUUUCAAUUGGAUUGCAUUCUGCCUUUUUGCACCAUUCUUAUGCAAGCAAUUCAUUGUUUUAAAUACAAUUUGAAGAGAGCUGGGUUGCGGGUUGGAUAUAAAAUGUUAAGGUGAGAUAAAAUCGAGAUACCAAGGGUGGAAGAAUGAUUCAGAAUUGGGGGAGGAAAACAGAGGGAAGAUGGAAGAGUAUAAGAGAAGGAUAGGGUUGACCUCAUUUAGAGUUUUUAUUUACUUUUUUUUUUAUUAUUUAUAAAUUGAUUCAGGACUAGCAUAUCAUUUCUAAAUUUCUAACAUUUUUGUUUAAUUUGACUCCAGUUGAUGGAAAACAGAGCUCUUACUCCUAUCAAUCAGUUGGUCCCGUACAUAAAUGCAGAAAAAUCAAGGUUCGAGUUUGCAGAGUAUGCAGACCAAGGUUUCCUGAAACUACUGGUGCUGUCACGCCCCAAUCCCGACCUAUGUCCAGGAUCGACACGUGACGUUAACAAAUACCCAUAUCUCUAACAUACCCCGCCUCCGGAAUAUGGGCAAAGCACAACUGCGUAAUAAUUUUUCGUAUACUUUAUGGCUGCAUCUAACAUCCUCGUUAGAUUAUCAUACCUUAUGGCUACAUCUAACAUCCUUGUUAGACUGCCUACGUACUCUCAAAAGGGAUCAAACCAUUCGUAGUUCACCACACUCCAAUCCACAAAAAUUUGCACAUGCACUGAUUAUAAAAUGGAACUGCACCUAUAGAAACCUAAUCAUAACCCGUGGGCGAUUUGCUCCCACAUAAGAAAGACGUCCACAGUACCAUGAAAUACUUCCACAUCUUUCCUUCCCAUUUACACAAUAUUUUAUUUCACCUCCCUGAUAAAUAUAGCAUUUACAUUACAUGUGGCAGACAAAUUUGCAUAUUCAACUAUAAUAAAAUACAAUCUUAGUAGGAAAAACCUACAAGACCACCACUCGUUUGAGCCAAACUUUAGCUUAGCACUCAACUGGUGCUCACACCAUGUGAGUGCACGAUCCUUUAAGAUGGAUGCGAUGGUUCUCUUUUGAGAUUAAUUUUGUUACAGGUAUAACAUAGUUGGCAACCGUUUAGAAAUAGAUGCCUCAUGUUCAAAACUCUCAUUACCAAAUGUUCUAACAAGUUAGUAGAGAAGGUAAAAGAACCCAAAUGGCGAGAAAUAGUGUCCUGAUGAAACAAAAGAUGUAACCCUCAUUCAAGCACGAACAUCAUUUCCUUGAGAAUCUGCGAUUUCUUCCCUCAUUUGGUCAAUAUAGCUUGUAUUCCAACUGCAACUUACUAAUAGCAUUUGUUCUCUCCUCGAAUGAAACCAUAACCAGCCAUUUUAAAUAAAGCUGAACAGUUUCACGUUGGGAAAAUAAAGAUUAUAACAUACAGGUUUUGGAUUAGAUUCCCAAACCAACAGAAAAUUAAGAUAGGAAUCUAUUUUGGGUUAACUGAGGUAUGAGUGGUAUACAAAUGAGAAAUUCCCUACAAAAGUCAAUAAAACCAGUUACAUAACAUGUUGAAUAUAAUACAACAUGAAAUAAGAAGCACCACUUGUUUAUCUGACUUUUUAUACAUGUAUUUUCCUAAGGGAUAAAAACGUGCGGGUUUUGGGAUCAAUCUGAAGAGGGCUUCACCACGAAUACAUAGCCUUUGACCGUGCAUGAUUUCGUUGCCGUAUGAGAAAGUUAUCAUUUUUUUUUUUUGUGAAGAAGAAUUAAGGGGGAGAAGAACAGCUGCCCCCUCUGUUUCUGCAUCUGCCCAGCGGGGAAAGAAAAAGAAGAGAAGCCCUUGGCUUCUAGAAUACUCCCUCCCCAAAAUUACAAUUUUGCUCUCUAACUUUGAUUGUUUAUAUCUUAUUCGUUAUAACUCUGUUUCACGAACAGCUUUUGCUUACAUGCUCACAUAGUCGUCAUCUAUUUAAAUAUAUCAAGAAAUACAAUAAAAUACAUCCUCGUAUAAGUAUGUUAACCAAUUAGGGCACUUUCGUCAUUUCCACUUAUCGAUAGAUUUUAACACGUUAAUUAUAAUAAUGUCCGGAAACAGCUUUAAAAUUUCCAAAUUCUAUUUCCAUAACCAUAAAUCGAUUUAUUAAUUUUUCAGGGUAUCACAGGUGCAUAUUCAGGCUUGCAUUGUAUAUUACUUUCCUAUUAAAAAUUUGUUUGGAAUUUGCUUUUCCCACAAAGGAGAAGAGCUGACAGUUACGCUGUGGGCAGAUGUUGCUCGAAGUAUUGCUUCUUUAUCCAUUGAAUCAUUGUCUCUGCCGAUCUUUGCGGUUUUCACAAGUUUAAAGGUCAAGCUGUACCUAGGUGUUUGACUUAAUUAAAAACUAAUCUAUUUAUUUCGGAGGCGGAGCAAAAUGCUAUCUGUCUUACCCCUCUUGGUGAUCUUAGUCGGAAAGAUCGGCUAGUUUGGGAUGUGAGUAAGAAUGGGCAGUACUCGGUUCGAUCGGGCUAUCAUUGGCUGCAAUCUAGGUCUGUUGGGUUCAGGGAUCAACGCCAGCUUGGUGCUUGCUUAGUUCCGAGGCAUUUGUGGCGCAUGGUUUGGUAGUUGAGUGGGCCUCAUAAGCUCCGUCAUUUCUUUUGGUUAUCUUUGCAUAAUGCAUUACCGUCAUUUCUUUUGGUCCGUGACCAGGCAUGAGGAGAGCAUGGAAAUGAGAGGGCAGACAAUCCACCUCCGCGACUUUCUCCCUUUUCGCCAGCCCCUCUUUUGCUCUCAAAUCCUUGCUCUUUCUUUUGCAAAAUAGUCUCAGAAGAGAUCCUGGGUUUAUCGAAUCCUUUGUUGUUCGGCGUUUUGUUCUCAUCUUGCGAUCGUCGGGGUAGCAGCUUUAAGGUAAGUUUGUUUUUAAUGAUUUAUCCUCAUUUUACUAAACUAUUUAUGGUAACUUAGUAUGGUAACUUAACUAAGUAAGUUUGCUUUUAGCCCAAGGGUUGGAGAUGGUCUUAGUAUGGUAACUUAACUAUUUAAUUCCAUCUCAUUAAACUAAAAAAAACAAUUACAUAAAAAUAAGGGAAACCUUGUCCAGAGAGACCUGAGAAAGUCCACCCCUAAGGACUUUGCGCCAGCACCCAGCGUAUUUAUCUACUCAAGUGAACAGUAAUAGACUGGAGUGAACAGUAAUAGGCCAAGGCAUCUCCACCCCUAAAAAAAUGCGCUGGCACCCAGUGCAUUUAUUUGGUGUGUUUUUUUUUUAAAGUUUAUUUCAGAUAAGAUUUUUAACCAAUUUCGGAUAAAAUUUCAAAUAAACUUAAAAAAAAACACUCUAAAAUAAAAUUACAUACUCAUCAAAUAAACUUAAAAAAACACACUAAAAUAAAAUUACAUAAACUCAUCAAAUAAAUUAAGGAUGAGCUUUUUGGUAUUUUUUUUUCACACAAAAAGUAUAUGAAAGCUUUGGUAGAAGGUCUAGAAAAUAUUGAAAUGUGGUGUAAGGUGGAAGAUGAGGGUUAGGUAUUUAUAGAAAAAAAAUAAUAACUUUUUUAAAAUUUUACUGUAUUUUAAAAAAAAAUCUGUAUUUUUUUAUAUUUUUAAUUAAUUUUAAUGUAGUUAAUUAAUUUGGACCGUUGGAUUUGAAAAAUAUUCAAAUCCAAUAGCCCAGGAUCGGCCACGUGGCCAACGCCAGCAAAUGGCCCAGCUUCUUGGUCAGCCUGUUUUGUGCUGGCCCAGAGACCAGUUUGGGCUGGGUGCCAGUCUGUUUUGUGGGCUGGAGUGAAUGGACAGGGUCCCAGCCUGUUUUUUGUGCUGAGUGCUGGCCUAAUCCACCACCGGUGGACUUGCUCUGAGAGAAAGUGACGACUUCUCCUCUCAUUCCACUCCAUACUUGAUCUCUAAAGUCCAUUUGGCAUGUAAUUGAUGUUCAAUUUCAAAUUUAGUGGUAGCAAUUAGCAAAGCUAAUGAAAGAAUCAAAUAAAAUGAAAGAAAAAGCAUCAUGAAAUAAAUCAAGAUGAAGAAUGAAAUUUUGGCAACUCGCCAUUCUCUUCUUUUAUAUAAAAGAUACAUCCUAUUUGUAGUGAAAACAGGUCCCGACAAACCCAGUUAUCCUCAAGAAGUAUUUUGUAUGACUUUAAAAACAUAAUCCGUGAAAUUAUCUCUUGGCUGAGAACAACAACAAAUCUUCAUGCAUAGCUUGUACAGAAAGACAUCAGGCAUACAAAAGAACACGCAAGCAUAAAAUAAACGACGCAGGGAAAACCAAAAAUACUAUAGAACACGUCGCUGUCAAAAGAACAUGAAUAAAUGAAAAUUACAAAACAAAGAAGUGAUGAGAAACCAAAGUACCCAUUUCAUAAUCUAGUUGCUUUUUAGUUUGCUUGCCAUUUUUAGUUCUUCAAUUUAGAGAGAAACGAUAAUUCAGCACAUGAAUAAAGUGAAAACGUAAAAGAUAUGUGGGAUAAGCUGACAGCCAUCCCUGAGUAAUGCAUUCACUUAUGAACCCCAAACACAACGAAACAAAAAUUCACACAUGAACUACAGCUCCGCUAUGUAACAAGAAUUAAAAGCAUCUCAAGACAAAAUGGCAAACUAUAAGAGCACUGUAAAAGUAAAAUUGCAAGAAAUCUAAUACUUGGAGGGCAAGUACUACUCAGACGAAAAUGAAAGAUUGAACUACCUCGCGUGGAACUGUGCCUUGGUUUUUUCCCAUGCUUACAGGAAGCUUUGCACUGAGCUCUUAUAGCCCAAAUUUUCUCUGAAAGAAAAAAACACAAUUUUGAAAUAAGAUUUUCAUAUUAUACCUUAAAGAGAAGAAUUAGAAAACAAAAAAGAGAACAAUGAGUACUAUUCAUCAUAUAUUGUUAGAGUGUGUGGUCCUUUGGUCCAAUGGUCCUGCAGCCAUAUUUACUUUAUAACUCUUUCUUUUAGUCUAAAAAACAUCUUGGAUCUCAAAUUAAUAUGAAUACGGAUUCAUACGCAUGCAUUGCAUUACAACCACAAUGCAAUAUCUCAUUAGAAAUCCCCACACAAAAUUUUUUUAUUUCUACUUUGAUUUUAGUUUAUAUUUUUUCUAAAGCACGAGGGAGCUAAUUUUUUUUUAAAUUUUUUUUAUUCCAAUAAUGUUAUAGGGUUGAAAGGAUAUUAUCAAUUUAAUUGAUUGUAUUUGAUUGGUGGAACUUCUAUAUCUAUAUUUCAGUUUUUCAAAUUCAGCACUGGGAGAGUCAUUCAUAAAAUGUUUGACAGUGAGAUUACCUCCAUGGAUUAUGCUCACAAUGGACAGCUCAUUUUCCGCAGUGAUGGGACAAUAUAUUUCAGUCAUUCGCCAUUCAAUCAAUUCAAACCGAGGAACAAGCAACAUCAAGAAGAGGAUCUGCCAUGUCAGGAUCACUGUCGUCCAAUUAAUACAAAAAAUCUAGAUAAAAACGAUCAAUUUACAUAAAAGCCUUUCAUUUUCUCAGCAACCAAGCAAAAGAAAAUACCUAUCCGUUAACACUCGAUUUGGGAGUAAAUGUUGCUGAAACUGGACUUCAAUCCCCUCAACCGCAACAACCGAAUCGAGGUGUGCAAGUCAUUGAAAAACUCACCCAAGAUUUCAAAAUCUGCAUAAAUAAAUAAAUAAGCACAUAAAUUAGCCAACCCUGUUAUGAUCCCACAUCGGGUACACAAGAAAUUGUGUAGUGGUACUUAAGUGCAAGGGGUCCUCCCACCUAUUGGACUAGUUUUUUGGAUUGGGCUCUUCCCUUGGGCUUGAGUACCUAACAUUGGUAUCAGAGCCUAGGUUCCCGACGCUGCGGGACUUGGCGAGUGGUGCAGCCUCGUGGUGCCGCCUUGAGAGUAUGGGCUCCUAAGGGUCUUGGCGACGGGCAAGGUAUGAAAUGCCGAUAUUAUCGCGAUAUUUCGCCGAUAAUAUCGGUUUUUUGAGUUACCGAUAUUUUAAUACUUAUCCACUGAGUUUUCGUCAAAAUAUCGCGAUAAUAUCAACAAUAUCGCGAUAUUACCGAUAAUAUCGCGAUAUUUUGGAGAUGUGCGAAUCGGAGAAGAACGCCGGAGCUUUUACAGCUCCGGCCGACUGUAAAAGAGCACCCUAGACUCCGAUCUAGGUAUCAAAAUGAAAUACAAGAUGAGAGGAAUGUUUUUAUAACUUCCGUUUGCCGUGAAACGGUCGAAGGUGUUCGGAAAGUUCGUCGACACCCACGGCCUCGCCAGAGAUGGGUGUGCCUAUUCCCGAGCCGAUUUCGUCCCAAAAACCUUGCAAAAACACGAGAUAGAACUUAAAUUUCACGUCUAAGCUUCAAUCUAGAAUAGAAUGAGGUAAACCCGAAGCUUACCUAACCGGAGAAAUUCAAGAAACUCGUCGGAGGGUUCCUGCGUCGCCGAGUUGCAGAGACGAGAAGGAGAGGGAGAAAGACGAGGUUGCUGAUGACGAUGGGUGUCUUCCUCAAGCAAGUGCGAUGGUGUGCGUGUGUGUAUGUGGGUCUCGGUGCAGAGAGAAAGGAGAGAGAUGAGAGUUUCGAGAGAGAGACGGCACCGACGAGAGCUAUUUGUUUUUUUUUAUCUUAAAAAGAGAGAGGUCUAAGAGAAAUGGGAAGAGAGGGCCGAGUGAAAUGAAAGGAGGUCCUUGAAUUAUUGAGAGAUAUCUCUGAGAGAGGCCUAGGAUUUCUAAAAGGUAAUCAUAAAUGGGAAAAAUGGGGCACAUCUUAGCCUUUAUUUUGGAAUCCUAAGAAGUUCACCACAUGGAUGCAUGACAUGUGUGCAUGCCAUGUUUGUUGAAUGGGAAAAGUCUGACACGGAAAGACAAAGAGUCGUUUGGGGCUCUGGGCUCGAGGCAAGACAGAAAGUGCUAGGGUUUUUUUCUGAAAUGAACAUAAGCUGCUAAAUUCGCAUAUAUUAUAGUUGUUGCUAAAGAUUGUCACUAGUGUGGACUUGGACGUGUUGGUCAACAUGUCCUCACAAUCCCCAAGUUCUCUGGUUCGAACCCUUGCGCCCAUCAAAUUUUCUUUCUUUUUGAUGCGCUUUUCCCAUGGCUCUAGGUCUUGAUUUCGAAUCCAAGUGAGCCCUUUCCUUUUUCUUUUUUGUUCUUUUUGUUUUAUUAUUUGUUUAUUUUAAUUUAUUUGUUUCUUUUAUGUUUUUCUUUUCUUUUAGUUUCUUUGUCUUAGGCGUUCGUUUUUAUUAAAGUAGGAUGUAAAAUCAAUUAUCUUAAAAUUAUGUGUUUUUAAAUUUUGGACUUGUUUGUUGGAUACUUUUUUUUCAUUUUAUCAUUCUUUUAUUAUGAAAAUAUGCUAAAAUAUGCUAAAAUAUCACUUAUGUUUUUGUGAAAAUAUGCUAAAAUAUUUAUAUAUAUGAUUUUGUUUUGAAUUCUUUUUGUACUAAUUCAUUAUAUAUAAAUGAUUAUGGUGUGUUUAAACUUCUUUAAUUAAUUACUACAUAUUUUCUAUACUCACAAUGUUUGCCAGCUCGCUAUAUAAUCAACUUAAAUCAGUUAAAUCCAUCAUGCAAUGCAUUUCCUUCCAAUUUUUUGUGAUAAACUUGUGAACACGGAAAAUUCCUGAAACGAAAGAGACAAGAACGAACGUGCACAAACAAAUAUUAUGUAUUUGAUGAUUUUGGGUUACAAUCUCUCUCUAUUUGAUCCUCUGAUUCAAUCUCCGUAAGGUGUGUAUUUGUGGAUGUGUGAUUGAUCCAAAGGGCCGUUGGGCUUGAUCUAAUGAUGAACGUUCUUCAAGGGCCGUGGACUUGAUCUUGAAGGUGGAUUUGAGCGGAUCUUCAAAGGGGCUUUUGGGCUUGAUCUUGAAGAACGGUUGGAUGUGUGGAUUUGUCGAAGUUGUUGAUCCAAAGGGCCGUUGGGGCUUGAUCUUGGAUGAACGGAUGAUGAACGAUGGUGCUUUCUUCAAGGGUCGUCGGGGCUUGAUCUUGAAUUGGUGGAUGGUUGAUCCAAGGGCCGUCGGGGCUUGAUCUUGGAAGAACGAUGAACGAAGAACGAAGAACACUUUCUUCAAGGGCCGUCGGGGCUUGAUCUUGAAUUGGUGGAUGAUUGUUGAUCCAAAGGGCCGUUGGGGCUUGAUCUUGGAAGAACGAUGAACGAAGAACAAAGAACGCUUUCUUCAAGGGCCGUCGGGGCUUGAUCUUGAAGGUGGAUGAUUGUUGAUCCAAAGGCUGUCGAGGCUUGAUCUUGGAAGAACGAUGAACGAAGAACACUUUCUUGAUUCUUCGGGAACCUGGACGCUUGAGAGCUUCGGAGUUUCAGAGCUUCAGAGCUUCAAGGUGUAAUAUGAAUUGGUCCCCCCUAAAUGAAUGAAAUGGGCUUGUAUUUAUAGAAUUUUCCAAGGCCUAAUUUUGAAUAUAAUAUCUCAGAUGAAAUAAGUCGUUUCUGCCAGGUGUUAACACGUGUCCUAUUUGAUGACUUUUCCAACUCAUUUCAAUUUUCGUUUAGUCACACGCUACGUGUAAAAUUUAUGUAAUACAUGAGCGUUGACACUUUGAUUUAUCGGUCAACAUUUAUUUACCGAAAUUUCGAUGUCUACAAAUGCCCCCACUUCAAGGCACGUCGUAUACCUGUGCUUGUCACGUGUAGGAGAUGCGUUUUGAAGUCCCUUACCGUAGAUGCCGAUUCAAGGGCCGUUGAAGCUUGAUCUUGAAUUGGGCUUGAGAUUUCUUCAAGGGCCGUUGAGGCUUGAUCUUGAAUUUUUGUUUGAAAUUUCUUCAGGGGCCGUCGAGGCUUGAUCUUGAAGGUUGAAAUUGGGCCACAAGGAGCUUCAUGUGGUAGAUGAUCUUUGGCUUUGGUAGUGGAUGAAUCGGCACGUAUUUUAUUGCGCUUGUUGACUUUCCACAGCUUUGAUCUUGAACUGGGUUGGAGGAUUUUCUGGAUUCCUCCAAUUGUUGAUUUUCCACAGCUUAUUCUUGAACUAGGUUUUGAUUCAAGGGUGGUAGACACUUGAUCUUGAAUCGGACUUGUGAUUUCCUCGAUGGCCGUCGAGGCUUGAUCUUGAAUUUGGUUGGAAACUUCUUCAAGGGCCGUCGAGGCUUGAUUCUUGAAGGUUGACUCGAACAUAUGGCAAGCAGGCACGAGGUGAAGGUGACGACUUGUUGCUUUGUUCAAUCUUUCUAAUUCACACCUGAGCAGUUUGGUCAACGGUAUGAUCCUCAAGAUUGAUGGGCUCUUCUUCCAGUUGGUGACUUGAUCUUUAAGGAUUUGAUUCAAGGGUGGUGAAUCGGCACGUGCAGCCCACAACGCCUAGUAAGCCGACCCAAGAAUUUGAGGGUCAAAACGGAUUCACCGUCAGAGUGAUUGCAACUUUGAUGAUAUGAGAUACUCUUGCUUUUGAAGAAGUAGUGGAUGAAUCAGCACGUGCUUUGUUGCGCUUGUCUCCACAUGCUUCAAGGUAUCAUCUUUAUUUCCUUUAUCUAUUCCUCAGGCAGAUGUGGCAUCUUCUCGAGUUCUUCAUCUCAGACUCUUUCUGCUGAGUUGACUGUUCAUGCUGCAUUCUUCUCUGCUUGUUCAUUCUGCACGUUGUCUCCACAUGCUGCAAGGUAUCAUUUUCACUUGCCUUAUCUGUUCUCCGGGCAAAUGUGGCAGCUUCUUUGAAAGUACAGUAGCAGCGGGAGGCGAGUACUCGAGAGCAGUGCUAGGUAGGCAAUCAGGGAAGGGUUCCAAGCAGUCGGUUCCUUACCCGAGUUUGAGUGGAAGUUCCGGCAUAUUGUUUUUUUUAUCCUUGUCUUUGUAGGUAAGAACAAGGACAAAGGAAAGGACAGGGAGAACGCAUGAUAUGAGAUACUCUUGCUUUCUACCCUGGUGAUAUGAGAUACUUUUGCUUUGGAGUCAUUGGCUUGCAGAGGUACCCCAAGGAAUAAGGAACACUGAAUGACUCGAGAGGCUUCGUUGGGAAAACAUCUUUGGAGAUGAAGAAAGACUUUGUGUGUCUGCCUUGCUAUGGAAGGCGAAGGUAGACAAUUAUAGGAAGUUCUUUGAUACCUGUAGAUGUACUAUUCUUUCACUCGUGUCGGCAACCAAUGCGUGAUUGAUCUAUAUGGCUUCACGUGCUUCCUUCUUUAUCAGAAAUCUUCGACAAACUGUCCGUAAUUUCCGCCAAGCUGAGUGUGCAUGUGAUAGGUGUUGACGCGGCUGAAAAAGACUGGCGCUUAUUCGAUAACUGGGAUCUGCGCUUCGACAAAUUACCCGUGAUUUCCGCAAAGCUGAGUUUGCGUGUGAUGGGUGCUGACGUGUCUGGAAAAGACUGGCGUCUCUUCGAUGUCUGGGAUCGGCACUUCGACAAAUUGCCCGUGAUUUUCGCAAAGCUGAGCUUGCGUGUGACGGGUGCUGACGCGUCUGGAAAAGCAAGAUGCUUCUUCGAUUUCUGAGCUUGCCUCUUCGAUUUUUGAAUGGCCUCUUCGAAUUCUGAGCUCGCCUCUUCGAUCUCUGAAAUCCCGUCGAGUGUUGAUUUUUUAUAGAGGCAUGCUGUUCGUUUCAAAGCACACUUGAAUUUUACUUGUGAAAACUCCCUUCUUGCACUUCUAAGAUCUUGAUUCGUCUGACCUCUUCUUCCUUCAACACUUUGAAAAUGUCUGGACCCUCCGACCGUCGUUUUGAUUUGAACUUUGGUGAAGAUGUAGUCCCGUCUUCUCCAGAUAACAUAUGGCGCCCAUCCUUCAUAUCCCCUACUGGUCCUCUUACUGUUGGGGAUUCGGUGGUGAAGAAUGAUAUGACCGCUGCGGUGGUGGCCCGAAACCUUGUCACUCCCAGAGAUAACAGACUACUUUCCAAACGGUCUGAUGAGUUGGCUGUUAAGGAUUCUCUGGCUCUCAGUGUGCAGUGUGCGGGUUCUGUGUCCAACAUGGCCCAACGCCUAUUUGCUCGAACCCGUCAAGUUGAAUCGUUGGCGGCUGAAGUGAUGAGUCUUAAACAGGAGAUUAGAGGGCUCAAGCAUGAGAAUAAACAGUUGCACAAGCUUGCACACAACUAUGCCACAAACAUGAAGAUGAAGAUUGACCAGAUGCAGGAAUCUGAUGGUCAGAUUUUACUUGAUCAUCAGCGGUUUGUGGGUUCGUUCCAACAGCAUUUGCCUUUGUCUUCUGGGGCUGUACCGCGUAGUGAAGCUCCUCAUGAUCAACCUCCAGCCCCUCUUCUUUCUGGAGUUCCACCGAGUGGUGUGACUUCAAACAGUCAACCUCCGACGUCUCUUUUCCCUAGAGCUCCACCGAGCACUGAGACACCACCUGAGCAAUAAAGACUCCCUCCCGUUUGUUUGCACAUUUGUAAAUUUUUUUUUUUUUUUUUUUUUUUUUUUUUUUUGGUAUGUAGAAUGCAAUUUUAUGUAAAAUUUCCAGAAAAAAUAAAUAAAAUGGAUUUUUAUUUCUCUUAAUGCUUUUUUUUUUUUUUUUUUUUUUGCUGUAUAUAUUAUACACACACAUUUAUACAUACAUAUAUACAUACAUAUAUAUAUAUUUUCACGUGGAGUGAUCCACCAUCCCAAAACCCAUUUUCCCUUUGUUUUUUUUUGCAUGGUGCUAGCCACCAAGAAUUCACCUUUUUUUUUUUUUUAAUUAAUUAAUUAAUUUAUUUAUUUAUUAAUUUAUUAUUAUUAUUUCUUUUUCGUCUGCUUUCACAUGGUGCUUGAUCCACCACUCUCUUUUCUUUUUUCACGUGGUGCCAGAUGCACGCCCCUUUUUUUUUCACGUGGUGACAGCACCACUCUGCUUUGCUCUACCACAUUUUUUUUUUUUUUGUAUAAAUUAGGAUGCUUGGCUGAGGGAUUUUGUAGGGAAGGACGAAGACGGACGGAGAGCCGGAGUUUGAGGAAGAGCUUCUCGGCCGGCUAGUCGUUUGACAGCGGUCUUUGAAGUUGGUGGCAGCUGCGAGGCAAGAGACGGAGGAGGACAGGGCAGCUGUGACGGACAGAGACGCCAUGGCAGGACCUCGAGGAGUUUUAAGAUACUGGUGCAGGUACUGGCGAGGUGAUUUUGACGAGAAAAGCAUGAAGAGGGCGUCGAGCACCAUGGGCCUGCAAUCCUUAAGGUUGAUCUCGUAGUCCUUGAGCUCUUGUUCAGGCAUGACGGGAUCCGCUGCGGUCUUUUUUAUCGGCAAUAAAGUUCUUUGCCUCAUAAAACAGCCCAGAACGCGAUAGAAGAGUUACGAACAAAGCACAAUGUGCAACUGUAGGUGUCUUGAUGCAGUUGAAGUAAAACUUCCCUUCCUCGACCAUGCGUGCUGCAACGCAAGCAUGAAGGACAGCAGCAUAGGUGAUUUCAUCGAUCUGUGUACUCGUUUCCUUCUCCAUUUGGCAGAAUAAAUCUACUCCGAUCUUUCCUUGUCCGUGUAAGCUGUACCCAGUUAUCAUCACUGUCCACGAAACAAGAUCUCUUGUACUUCGACCCUGGCAAAAACUUUUGCAGCUGAUUUGAUAAAUCCCGACUUGACAUACAUGUCCAUAAGAGCAUUCAGAACGGUGAGAUUCAUUCGAAUACCAUGUCGCAGCAAGAAUCCAUGAGUCUCUUUUGCCAUGUUUACCUGCAGACAUUCUUGCGCAUGCUGGGAGAACACUAGAGACCGAGAGCGGAUCAGGUUUCACCCCGUCUCCAACCAUCUGCCUAAACAGCUUAAGACCCUCAUUGAAGCAUCCCCUCUUCACAUUGGCAUGAAUCAUUUCUGUCCAAGAAAUGACAUCUUUCUCCGGUAUUUGGUUGAAAACUGCCCAAGCUUCGUCGACACAGCCACAGUCCAUGUAUAUUUUCAAGAUGGUAUUGCUCACCAACACAUCAUACUCCAAUCCACGUUCCUUGGCAACCCUGUGGACUUUUGUUCCAUCAAUCAACGAUCUCAACAUGCCACAGGCACCAGCCGCCGUCGCCACAGCCACAGAAUCUAUCUGUGCUCCGGACUCCACCAUUCUCUCAAACACAUGAACCGCCUUGCCGGGUUUACCUUCCGCAAUGUACAGCCUGGCCAGCAUUGUCCAUGAAACAGAGUCCGUAACCAGGGACUUGUCAAACAGCCCUUUCGCGGAGUCCGCGCUGUCGAGGCGACCGUACAACUCAAUGAGAGCAGCAACCACGUACCGGUCACCAGAGCAGCCGAGCUUGUGAGCGUGGGCAUGGAGUUGCUUGCCGAGGGAGAGAUCAACCGAAAGGCGAGAGGCAGACAAGACGCGAGGAAGAGUGUGUCUGUCGGGCGACGAACGCGCGGAUGAGCAUUUGGUGGUAAGUGGCGAGGGCGUGGUGGAAGUCGGCAUUGGCGAUAUGGGUCUGGAUAAGUCUGUUCCAUGCAAAGGUAUCUGAGUGGGGCAUUUUGUCGAACACCUUGUGGGUGACGGCCACCUUCGUGGUGGGUUUAGCAUUUCGGGAGUGCUUGUAGUGGGCUGUGUUGAUUGGGUUCUCGGUGACGAUCAAGCGCUGGAUUUGGGCGGAUGGAAGGGCUUCCAUUUCAGUUCAGUCGCACCCAAUUCAGCAUUGCCCGUACGGAUUCGAGCGCAGUUAUCGAGGAGGAGUUUCCUUAAGAAUAGAACCAAUCACCGACUCCUCAAACCCAUCCGGAUAUGCGAUUUUCAUGAGGUGCAAACAAGAACCCUCUGCCAUAAGUGGCAUGAUCACCCAAAGGUUUCUUUCAACGACAAAUGAACAAAACGCCCUCACGACAUUGGGAUGAUCUAUUAAUCUCAUCGUCUGCGCCUCCCUCCGGAUAUCCUCGAAAUUGCUAUUGCACCGAUCGAGAUCCAAGCACUUGACGGCGACGACUUCAUUGAAAGGGAGAUAGAUCGCUCUGUAAACCGUUGCGCUGGCGCCAUAUCCGACCUCUUCCAGAAGCUUGUAGUCGUUCGGAUUCGCCGAGUGAAGCCUCGAAUUGCUACCCAUCCUCCCCAUCUGUUCGAGGACUUGUGCUUCAGAUAUGUCGUUUUGAGGCUACGGGCUCUGCGUUUGGGCUGUGUGCCAGUUUGGGCUUAGUGUUGCUUUGGAGAGAUCUAGGUUUGGUUGAAGAGGUACGGUGAAGCCAUGGGCAAGGGAGAUGACGAAUUGGGCUUGGAGGCUGACACUUGGGCCUGGAUGGCCUCCUUUUGAGAGGCUUGCUGCUGAUGGAUAUACAUAUAUAUAUUUGUAUGUAUAUGUAUGUAAAAGAAAUCUUUUUUUUUUUUUUUAAUUUUUUAAUUUUUUUUUUUAUGUGACUGAACUCGAAAAAAUUGAACAUUCGAGCUGCCUACGUACCCCUCCAAAGAAGAGAUCAAGUCGCAACGUAGUUCAAAUACAUUUUUGGUAUUUUCUUUUUGUGUCGUUUGCAGUUUUAACUCAUGCAGGCAAGGAGUGUUGGUGUCGUUUGCAGUUCCAACUCUUGCAUACAAGGAGCGUUGGUGUUGCCUUUUAUGCUCGUGUAGGCCAGGAGCGUUGGUUCGUGCAGUUUAGGCUCGUGCAGGCGAGGAGCCUUUGGUGUCGUUCGCAGUUUCAACUCGUGCAAACAAGGAGCAUUUGGUGUCGUUCGCAGUUUCAACUCGUGCAGACAAGGAGCAUUUGAUGCCGUGUUGCAGUUUAGGCUCAUGCAGGCGAGGAGCGUUGGUGUCUUGUAGUUUAGGCUCUUACAGACAAGGAGCUUUGGUUCGUGCAGUUUAGGCUCGUGCGAACAAGGAGCAUUGUUGGUUCGUCAAGCGAUCCGAGAGAGUUGUUCCUCACAAUCUUCAUAGCAAGGAGCCUUGACCGCGUGAUUGAAGAAGUCUUCGGGUAAAAAGUCGCGCAUCGUGAUGGCAACAGACAAUCUUUGUGUCGUAGUUUCAUCAUCUUCAACACGUUCACGUUGCUUUGAAGGUUGACAAUAGCUGCUUUGCCCCCUUUUCAAUUGGCGGACUUGUGGAGGAGACGUAUGCUUCUUGUGCAAUUUCUUAGGAGUGACUUGAGUCCAUCCUUCAAUUUUGCUUGUCUUGGACGAUGCCCCCAGCGGUUGAGGUGAAAACUUUGAGUCGGAAGAGCCAGAAGUGAAGGUGGUAUAGUUUGACUUUGCCACUUCGUCAAGAUCUAGCUCGAUGAUUCCUUUCUGAGCCAGCUUCAUGAUGAGAUCUUUCAGCACGAAACAUUUUUCUGUCGGAUGACUGAUGAAGCGGUGGAAUUUACAGUACUUUGGACUGUCGGUGCGAUUCAUCUCUUCUGGCCGUUUGCACUCAGGCAAACCAAUCACCUUCUUUUCCAACAGGUCAUCCAGUAUGGCAACCACAUCAGAGUCGGGGAAUGGAUAAGUCUUCUCCUCAAGCUCCUUUAAAGUGCGUCUACGCAUUUCUUGAUCACGAAAAGCUUCGGUUUGAAUCGCCUUGCCUCGUGUGGAUAUUUUGACGGGAGAUGUGUUGACCGUCAUCGCUUCCUUGGUGGGUUUCCAUGCAGCCUUUUCCACCUUUGUCCCAAGAACUUUGUCGUUCUUGUAGUCGGCGAUUGGUUCUUUCUUCCCAUGAUGGGCGAUGCUCAACUCCAUGUCAUGGGCGCGAGUGGCCAAUUCCUCGAAGGUCCGCGGUUUAAUGCCUUGAAGGAUGUAUUGCAAACCCCAUUGCAUGCCUUGGAUGCACAUCUCGAUUGAAGAGGUUUCCGAGAGCCUGUCUUUACAGUCGAGGCUUAGAGUGCGCCAUCUGUUGAUGUAGUCAAUGACUGGCUCGUCCUUCCACUGCUUUGUGCUUGUUAGCUCUAGCAUGCUCACAGUGCGGCGAGUGCUGUAGAAGCGGUUGAGGAAUUCCCGCUCCAAUUGCUCCCAGUUGUUGAUGGACUCAGGCUCUAGGUCAGUGUACCACUCAAAGGCGUUUCCUUUUAGUGAGCGCACAAACUGCUUGGCGAGGUAGUCCCCUUCGGUCCCUGCGUUGUUGCAAGUUUCAACAAAGUGGGCAAUGUGUUGUUUCGGGUUUCCCUUUCCAUCAAAUUGCAUGAACUUUGGCGGUUGAUAACCCUUCGGCAUCCUUAAGGCGUCGAUUUUCUUUGAAUACGGCUUCGAGUACAACCCGGAGGUAUUUGAGCUCCCUUCGUACUGUGCCUUGAUGGUGUUGGUGAUCAUCUAUUGCAGCUGCUGGAUAGAAAGAGAUCCCAUGAGUGCCGCUGCUUGGUCUGGCUCCGGCUUUGCAUCGUUUUUCUCCACCUGAGGCUCAUCUUCUUCGUCAUCUCUUCUCUUUAGUGGAUCAUUCUCUGGGUCGGGUUUAUCGCCGUCCUGCGCCUUUAGUCGAUUGACGAGUGCUGCAAUUUGCAAGUCUUUUUUCUUCCACCGUUCGGGUCAGCCUUGCGAUUGCUUCAUUCAUCUGAGCCAGUUGUUCUUCAACGGAGGUAACGCCGAUAGUCAUGACUUGUGCGACCAAUAUACGUGACUUUCCUUUAGACAUCCAGGAUGCUGAUGAAGAACGUCGUUGGCUGCUUUGGGAUGUCAUCUUAUGUGCCUCAGCAUCAUGCUUCGGUGCCCCCAGCGAGGUCAGGUUGAUGACAGACUCGCACCUUGGAUGCUCCCCUUGCUCUUUUAGCGGCACCAAUUUUGAAGUAGCAUGUUGGGGAGCGGUUGUGGCGCCAAUGGAUUGUCUGUUUGCGGCAGAAGUGCUUAGGAUCCUUCCCUCAGUGGUUGCGAGAAUGGCUUGUCCUUUGCUUGAUGCCAUUGACUUUGAGGUGUGCUUGGAUUCCUUGAACGAAGAAAGAGAUGAGAGGUAGAGAUUGUCCCACCGGGCGUGCCAAUUUGUGAACACGGAAAAUUCCUGAAACGAAAGAGACAAGAACGAACGUGCACAAACAAAUAUUAUGUAUUUGAUGAUUUUGGGUUACAAUCUCUCUCUAUUUGAUCCUCUGAUUCAAUCUCCGUAAGGUGUGUAUUUGUGGAUGUGUGAUUGAUCCAAAGGGCCGUUGGGCUUGAUCUAAGGAUGAACGUUCUUCAAGGGCCGUGGACUUGAUCUUGAAGGUGGAUUUGAGCGGAUCUUUAAAGGGGCUUUUGGGCUUGAUCUUGAAGAACGGUUGGAUGUGUGGAUUUGUCGAAGUUGUUGAUCCAAAGGGCCGUUGGGGCUUGAUCUUGGAUGAACGGAUGAUGAACGAUGGUGCUUUCUUCAAGGGCCGUCGGGGCUUGAUCUUGAAUUGGUGGAUGGUUGAUCCAAGGGCCGUCGGGGCUUGAUCUUGGAAGAACGAUGAACGAAGAACGAAGAACACUUUCUUCAAGGGCCGUCGGGGCUUGAUCUUGAAUUGGUGGAUGAUUGUUGAUCCAAAGGGCCGUUGGGGCUUGAUCUUGGAAGAACGAUGAACGAAGAACAAAGAACGCUUUCUUCAAGGGCCGUCGGGGCUUGAUCUUGAAGGUGGAUGAUUGUUGAUCCAAGGGCUGUCGAGGCUUGAUCUUGGAAGAACGAUGAACGAAGAACACUUUCUUGAUUCUUCGGGAACCUGGACGCUUGAGAGCUUCGGAGUUUCAGAGCUUCAGAGCUUCAAGGUGUAAUAUGAAUUGGUCCCCCCUAAAUGAAUGAAAUGGGCUUGUAUUUAUAGAAUUUUCCAAGGCCUAAUUUUGAAUAUAAUAUCCCAGAUGAAAUAAGUCGUUUCUGCCAGGUGUUGACACGUGUCCUAUUUGAUGACUUUUCCAACUCAUUUCAAUUUUCGUUUAGUCACACGCUACGUGUAAAAUUUAUGUAAUACAUGAGCGUUGACACUUUGAUUUAUCGGUCAACAUUUAUUUACCGAAAUUUCGAUGUCUACAAAACUAAUAGAUAAUUGACUAAAUAAACAUCCUGCAAAGUUUCAAUAAAAAUUUCCAAGUUUUUCUUACAAUUUCUGUGGUUUCCAUAUUAUUUUUAUCGAUAUCGAUAAUAUCCCGAUAUUUCAAUCGAUAUUUCCGUGUUUUUGGACUACCGAUAUUUCCGAUAUCAUCGAUAUUUUAUACCUUGGCGACGGGGGACUUGCCGACUGGUGCCACCGUGGACGUUGGGUCUUUCGAAAUGUGGUGUAAUGUUAUGAUCCCACAUCGGCUACACAAGAAAUUGUGUAGUGGUACUUAAGUGCAAGGGGUCCUCCCACCUAUUGGACUAGUCUUUUGAGUUGGGCUCUUCCCUUAGGCUUGAGUACCUAACAAACCCAUAAAUCAAAGAAAUCAAAAUCCACCCAGAAUCAAAGAAAUCAAAAUCCAUCCAGAACCAAAGAAAUCAAAAUCACACACAGAUAUACAAGGUGUACAGUACUGACAUGCCUUAAAUGAUAUUAUUCACAAGAUUUAUAAAGCUCAUGUCGUAAUACUUGUGCAGAAUCUAUCAUUCACGGCGUCACUUUUGUGCAAGUUGUAAAUAAAAUUAUUCACAAUUUAAACAUUGUGUGUCGUAUUUGACAAUUUAUACUACGCACUUUCUUUUUCUUUUAAAGCUUUGCGUUAUGUCGUGAAGUUGACUUUCUAUAUAUUUGGGUUGUACCUUUUAUGGCGCAAAUAACACGUCGUAAAUAAUGGCUUUUAGCACAGAAGUUUUGUGGUAAAGAAGCCCGCGCACUAAUUCAUUCUCGCGCCUUCUCUUUUUUAUUUAGCCGCUUCUUUUUUUAUUUUUUAUUUUUUUUGUUAAAUUCCCCUCAAAUGUUAAAAGAAAAAUUAAUGAAAUAUUUGAAAACUUUGAGUUUUAACGAUAAGGAUAAAAUAAAAGGUAAAAUGAAUAGUACCAAAAUUGACUUUUUAGUGUUAAAAUAUGAUUUUUCGUUAAAGUGAACAGUGCCGAAAGUUUUUCGUUAAAGUUCAAUGUUAAAAGGUUUGUAUUUUCUUGGUAAACUUGAAAGACAAACAUUGCAAUUGCAUUUUCAUUUACCCAAUAUUAAUUGUCGAGAGCCCACCCCCUUCCCUUCUCACUGACAUCGUAACUCUCUCCUCUCCAUCGAUCUCGCUCCAUCUGCUCGCCGUCGCUCUAUAUGCUCGUCAUCACCGUCGAUUCGUCUGCUCGUCGUCACCGUCGCCCAUCUGCUUUCCGUCACCGUCGAAGUGCCCCGCCAUUCAAGAUCUGAAAUCCCCAAUACAGGGUGCUUUGCGGCAUUUCGUUCUCCAAAACUUUAGGUAUGCUCUCAAUCUGUAUCAACCCUAUCCUGUCCCCUCUAGAUUUUUGUUUAGUCUCAACUUUAUGGUGCUUUUCUUAGAUUUGUUCUAUCACUGUAAUUUUAAGGGAUUUUAGGUAAUAAAUUUGGUUGAGAAUCUCAGUUAGGUUUGUAAUUGUUUUCUUGGUUGCCUGGGUUUGAGGAUGAUUAAUCCACUUUCUGAAGUUUAAUUACUUUGAACUUUGAUUUGUGGGAAACUGCAAUCAAAAUGUUGCUAUGGCUUUAUAGUUAGAAUCGAUUGUGAGUCUUUGCACCACAUCAAGCAAUACCCCGGUGUUGUAAUUCCGAGGUUUGUAAUUGCCGCUGUUAAUGAUGGUUUGGUCCAUCCUUUUUAGGGAGAUGACUUCAAUGAUUGAAACUAGUUUAUCAUUAUUUCAGAACUCUGUAAUACGAGACAUGAUAUUCCAAAAAAUAUUUGCAUGAAUAUAUGUGCAUUGACUGACUAUUUUUCAGUCUUUGAUAGUGGAGAUAACUCUUUCAGGUCAUAUGUAGUUCUUACAGAAAUUGUAUGGUAUUUUGGUUGGUUUUGUGUUCUGGUUGUAGCAAACUGGUGGAUGCCCUGAGAUGAGUAGUUAUCUACAAAGUGGAUGGAUCCUGAAGAGUACAAAGUCUAAGGCAUUUUAUGUAAAGGUAAAUCCUGUUACUUUUAAUUACUUAUAUGUGAAUGCCUGCCAUUUGAAGUAAAAAUUCUUUUAGCCAUUACAUUCUUCAUAAAGAUCUUUAUAUGCUCAAAAGAAGGAUUUUUUUUAGAUGCCAUGUAACUGGUGGUGGCUAGCCUCUUCUUUUUAAGACUCUAGUGUGUUUCAAUUACACUAGUCAAUCGUUCUUAUGUGUAUUAUGUUUUGUUGAUAAGAUGGCCAAGACAAAGUUGUAGAGCCCUAGUAGCAGGGUGCUGUUGGCAUUUAUAUUUUUCUUUUGAAGGGGUGUUUAUUGCUUUUAUACUUUCAUUGUUUACUCUCAUACAUACAAUACUGAAAAAUAAGCAUGUAUUGACGCGUAAUUUUAGAUCCAUAUUUAUACAUAAUUUUGAUUACAUGUCCAAAUUACCCAAGAUUCUUUUUCCUUUACAAAUUUGUGGAGUGCAUUACAUGGAUAUGAUUCAUGUAUGAAAUACACAUGACUCUCACUAAUUUAAGGGCAGCAUCAUUGACUGUACAGUUUUCAAUUCUUUAUAAUCAUGAGUAUAGACAUUUUUUAAUUCUUUAUAAUCAUGAGUACAACAAUAGUUUCUAUAACAAAAUUCUGUUAAAUAUGUAAUAUCAGUAUUUGUUUUCCAGGUUCAUUAGUUGAGGAUGAUUUUUCCAAGAAAGAAAAGAUCGCGGCUUUCAGGCCGAUCUAAAGAACAUUAUGUUGAUAUUGCACCUGAGAUCUUACAAGAAGAGGACGAAGAAGUACCAGAUGACCUAUUUACAGAGGAGUCGAAUCAAACUAAAAGAAAGAGGGGUCCUACUAGAAUGAAGACAAUUUCCACAAAUGAUGGUCAACGAAUUGAGAUUGAAUGGAAUGAAAACGGCCAGUUUAUUGGUGACGGAUCUAUUGACUUAUCUUCUUACAUGGGUUCUUUGGUCCGAGAGGUUGUCCCUAUAACAUUUGAUACUUGGAAGGAUGUUCCUAAGAAAACAAAGGACAUCCUAAUCAAGGUAAUAUGCAGAUAAGUCAAUUCUGAUCCCUCUACUUCAAGGUGAACAAUUUAUAGUUUAUAAAUUUUACUUGUGUUAAUAUAUAUUUUUUGGUAAAUGUUAUGGAUAUUUUAUCAAAUCAGAGAGUAAAUUCGUAUUAAGUGAAGAUUGGCAAAGAACAUAUUGUUUUGAAAGGAUGAAUAAUGUUUGCAGAUCACAUAUAUCAGUAGUUGUGAAGUCCAUAAGAGAAGCAAGAAAUUGGAAAGCAAGGCUUCGUCUAAAACCAAAUAAUGUCAAAUUAAUUCAAGAUUGGAAGACUUCCCUUGCAAAGUGUAAGCUCAUUUUCCUUUUCUUUUAUUUCUAAGAUUAGUUAUCUUCUUUUGAGUUCAAAAUUGGGUCAGAGAAAUCAAACUGAUAGUAGUUAAAAGUCUAUUUCAACACCAAGCCUUGUCUACACAAGAAUUUGGUGUUAGUUAAACAUGUGUAUGAUUCUAUCUUGAUUGCAUGUUAAUUUAGUUUGAAGAUAGAUUUGGUACAUGCUAGCUAAUUGAUACGUGAUAUGAAUCUUUGGUUUCCUUUUGAUAGGACAAAAGCGAAACAUUCAGAGAGAUGAAGUCUAAGCAACUCCGCACACAUGUAGUCGCAAGGGAUAUGGUAGGUUGGCGGAGGAUUUGGUAAUUACAUUUCAUUCUAGUGCCUUCUUUUCUACAGGACAAGAACAAUUUACUAAUUUUAUUCUGUGUUCUACUGUGUGUUUACUACAUUUAUGUUUCUAUUUUGUAGAAAAGAAAAAGUGUAGACCCUUCUCUAGUUUCUAGAGGUGAUGUUUGGAUUGCAGCACAUACUAAAAAGGGUGGUGGACCAUCCAAUUUGCUUGCUGCAGAGACUAUUGUAAGUAAUUUUUAACCAUUUAUUUCUUCUUGUUUGUUGAUAUGCAAUGAUGAAUGAGGUCUUAACUUUGAUGUGCAACGUUAGGAAAAAAAUUAAGCAAUAUGGAAAUGGAUCAUCAUCUGGUUUUCGAGGUGACGUUCUUUCCAAAGUUUUUGGUGCUGAGCGACAUGGUCGUGCAAGAGGAGUUGGAGGUGGUGUUCCUCCUACAAAGCUUGGAAUAUUUUCACAACAAAAAUUGCGUAAUCACCAAAUGGAUGAAAAGGUGCACAAUUUAACUAAUCAGGUCAGAGCACUGACAGAAUUGGUGUAUCUUUUUAUGAAAAAUCAGGUUAGUGAUUUAAUAACAUUGGUAUCAUAUUGAAUAUUUGUGAAAUCAGUUUUAGUGACACAUCAAAUCACAGGGUAAUGAUCUACCAAGUGAGGCAUCUCCUGACACACAGGUUGCAGCUCCUGAGGCACAUGUUGAUACUGUCGCAAGAACUGAAACUUGUCUUUCCCAUUGCGCAACAAAUGAAUCGUGGUGGCGAGGUUGAUACACUUUUUCAAUGAGCCUUCUAACUAUUAAUGCUCAUUGACUCUGUUAAAAGCUCUGCCAUUUUCAAUCUAACUAGACACUAGAAAUGAUCAUUGACUCUGUUAAAAGUUAUGAUGUUUUGGUCCUUCUCCAUAGUUGCGCAUCUACUGAUGUCUAUUUUUUUUCAAAUACUGCAGGUUAUUUCUGAAAACAUUGAAACAUCGUGGUGUACCAGAUGGUUUGAUUAUAAGACACCUUCCUUUUGGUCCACCAACUUAUUUAUAACUGCUAAAUGGUACGUAGUGUGAUAAUUUUCAAAUAUUUUGAUAUUAAGACAGGUGUAGGACAACAUAGAAAUUCUUAGGGCCUUCAGCAACAAAAUUAUGAAAAAGUGAGUGAGAUACAAUUAAAAAAAUGAAAGAGAAGGAUCAUGAUUCAUGAUCUAAAGGUUUGAAUAGGGUAGAAAGGAUUUAGUUUCGUUGUUAAAAUCGAUUGUGAGUCUAUUGUUAUUGUAUUGUCAAUUUGUUUAUUUACUUGAACUUCCUAGUAUCAAUUUGGUUCGAUAUAUCUAGCACCACCAUAGAUAUAUCUAGUAUCAAUUUGGUUAGAUAUUGUCAAUUUGUUAUUGUAUUGUCAACUAUAGAAUGUGCAUCAGUUGUAAAAGGAACAAAACAAUUCAGAUUUUUUGUUUAUGUCCAAACUUAGAAUUGUAUUGUAAUUGACAAUUUCUACUAAUUAAUUUAAAGUAUUUGGAGUUUAAUAUGUUUAUGAUCAAUAUUGUUAUCCUUCUAUUGUAUCAGUUUAGAUGUUAUGAAGUGAGGUCUGUCUAAAAAUGAUAUGCUAAAUAUAGAUGUAAAUUACGGCAUCUAAAAUCAGCAAUAAUUGUUGAUGGUAGUCUUUUUUUACGAUGCACGAUGUAUGCCGUAAUCACCUUCACAAUAUUACGACACUCAACAAAUGCUGUAUCAAAUAUAAAUUACUGCACACAAGUAUGUCGUAAUUGUUUUUCAGUAUUACGACACCCUAUUAACGCUGUAACUAAUACCAAUUAAGGCGCGUAGGACAUGCCUUAAGAACAUUUAUGGCGUGUUUUACUUAAAUUAUUCACUACUAUUAGAGUACGUCGUAUUUGUCAAAACAUCUUUUACAACAGGGGCUUUUACUGCUUGGAGGCUCACGUCGUGAAUUUCCAUUUACGGCACCCUUUGUGCGCCGUAAAAGGCCAAUUCUAUUGUAGUGAUCCAUGGGUACAUUUUUAAUCUACAUGUUUCGUUUUAAUAUAUCUAUUGCUAUAAUAUGUUUUGGUUGGUUCAAAUUCGUUUUACAUAAAUAUAUGGGUACAAAGUUUUUGGAGAAUAUUAUGUAAAAUGGUUUUUAAGGUUGUUGCAUUUUAUGUACCCACAUAUGCAUGUCUAUAAAACAAUGUGGUAUGAUGUACAUUCUUUUCCUUGAGUUUUUAAAUGUACCCAUGAGUUUUCUUGUAAAUUCAGUAUGUAUCCAUAUGCUAUUUAUGUUAUGGGUACAUAAAUUAUUUUUGGUCUAAGUUGGUGGGUACAUUGCUUUUGUAUGUAUGAAUUCAUUGGGUACAUUAUUUCCCUUAAUACUACUCAAUAAAAUUCACAAAAAUAUGUGCAGUGUGCAUGAAUUUUUAUUGUAGAAAUUGUUUUUUUUUAAUUUUUAAUUUUUAAGUCUCAUAAUUCGUGAAUUUUGUACAUAUUGAUCCCAUAAAUUUUUGAAUUUUAUUAAAUUUCUUUUAGACUUGAUCGAUUGAUUGAAUCUCAUAAUAAUCCCUUAAAUGUUCCAAUCAAUAUUUUAAAUUACAGCUUUUUAUUUAAGAUUUCAAAAAGAUGACAUGAAAAUAUAGUAAUACUAAAAUUUUAUUUUAAAUUACAUUUGUGUAACAAUCAAUGGUAUGUUAAAACUGGGCAAAAAAAAAAGGUAUAUUAAAAAAUUAUAAUUUAUUCUUUUUUUCAUAACUGUCUUCUGCUUAGAUUAAAUUUUUACCAAUUUGGGGGAAUUAGUUCUUACCAAUAUAUAUGCACAGUAUUUGCUUUUUACCUGGGCUUAACACAUGAUUAAUUACUUUCCUACCUGCUAACGCGUUGAUUUGCGCAUCCAAAGUAUUAUCAAAGUCACUGCCACCAAAAAGGUGCCCACUCCACAACCUUUGGUUGAACCAAAGAACAUCACAACAAUAAGGAAAUCGUUAAAUCUAUCUCCGCAACAUUUUUAUUAAUCAUUAGAUAGAUUAAACGAUUCCCCUGUUCAUAUUGUGUUCUUUUGUUGAACCAAACCAUGUCAACAAAAUAUAUCUAUGGUUAAGCAUCUAGAUUCAUGCUUUUGGAUGUGCAUCUUAAACCCCUCAAUGAAUAGCCAAGCAAUUUAUCAUGUGUUUACAGUAGGUCAAAAGAAGAAAGUGUUUGUCUAUAUAUUGGUAGGAACCAAUUCCUCUGAAGAGGAGAGAUGGAAGUGAUGAUAAUACUUUAAAUAAUCAAAGCCCAAACAUUUUAUCAAAUUUCAUCUCUGUACUCCACGGAGACACUAAAUGAGACAUAUCUGGUCCAUCUCUGAACAUCUUUUCUUACCGUUCUUACAAUAGAAAGGGCACAAAAUUGACUUACACAGUCUUGCACAAUACUCACUUUGCUUCAACCCAUAUUUCACUUUGUCAAAUCAUACACGUUCCUGCAAUAGGUGAACUCAUAUGUAUCUACCACUUCUUGCUAAUUUUAAUUUUUCCAUUCCCAUUUUUGCUACAAGUUUCACAUAAAUUUUUUAUUGCACUUGUCAAUUCUUUAUACUUUUUUAUUGUAUUUUUUUUUUGUCUUUUUUUUGUAUUAAACAAUUACAUGUCCUCCAAAAGUUUUGCUUAUUGCCCUAUUUCAUCAAGCUCGGUAUAAAUAGAUCUUAAUUUUUUACUACAGUUAAAUACAUGGACAUGCCUCCACAAAUACAAAUUAGUUCUUGCUUAAAUACUUUGUGUGUUUACAUAGAAAAUGUUCCCAUCGUCUACCAAAAUCCUCCACACAUGAAAACAAAAAUUCUUACUCAAAAAUACAUAUUACAAUACCACCAUAUCUGUUGUUUUUUAUUAAAUUAACACACUGUUUUCAAUUUUAUCUUUAACACAAAAGAAAAUGCUCUUACACAAUAUGCUUGUUUACAUUUUAUAACUUAUCUACCACAUGUUAAUCGCAAUUAUAUAAAUAGGAAAACACGUGUCAAUAGAAGUGUGAUGCAUGCUACUUCGUUAACAAUAGUGGCAACUAAACAAUUAAAUAAUUUGUUUCAAUUAGUUAGUACAUUUUAUAAAUUUCUUAAUUAGAACUGUUUCAGUAUAUUCAAUACAUUUUUAAACAACUUUCCAGUUAGUUGCCCAAACUAAUUAUUCCAGCUUAUUCAUAGUAUAAUACCAACAAUUUAACAACCAAUGAUACUUCGUUUAACAUAAACUUCAUUUGGAAAAAACAAAAAAAUAUCUUUUUCUCUGCUGAAAAAUCCAACAGAGUUAUUGAUGCAGAUCAGUUAUACCAACAAAUUACCAUAGUUUACCCAAUGCUAUACAGGUUUGACUUUUGUUUAUAUUCUUGGAUCUGUUGCUUGGUUGUAUAAUUUGGUUGUGUGUUUUGUUUCAGGACAAUUUGUUCUUCGUUUCUUGAGGCUUUUGUGUGUAGAUUUGAAACCGUUUAGCUUUCAAGCCGUGUAUACUCAAGGUAAAUAAUUUCGUUUUUUUCUUUGUAACCUUUUUUGUAAGAAAUUUUUAUUUAAUGUUGUGAGAGUUGUGUUUUCUAGAGUAUGAAAAUUGAAUCUUUGUGAUCUUAUAUCCUUAGAUAUGUUUCUUGGUUAUAUGAUUUGGCUGUGUGCAUUGUUUCAGGACAAUUUGUUCUUCGUUUUUUGGGGCUUCGGUGUGUAGCUUUGAAGCCUUUUGUAGUCAACAUAAAUAAUUUUAUUUUUCUUUGUUUCUAGUCUUCUUUGAAAGAAUUUCUUAGUUAAUAUUCUGAGAAUUAUGUUUACUAUAGUAUGAAAAUUGAAUCUUUGUGAUCUUGUAAGUGAUGUAACGUCAUUGCAACAUGUAUGACUGCCAUUAUCGAACAUGAAGAGCUUUUUGAUUUUUGUACUCCGUCCUUUCAUACGAUCUGACUCAAAAAUUGUUUCAUCACAGGUUCUAACAUGAUUUUUGCGACGUCUUAUGAAAAUACAAUGUCACUUCUGGUAUUCCAACUUAAACAAAUUACAAGGGAUGUCUAGUUUUAAACCUGCAGUUAGUAUAUACUAAAACGACGGUUUUGGCCCUGCUCUCGACUUCUUCAGAAACCUCGAGAAACUUCAAACUGAGAAAGCUUCUCCCUUCCAUCUCUGCUACGCGAUCUCUGCUUUGCGAUCUCUGCUUCCUCCGUGAUUUCUUCCCUCCUGAUCGACAUCUAUUCGAAUUGAAAACCUUCUGGAGCUCUCUUCCCCAAAUUUCAGCAGCAACUUUGCUCCAGAUCUUUCCAAUUGAAAUUCCUCUCCUUCACAUUUUGCAUAUUGAAUUUCGCAUCAUUAUCAUCUCCCUAGAACCUAGGAGUUUGGUUCGGUUUCGAGUUUUCCGACGGAAAUCCGGCGACAGCGGCCAUCGAGGUUGGUCUGAAACUAUUCCUCAUCACCACAAGUACUUUCUACACCUAUUACACUUUAGAAAAAAUUUCAUGAUUUGGUGGAAUCCAAUUUAAUGAUUAGAAAAAUUUUCAUUAAUUUUCUGGGUUCGUGGGUUGGAGGUGGAUUAGAAAUUUUUUCAUUAUUUUUCUGGGUUUGUGGUUUUUUUCCAAAACGUUUUUCCUUUCUACUAAUCCAAGUUCCUUCACAUCAAUCUCUCUGUUUCGUUCUUGAUCUUCCGCGAGUAGAAUACCUCUCCUUGCUCUCGAGCGCGUGGGCAGUCGCUCCAAGGCAGCCCAUGACGUCAUUUUCCGAUUCGACUCGGAGGAGGUUGGCUGCUCUUCUUGGCUGAGCUUCAUGGCUGGCCGAAUUCCCCUAUUCCCUUCCUCUUAUACUCUUUUGUAUUCGUUCACCAAAACAAUAGGAAAACGUCUCCGUCUGUUUGAUUGACGGCGAAGAAAAAAAGACGGAGAUAAAAGCCUGACGGAAGCUGAAAGCUUGGACUCUGUUUGUAUUUUUAAUGGAUUUUCAGAACACAGGUCAAGAAUACUGCGAUUUGAGAAAGAAAGAAAGAACCACGUUGACAUAAUAUAUUCACAAUAGGCGUACAUAAAGCUUUACUGUGGUUCCAUUUUUUUGCAUAUUUCAAAGGCUCUGAAUUGUUAAGGGAAUUAGCCUUUUGUUUUAGGAAGAACUUGGAACCCCCUCCGUCCAUUCUAUUCCCGAUGGAAUUAACACUUAGAUAGUACUAUGACAAUGUGUCAUUAAUUGAUGCAUACCUGUAUAAAUUUAGGCCAAGUGUUUUAUACACAAAUUGAUACAGAUUAAGCUUCUGGGUCGAAAUCAUAUACCGGUGAGCUAACUACACAAUGAUACAUUCUUAUCUGUUAAUUAUCUUUGGUUACCAGCUAUCCAUGUUGCUGACAUAUUAAACUACACAACAUCUAUUGUAAUUUAUGUCUUAUUAGUAUCAUCACUUUUGUUCUUUAUUUCAAUGUCUAACAUAAUGAUCUGGUUUCAAUUUGCUACAGGCAUUAUUUCCAGACAAUAGCUAUGGUUUUGAUUGUAGCGGUGACUGAAAAAUUAUUCCGAAACUAACAUUUGAGGAAUUCAAGGUUUGUUAGUUAAUUUGUACAUCAGAAUACCAUGACAAACUAUGAAGUUGUAAUUGUUGACCUUACAAUGUAUCUUUUUUGGUUUGGAGCAUUAGACUUAUAUGUGUUGCUUUCACUUCAUGAAGGCUAACUCUUUAUUUUAGGCCUUAGAAUAUAAUUUUUUGGAGAAUCUACAUUGUUGAUAAUUUUUUGAACAAUAUUAUCCCCAAAAUUUCUCCGCAUGUUACCCUCAACGUAGACAUCAUAUAACCAUCAUUGAACUUCUGAACCAAAAAUUUGAGUUUUAUGAUUAUAACUAAACGUCUAUAAACACAUGAUACAGAUUGAGACGAAUGUCAAAUUUAAAAUGGCAUUAAUCAGGACAGCUGCAAACUCUGAUUUGCGGCCUUUGAAAUGGAGCAGUUACUUCUUGCUUCACUUCAACAGCAUAGUCCAGCUUCUAAAUUCAGUUCUCAGGUAUGAGGUUUCUCAGUUACCUCUUUUUUGUAAUAAAACAUUUGAUCAGUACUUGCCAGGAUAUCCAAUUAAUUAGGUCAGUUUUUGUUAGCGGUAAUAAUUUGUUUUUGUAGCUUUAUAUGUGUCUCUGUCUCCAAAUAUGAUGAUCUCUUAAUUUGCUUCUAUAGCUUUUGUAAUAUAAUGAUCUCUUAAUUUGCUUUUGCAUAUCUUCUUUGCUUCCUCUGCUAGCUCUAUAUGAGAUUCCAUCUCCAAAUAAUUAUUCCUUAUUUCCUAUUUUUACAGGAAGCAAAUCAUUGAAUACACAUGGAAAAUUAAAAGGGUUUUAGUUUUUGGAGUAGUUUAAAUUUUUUGUUUGUUAUUGCUUGUAUUGCUGUUAAAUAUUUGAUGGGUAGUUUGAAAUGGGGAACUUGGUUGAUUGAGUAUUAACUUUUAUUAAAUUAAUAUUCUUAUUCAAUAUUGAAUUAAGACUCCUCUUAUUAAAUUAAGACUCUUAGAGUGCGUUUGUUGCGCCAGACUGUCUCGGACUGGACUAGCUGCCGGGACUAAGCUGGACUGGCUUAGACUGGACUAAGCUAGACUAACUUAGUGAAGCGUUUGGUGUAAUGUCGGACUAAGAAGCAGGAUAAGAAAAACAGUACUGUUCACCAGAUUUGUGUUUGCUUAGACUAGGAUUACAAAUUUUUGCCAUUGUGUAAUAGAGUAAUGCUACAAAUCUCAUGAUAUGGGUUAAUUGGAGCAUAUUUUUGCCAUGUAUAUUAUGAAUCUUAAAAAAAAUUGACAAUUGUUUUGUUUCUAUUACCUGCUAAUAGAAUUGGGUUUAAUUUGCAAAUGUAGCUUAGUUUAAACUCUAUCACCCAACAGAAGAAAAAUAAUAGUGCCCAAUACAUGCAACUUCAACAAAUACAAGUACAUAAGAAGAUCUCCAUAAUUUAGAAAAUCCUAGUUAACAUUAGUUAACAUUAGCCAAAAUAGAUCUCCAUAAUUUACAAAAUGGCUAGUUAACAUAAGCCAAAAUACUAGUGCAAAGCUAAGUUAUAAGCCAUAACAUAAGAUUGUAUGAUUAAUAAAAUACAUCCAUGUUAACAUUAAUAAAAUACAUCCAUGUUAACAUUAGCCAAAAUCCUCAUCCGCUUGCGUUGUCGCUUAAAAGCCUUUGGACGAACACUUUCUUGAGUUCCGGUUUGAUUGCCCUGAACACUCCCACAUUUUUUGGUUUAUCCAAAAUAAGAGACAAUGCAUCAAUUUGAUCCAUAGGAGAGAGACCCAUUACUUCAAGUUCAUUAGCUAUGUCAGUAUGAUCUGCAAUACCUUGAACUAAAGCUUCAGUUACCAUUUGCAUCCUCUUCCCACUUUCAACAUAAAAAUCUUUCAGUCCACUGAUAAUUGCCUCGGUUCCAUCACUUGAAUUUCCCACAGCUCUUUUCCUCUUUCUUUGGCUAUUUUCAGAUGGGGUGCUUUGUUGGCUUUGUUGGUUCAUUGAAGAAACAAAAUUUUCACCUCCAAUAUCACUUUCACCAACAUGAUCAUGACUUUGUUCCUCCACCAUUUGAGCAGGGGUUUCGGCUACAUUACCCGUAGCCCGAUCUUUUCCAAAUAUAUAUGCAAAUCUAUCAAACAGUGGAAAAGGUUUGCUUCUCCAUCCAUCGGCUUCUUUAUUUCUCUAAGAUUAUAUCAACAUAGCAAAACUAAAAUUUAGCAUGCGUAACAAAUAUAGCAGCAAGAAUAUAACUAAUGUAUAAAUAAAAUAGGAUAUGAACCUGCACAUAAGUUUGCCAUGAGUCAUCACUGUCAACUUCAACGCACUUUUUGACAUCAUUUCAUGCAAAUCCACUUGUGUUUAUCAUGUCAACGACCAUACUAUAUGUUUUUUUCCAUUUCUUCAACUUGGACUCAAUAUGUGGAUUUGCCUUUAUAUUUGAAUGAGGACAUAAAACAUUGACAACUUUUGCUAUUUCAACCAAAGUACCUUGUUUGAAAGCACCGGUGUCACACCGUUGCUUCCGAGCAACAAAAUCCUCAAGAACUCCUAGUAAUACUUCUUCCUCAAAUGCUUCCCAUUUACGCCUUCUUCCUUUUGGCUCUUGAGUAGCAUUCAAAAUAUUUUCGUUAUCCAUACCUAAACAAAAAAUAUUUUAAUGAAGGAAAAUACCAUACAAAUAAUCAAUUUGCAUAAUAUCCAAUCAACUUGCAUAAUAUCCAAUUAAUUUGCAUACCAUCCAAUCUUUGUGCUAAUAUCUAACAAAUGCAUGAUAAAAAGGAAUACUAAAAUAAAAUGUUAUCAUUAACACAUAUAGCUAGUUCGGUUGCUGGUUCCUAAUUGCUCUCCAUUCAUUAUACAUUUCCUGAGCCAUGUCAUUCCUCUUUGCAGUCCACUGGUCAGAUGUUUGAACACUACCAACAUAUUCACCUUCUUCUGUAUUUUGUCCAUCUUCUAUUAUUGGAAAAUUCUCCAUUGGAUCUACAGACAUCUCUUGCCUAAUAAGAUUGUGUAGUAGGCAACAAGCGGUAAUUAUUCGACCUUGUGUCCUUAUCGGAUAGAAAGAUGGACUCCUUAGUAUCGACCACCUUCCUUUUAGCAAGCCAAAACAGCGUUCAAUUACAUUCCUUGCCUUAGAAUGCUUCAUGUUAAAAUAUUCUUCCUUAUUAGAAGGUGUUCGUCCCUCCCAUUCAGAUAAAUGAUAAGGUAUUCCUCUAUAGGGUGCAAGGAAUCCUUCACCAUUUGUAUAACCACCAUCUACAAGGUAAUAAUAACCUAAUGAAAAAAAAAACAGACCUUAUUAGUGUUUUGUAGUUGACAAACAGAACUAGACCUAACUUACAAAGUUGAGACUAAGUAAUAGUCUUACCCGCUGGUACCUUAAAACCAUUAGGCCUAGUAAUUGCAUCAUGUAGCACUCUAGAGUCUGAUGCAGAACCCUCCCACCCCGUAAACACAUAUAUGAACUGCAUAUCUCCUGAACACACACCUAACACAUUAGUUGCGACUCGACCCUUUCUUGUUCGGUAUCUUGGUUUGUCAAUUUCAGGUACAUGCACAUCAAUGUGUGUUCCAUCCAAUGCUCCCAAGCAAUUCUUAAAAAAAAAAAAAAAAGUUUUUGUUAAUUUAUACAAAGGGAAUGAAGAGUUAAAGCUUAGGGAAAAUGAAAAAAAAUUCUCAUCAUACCUUAAAACAUCGCCACCUAGGAUCUGUAGAAUCAAUAGGCACAGGCUGAGGGACUUUUAGUAGGAUACCUUGUAAUCGCAAAAUUCCUUGCAAUACGAUAUUGAAAUACCUACUUAUAGUCUCUCCCGACCUAUAAAAUCUACCGCCAACACUACGAUUCUUAGUAUGAUGUGCUAAUAUUUGUAAAGUCAUACACACAUGCUCCUCUACAGACACCAAACCAUCAGUUUUUACCCUCCCAUCUUGACGAAGUAAGUCACAUAAUAUGCCAAAAGUCCUUCUAUCCAUUCUCAAUUCGUUGACACAUUCAGUAUCAGUAUUCCCUAUUAUACCAUUCAGAUAACACAAACUAAUCUCUCGUCUAAUAAGUGAACGGUUAGUCAAUGUGGGUCGUUCAACAUGUCUCUGUUUGCCACGUAGCAUCAUCAACACAAGAAUCGUACAAAUGCAAAUUGUCUCCAAAUAAGACAUCUCUAACAAUAAGAUCAAUAAAAGCUUCCUUCGAUCCAUAUCUAUCCAAACAAAAAAAAACAAAAAACAAAUUAAGGACAUUAUAUAUGUAAUAUUUACUGUUAUUAAGGGUUAUGGAAAUGAAGUGAUUAUGAUACGAAAUGAACUAGAUCAAAGUAACUAGCGAAGUCACAAUCCGAGGCAUCAAAUAUACGGGUGGUGUUGGAAAAAAAAAAGUUAUCAUUAACCCGAGGCAACAAAUAUACAGGUCAGAUGCACACACUGCAUACACACUCACACACAUACUCACACGGACAUACACACUAUCACACACGGACAUACACUCACACACACCCUACAUACAUACAUACAUACACACACACACUGCAUACAUACACACACACACACACUGCAUAUAUACACACACACACACACUGCAUACAUACACACACACACACACACUGCAUACAUACACACACACACACACACACACACACUGCAUACAUACACACACACACACGACAUACAUACACACACACACACACACACUGGUCAGAUGCACUGCACUCACACGGACAUACACACUCUCACACACUGACAUACAUACACACACACCCUGCAUACAUACACACACACACACUACAUACACACACACACACACACACACACACACUGCAUACAUACAUACACACGCACACACACUGCAUACACACACACACACACAUUGCUUUAUGAAAACCCCAAAUUCCAAAUUUGAAACCCCAAAUUCCAAAUUUCUAAUCUCAAUUUCAAACCCCAAAUUCCAAAUUUCUACUACAUACUUACAUACACACACACUGCUUUAUGAAAACCCCAAAUUCCAAAUUUCAAACCCCAAAUUCCAAAUUUCUAAUCUCAAUUUCAAACCCCAAAUUCCAAGCUUUAUGAAAACCCCAAUUUCUAAUCUCAAUUUCACCCAAAUAUCAAAACCCUAAAAUUUGUUCAACUGCAGAAUCAAAUAAAGCUCAAACCCAAAACAAAUCCGCCCAAAUCGACGAAAAAAAUCCACCCAAAUCGACGAAAAAAAUCGAACAAUCGAAGCUUACCAGACAACUGGAGGCAGAUGAGGGCGAGCAGAUCUGUUACGUGAAGACGAGGGAGUGGACGACGAGAGGAACAGAUGAGGAGCAUGAUGCAGAUGAGGGCGACCAGGAUGCAGCUGACGGCAAGCAGGAUGCAAAGAUAAGGAUGAGGAGGACGACGUGAGGGAGGAGGACGUCGACGACACUCUCUCCUAGGAUGAUCGAGGUUCUUUCUCGCAAGAGCGCAAUCGGAUGAGGAGGACGACGUGAGGGAGGAGGUUUUAUGAAUCUGGACGUUUUUGGGGUGGUUCGCUAAGAACUCCUAGCGAGGGUUUAAUCCGUGCGAGUCAGAUCUAAUCCCAUUAAACCUAAUCCUUGCCCCUACCAAACAUCAGACUACAAUACCAAUUAGUGGAGUCCAGAACAGUCCCCCCUAAGAAGGUCAAACAAACACGCCCUUAAGGCUCUAAUCUAAUGUUCAUGCUCAACAUCUCCUCUAUCUUUCUACGAUUGGUAAAACUUUUGUAUUAUUAUUCCAAUUUUGGUUACUGGGUUGUGGAAUUUUCCAUUUUUUUUCUCGGUAAUCAAUACUAUAUAUAUGCAUGACAAGUAUAAACAAUAUUUUGGGGCAAAUUUAGUUGUUUAAUUUUUAAUUUUUAUGUGACAGUGAGAUUAUGGUAGGAUUUCGUUUAGAUUCUGCGGCCCAAUGGGAGUCUCUGCUUUGAUAAGAUUGGGGUUGAUGCCAAGAAAGCCAAUAAGCCUACUGUGGACGCCGUAGCCGCCUGGCGCUGUUUUCCAAAAUCCUCUCUCACUUGGUUAAGCAAUUAAGACUUUUUGGUUCAGUUUUUAUUAUGCCCAAUUUUGUAUUUAAACCUUAAAAAAAUUUAAACUGAUUUGGGGAUACUGAAAUAGGCUGCAGAGCUGCCAUCCCUGAAUCAGAAGAUGUUCAGAAGGAAGAAGAAGAAGAAGAAGAAGAAAGUCGUGGAAUAUCAAAAGCUUUUAGCUUUGUGAAAGUAUGCUUUUUCCCAACUCACCUCUUGCUUUUGUUGCACUGAAUUGGUAGAUUGGGUUCAAAAAUAUAUAUAUGUGAUUUUUCGUGUAACUAUUUCUUUACAUAAUUACCAAUUGGAGGUGAUUUUAGAUCAUGUAACAUUUCCUCGCUAGAACCAAAGAUUGUCGUCGCUCAGAGCUGCGUUUCAUGAAACAAGUUCAUCUCCUGCCAAAUUUGUGUACCCACCUUUUAUUCAUGAGGGUUGGUGCUUGCUUGCAACACAAUUUGGUGUUAUUAAGUUUUGCGGUUUUACAAUUUGUUCAUGCUUAAACCUCUUUCAAAUUUUCAUUUCUGUGUAAAUCUUGCAGGUAGGACGACACACCUAUCUUGGCAAUGUCGGGAUGUCUAGGCUUGGUGGAGACGUGGUCUUAUGGAAGAGGUGAAGUAGCUUAGCUCGAUCUCAUUAGCUCUUAUCUGUUCUAUUAUGUUAAGAUCAAUAGUAAAAAGUUCUAUUGAUUUUAUAAUCAAAGAUACAUAUAUUAUAGAAAUAGAGGGUAUAUCAUUAAUUUCUUGAUGUAAACAAUCAUAACUUGAGGAACCAUUUAAAGUAUUUUGGUAAUCAACAUACUUAAACUUAAAUGUGAUAUAUCCAUUUAGUAUUUUUUUUAUACAAUGAUAAUACUUAAGUAUAAUUUACAUCAUAUAUCUUUUGAAGUACAUGAAACUAUGAAGAAAAUGAUAAACCAAAUCCCAUUCCAUCUCUGUUUGCUACUGCACAAUCACAAUCCAAUUCCAACAUGGAAUCCUCAGACGACAUGCCUACUGCAGAACAAGUUUCAUACUGACUUAACUUAUAUUUAGUCCACGUCCUGUUUAGAUUGUAAUCCUAGUUCUACGUGUGUUUGUAUAGUACUCCUAUAAAUAUCAAUGAACAUCGCUCACUCUAAUUAAGAGUUGAGAUUUUGCAAAUCAUAUUUACUAUCUUUCAUGGUAUCACGAGCCAGCGUCUAACGACAACGGUUCCUAUUAUAAUUUUUUUCUCUUUUGCAGAUCCUAAACUAUGGCAUCUUCUUCCUCCUCCGCUGCUCCCUCCAUCACAAAUUUUCUUACGAUCAAGCUCGACCGCAACAACUACCCUCUCUGGCAUGCUCAGUUUCUUCCCUUGCUGCGCAGCCGCAACUUACUCUCUUAUGUUACUGGCGAAACUCAAUGCCCCUCUGCCUUUCUUCUUGAUGACAAUGGUAAAUUCACCGACAAAGUCAUUCCAUUAUAUAAUGAAUGGAUCCAGACUGACCAGAUGAUCCUAUCUUGGAUUACGAGUUCUCUUACUCCCAAGGUUCUUGCUACGAUCGUCAACAAAAUUGAUUCGGCCUCUGCUUGGUCGUCAAACCCGAAUUAAUCUAAUUGUGGGGGUUUUGUUUUAUAUCAAUAUAUUGCAACAGAAGUCACACUUUGAAGAGUUCAUGCUGCACAGAAAGAUGAUGAAAUGUUACCCGUUGAGUCUAUCAUUGCUCCAUUGGAGACAGAGCUGAAGCUUACUGCAGGAGUUAUACAGUUGUUAUGCAAUAUGACCCCUUUAAUUUUAUUUUAAAACUGAUACAAAAUACUACAAAAAUUUAUGUAGUAUUUUUGUAUUAGUUUUGAGUGUCUAUUUUGGCUUCCAUAUAUCGUCUGUACAUGUGAGAGGUAUAGUGUUCAAUAUGUAUUUGGUUUCUAUAUUGUUAAUGGAUCCUUUUUUUUUUAAUUUAAUUUAAUUUUAUUAAGGUAACCAAGUUGCAGGAUGACAUCAGAACACUUGAUCUGCAGGUAAACCUUCAAUUUCCAUAUGAAGUUUGCAUGUUCGUUGUUUCUGGAAUUUGAGUUUUUAUUAUUUCUCAAUUCUAUCACAUAGAUUAUGAUUUCACAUAUGGGAUUAUUAAUGGCAAUUAUAUGAUAGAAGAAUUGGGAUUAGAAGAAGAUAUUGAGUUGUUUUAUUUAUGGGGAUUAGAAAAUGAUUAUCAUACGAGUGAUAUUUAUUUUUGUGUGGAUUGUUAAUAUAUAAAACUAUAAGCUUUUGAGAUUGGGAGAUAAAACCCACAAAUUCAAAUCAGACAAAAUAAAUAAAAAAUUUAACUGACUUAAAGAUCAAACUCCAAAAGGGUAUUAAAAACAAGGCUUAUUUGAUCCAUUGAGUGUGAAAGUUUUGAGCUUUGAAGAAGCAUAGGAGGAGAGUUGUUAACCAAGCUGCAUUAUCCAUGUAUUAGGAUGUUGAGGGUAGGCAGGAAAAAUACUUUUUGACGCCAUAUCCAGAGGAGCAUAACGACAGGCCUGCAUUUUUGCAGCAAGGACCAAAACAAGUAGAAGUGAAGGCUUGACUAUUUGGGUAUUAAUCCUAAACCUAAUUAUUCUUAUUUAGGUUUAGGAUAAAUGAUUGAGUGUGUCUCGAUGAUUGUAUUACCAUGUUUGAUGAAUGACUUGAGGAGUUGGAAAUGCUUUAUUGCUUAUGUUUUUCUUAGGUGUGUACUUUGGUUAUUUCCGAGCUUUUCACGACUCUUGAUACCUAAUAGAGAAUAUGGAAACCCCAACUUUAAUUUUAUGAAUUGGUUUUGGUGCCUAAAAUGAAAUCUAGCAUAGUGAAAUCUUGCAUAAUGAAAUUAUGACAAAUUUCCCUUCAUCUUUAGAUUUUCAUUUAGUUCAAUUUGUAUGCAAUUUAGGGUUAUUCAAUUCAUGAGUGAUCAAAUUAUGUUUUUAAUUCCUUCUUCUUUUGAUUUACAGUUCAGCAUUGUCGUACAAAAUGAAAAAGGUGCCAGUAACAGAGUUAUGGAUUUGGAUGCCUUUAGUGGAAUAAAACUGAAUUUUUUAACUUUGUAUAGUUGUAAACAUAAAAUACUCCAUCAGAUAGACUCAUAGCAUUUGAAAACAAUCCUUGAGGAUGGCAUAACAACAUCUCCAACUUUUGUCAUGUAAUGUAUGAAUGUAAAUAGCACUUUGUAAACAUAUGGAUGUAAUAUAUGUAUAUAAACAGUCUUUAGCAUGUAUAUUUUUCAAAACUUUCUACAUCUUCAACAAUGUUUCAAUGAUUUCUUGAUGUAAACAAUGAUAAUUUGAAGAACCAUUUAAAGUAUUUCGGUAAUCAGCAUACUUAAGCUUAAAUGUGAUAUAUCCGUUUAGUAUUUUUUAUACAGUGAUAAUACUCAAGUAUAAUUUACAUCAUAUAUCUUGUGAAGUACAUGAAACUAUGAAGAAAAAACCCUAAUUAAUCUGAUUAUGGGGGUUUUGUUUUAUAUCAAAAUAUUGCAGCAGAAGUCACACUUUGAAGAGUUCACGCUGCACAGAAAGACGAUGAAAUGCUAUCUGUUGAGUCCAUCAUUGCUCCAUUGGAGACAAAGCUGAAGCACACUCCAGGUGGUAUACUUUUGUUCUGCAAUAUGACCACUUUAAUUUUAUUUUAAGACAGAUAGGGUUGAAAAGAAUUUAUGUAGUAUUUUUGUAUCAGUUUUGAGUGUCUAUUUGGACUUCCAUAUUUGGUCCGUACAUGUGAGGUAUAGAGUGUUCAAUAUGUAUUUGGUUUCUAUAUUGUUAAUGGAUCUUUUUUUUUGUUUUAUAGGUAACCAAGUUGCAAGAUGAAAACAGAACACUUGAUCAGCAGGUAAACCUUCAAUUUCCGUAUGAAGUUUGCAUUUUUGUUGUUUCUGGAAUUUGAGUUUUUUGCAGGAUGAAAACAGAACACUUAAUCUGCAGGUAAACACUUGAUUGGUUAUUUCCAAGCUUUUCACGACUUUCGAUACCCAAUAGAGAAUAUGGAAACCCCAACUUUAAUUUUAUGAAUUUGUUUUGGUGCCUAAAAUGAAAUCUAGCAUAGUGAAAUCUUGCAUAAUGAAAUUAUGACAAAUUUCCCUUCAUCUUUACAUUUUCAUUUAGUUCAAAUCGUAUGGUUUAGGGUUAUUCAAUUCAUGAGUGAUCAAAUUAGGUUUUUAAUUCCUUCUUCUUUUGAUUUUCAGUUCAGCAUUGUCGUAUUUUGGAUGCCUUUAGUGGAAUAAAACUGAUUUUUUUUUAACUUUGUAUAGUUGUAAACAUAAAAUACUCCAUGAGAUAGACUCAUAACUUUUGAAAACAAUCUUUGAGGAUGGCAUAACAACAUCUCCAACUUUUGUCAUGUAAUGUAUGAAUGUAAAUAGCACUUUGUAAACAUAUGUAUGUAAUAUAUGUAUAUAAACACCACUCUUUAGCAUAUAUAUUUUUCAAAACUUUCUACAUCUUCAACAAUGUUUCAAGCCCCGCAGCAACGGGCGGGUACACUUGAUAGUAUACAUCUAAAAUUAUAAGACUAAAUCCUUUAGUUCUUGGAUUCAUCUAAGAACUACUUAUUCCAGCAGAUGCUAUGCUUGCACUACUAGAAUUUAUGGCUUGCCCUGUCAACUAUUGCGCGACAGAAGAUUUCGUCGGUUUCACUUUUUUUAACCGACAUAAUAUAAGUUUAGUAGGGCAAAAUCAGUCAACAAACUGGGUUGACUGAAUAAAUUUACAGGAUGGCUAGAGUUCGUAGGUUAAGACAUCAGUCGUUGGGCAAACAUUUGGAGCGAAGAUGUGAGUGUUUUAACUGACGAAUAAGCUGGUCGUCAUGUAGAUCUUCUUUCCCGACUGACGGUUCAACAUGUAGCUCUUUGGAUAAUAAUUCAUCUUCAAGGGGAACAGGUUGCCCCUCAGAUGAAUGGUUAGAGGCAAUUGUGAGACUAUAAUUUUCUAGGGCCGAAAUAAAAAAUACAUAAACCCUCACUCAUUCUGUCUCUGUAACCAUCCACCAAAUACCCUUUCUUCCCUUUCUAUUUCUCUCCUAGUAAUAUCCCCUGACCGAAUCACACAAUCCAACCAACUCUCUUUAAGCCUCCCUCACUGAUUCCAUGGAUUUCAUGGACUUAUCCCACCCUCUCUCCUUCCCUCUAUAUAUAGCAAGUCCCCUUGCCUCAGUGUCCCUGGCAACAGAAUUUAUGGCAUUUCUUCGUUCUUUCAAUUAUUUGAAAGCUUCCUAGCCCUGCAAUCUUGUACAAAGGCGUAUGGUGUUUCAUCAGUUCCAUUUGGUGGUUGGGUGGGAAAUGAAAUUAAAACACUGCAUUUCAAAUGCAUUUCAAAUGGUCUAAACCAAAUUGAAUCAAAUGUGAAGCAAAGGGCAAGAGGUGUAGAUUGAAGAACAAUGGCACCAAGAGCGAAAUUGAACUUGUUGACAGGAGGAAACCAAGUAAGGAUAACACGUCUAAAUCUUAUUUUGAAUCCAUUCAGCUCAUGAUGUUUUGAAUGAUGAUGAUCGGUAUACUCUGCUACAUGCUGUGAUUUUUCCGCUUUCAUGUAAUUAACGGCUUAUAUGUGGUAACGAUAUUGAUUAAAAAAGGUCGUACCCAGUGCAUAAGGCUCCCGCUUUACGCAGGGUCUGGGAGAGGUGAAUGUCGGCUAGCCUUACCCCCAUUUUAUGGAGAGGAUGCUCCAAAGUCUCAAACCCGAGACCUACCGCUCAUGGGCGAAGGCAUUUGCCAUCGCACCAAAUGCGAUAUUAAUUAAUUUCGAGAAAUGACAGUCUGAUUUUUGCAACUGUCUUUUGCAGGCAAAACAAAGACGUUUGCAAGGGUGAGUUGUGUAGGAGCUUUGUUUCAUGUCCAAAUGACACUUGAGAAUAAAUGUUUACACUCAUGGAUAAUAUCUAUCUAUUUGCAGGAGCAACCCUGGGUUCAUUUGUUCUGUAACUGCUGGUCAUUGCGGCAUAUCACGCCUAUAGCACUGACAAAAGUAAAAAGAGAAUCGAAUGAAAUUUGAUAAGUUUUCAGCGGACUACAAAGAUCUUAAGCCAAGCAUAUAUUCCCAUGCAGAUAUUAAGAGGUUUACAAAUCAAUUCAAGUACAAGUUGGGCCAAGGAGCAUACGGAACUGUUUUUAAACGAAAGUUUUUUUCUGAAUGCUUUGUUGCCAUGAAAGUACUUAACAUUUCCAAGGGUGACGGGGAAGAGCUUGUAAAUGAAGUGGGAACAAUGGGCCAUAUUCACCAUGUCAAUGUGGUUCACUUGGUUGGUUUUUGUGCUGAUGGAUUUAGAUGAGCUCUGGUUUAUGAGUUCUUUCCCUUUGGUUCACUCCAGGAUUAUAUUUCAUCAGCAGAUAGAUUUCUUUCCUUGGUUGGCAUAAGUUGCAAGAUCUUGCUAUCAGCAUAGCCAAAGGAACUAGGAAUGUGAUCUACAAAUCCUCCAUUUCGAUAUCAAACCCCAUAAUGUUUUGCUCGACCAAAAAAUCACGCCAAAAAUCUCUGAUUUUGGUCUGGCCAAGUUAUGCCAAACAAUUACAGACAACAGUUAUUCACUAAAUCACUUUAAGGCAAGAAUUUAAUUAAUAAUACAUUACUGCACUUUCUUAACCAUUUGACUAUCACCUAGCUGACAAUGAACACGUUAGCUCCGCGUUAGAACAUCUUGGGUUCAAUUCAUUGUCUUGAAUAUCACCCAUUGUCACAGGCGUCUGUUGGGGGCAUAGAGAAGGCCUGAGAGGCAUUUGCAGACAUUCAACAUCUCCUCCAAGCAUUUUGACAACUUUGGACAUCGAAGGGCGAUCAUUUGGUUUCAUUUGAAUACACCACAAGGCGGUUAUAACCAUCUUUCUUAUUACUUUCUUUUCCUCCUCUGUAACAUUGUCCAUUUCCAGGUCAUUUCCCACAAUAUAUUGAUCGUAUACCCACAUUGGGAAGUAGAUUUGGCUUGAAUGCUCUACCGUUGGAUUCAAAUUCUUCCUUCUGCUUGCCAUUUCCAUCAACAACAUUCCAAAACUAUAGACAUCUGACUUGUAUGAGACGCAUCCAAUAUUUUUGUAGAACAACUCAGGAGCAAUAUAUCCCAGUGUACCCCGUGCUGCCGUCAAAGAGACAAUGCUAUUAUCUACAGGAUACAAUUUUGCAAGCCCAAAGUCAGAAACCUUUGCUUUAAAGUUCUCAUCAAGAAGGAUGUUAUGAGGCUUGAUGUCGAAAUGUAGAAUUUGCAUUUCACAACCUUGGUGUAGAUAUUCGAUCCCUUGAGCCACUCCAAGAGAAAUCUCGUACAUGUUCUUGAUAGUUAAGGGGACACUUCCUUCUUUGGAAUAAAUGUAUUUAUCAAGAGAACCAUUAGGCAUGAAGUCAUAUACUAGAGCGCGUUUUGAUCCCUCAACACAGUAUCCAACAAGUUGUACCACAUUGGCAUGGUGAAUCCUUCCGAUUGUAGCUAUUUCGCUAAUGAAAUCUUGGCCAUCAGCUUUGGGCUUGCCCAAAACUUUAACUGCUACAAAUCGACCACUGCGUAGCUUUCCCUUAAAUACAGAGCCAAAGCCACCUUCGCCCAACUUGUCCUUAAACCUGCGAGUCAUUUUCUUGACGUCCGAGUAAGAGUACCUUAUAAGCAUGAUGUUGUUAUUGCAUUGCAGAAAAUCUUCUAUUGUGCUAUACAUUGAUAAAUGUCUUCUGCGCCAUGUGUAGAUUAGAAAUGCAGUCACAACUGGAACUCCAAAAACAAAUCUGGCUAGGAAAAAUAACCCUGCAUGCAUGGACAAUAAUAUGUUAGAUCCACUGUGUACUACUUUUUCUUCCCUUUCUUUCCAAAUUACUUUAUCUUUGAUGUAAUUAAAGAGAGAGAAUGGGAAAUCUACAUAUGUUGAUAAUAUAAUCUCGUCUUAGUCCUUACCGAUCCAUAUGAGUAUAAACCAUCCAAGUGCUGCAAAAAAAUCAAUCGACUAUGAGUUUGAAAAGUGCAUAAAGUGAAAAAAAAAAAAAAAAAAAAAAAAAUCAAAGGGUGCCUUUAUUGACACCCAAAUUUUAGUUAGUUUUACUCAACUAAAAAAUUUUUGUCAUCAAACUUUUUAAUUUGCCGUCGAAAUUGAGUUCACCCAACCACAAAGCAGCAACUACCACUCACAAAAAAACCAACAACACACAGCCACCAGUACCAUUCACCAAUAGAAAGAGAAGGAACACACAGACCCACCAAGGAGCCGGCAUCGACGCAUCUACGAGGGAGGGACCGGAGGGUGGUGUAGUUUUGUUGGGCGCGCGGUGGUUGUUUUGUUUGUUCAUUUUCUCUUUCUUUUGGUAGGUGGAGGCUGGUGUGGAUUUGGGCGAACUUAAAAAUGAGGGGAAACUAUGAAGUUUGACAAAAUGUUUUAGUUAGGGGAACUUAACUAAAAUUUGGGUGCCGAUAAAGAUACCCAAUUUCAAAAAUACUUGAGCUUAUAGACUAAUUAAAUGAAGUUGAUCUUACAGAUCUCGUGGCUGUAUGAUGAAUGCCACUUGCCAGCUGCAAUAGAUACCACGGAAAAGUGAAUAAAGACAUACAGUUACUAGGUUUAAGAAGUACAGAUAGAGCACACAAAAAAUAAAAGAAGCUUUUGGGAAGAAACUUCUUACGCCAAUAGUUGUGUUCUUGACCUACAGUAAAAAAUGUGAAGAAGAAUACACAACAUUAGCAAUAGCUCACCCAGUCUUCGGAAUUUAAAAAAUCAAGUUUGUCUCGAUCGAAAACUUGUAAAUAAAACAAAAAGAGGACCCCUUACGGAUUUGGUGCCAUAGAUAUUGAAAGAAACCUACAAAAACAAAGAAAGAACAAGACCACAUGCAUUAGCAUAACAAGUGUGAGGUGUAUAAGCCGUUAGAAAAUAAAUUUAAAAUUCUAGUGCUGUCAAUACAUUGAUAAUAUAUAUAUAUAUAUAUAUAUAUAUAUAUAUAUAUAUAUGUAUUAUUUUUCUGAAAAUUUAACUUUCUCCCUCCAAACUCAUUUUUCUAGUCUCUAGCCCAUCAUAUAAUAUUUAUCAGAAUAAAACCAAAUGAUUAGGAUCCAACUAAGAAACUUACCAAAUUAAGUUUGUGUGUCCAUUUUUAUAUUUUUUGGAUCCCUAAUAUACCCCAUCUAAGCCAGUAUGGAAAGUUCUUGUAAUUUUGCUUUAAGUGAUCACGUGCAUUGAAUUUGGCAAGGUCUUGUAGCCAUGAAAUAUGGUUCCAGAUGGAGGAAUGAAUUUGGAUUUUUUUUUAAUUUCGGCAACAAAUUUCAAUUUGAAUAUACCUAAUUUAGUGUUUAUUUUCAACAAUAUCUAUUGUUUAAUUUUAUGAAAAUAAUUAACCUAAUAUGAAAAUUAAUUUUAUGAAAACAAUAUCUAUUGUUUAAUUUUAUACCUACAGGAUAAUUACAUGAAAAUAGUUUACCUACUAUGAAAAUUAAUUUUUUGAAAGCAAUAUCUAUUGUUUAAUUUUAUGAAGAUAAUUUACCUACUAUAAUUACAUGAAAAAAUUUACCUACUAUGAAAAUUAAUUUUUUGAAAACAAUAUUAUUGUUUAAUUUUAUGAAAAUAAUUUACCUACUGUAUAAUUACAUAAAAAUUAGGGAAAAUUAGAAUCCCCUACAGUUUUUAUAUAUCAUUUAGAUUAAACAUUUGUACUUUUUUAAAAUUUGAUUAAAGUGCUUUGACCAAUAGUUACCUCUAUUUUUUUAAAUUAAAAUAAUUUUUGAAUUUAUCCUUUUAUCUGCACAAUGCACUUUUCCUUAUUUAGUGGAGAUAUUAGUAAUGAAACUAUAUUUUCCCUUCUUCCAAAUAUGUUUUUUCGAUCACAGUUUUUUUUUUUUUGGGUAUGCAAACAUUUGAUAUUAUUUUUUUUCCAAAUGGUUUUUUCUUUUUCAAAUAGUUGGUGAUCAACAUAUAAGCUCUGUGUAUUUUUUUCAAUGUUUUUGUGAAAUUAUAUUUUUUUUGCUGUUUUUUAAGUAUAGUUGUUGACGAAUUAUUAUUAGGUACAAUACAUUACGUAUAUAUUAUCUGCGGGUACGUUUGAAUUUACUAAAAUCAUUAAUUGGUACGUUUGAUUUGAUACAUAUUGUUAAUAUUGGUACAUUAUUUUUAUUUUGGUACGUUUUAUUUUGAACACAUUUUGUAUUGGUACGUUUAUAGUAUUCUCAAUCCUAUUUUCUCUUAACGUACUAAAAGAAAAACUCAUUUUGGUACGUUUGAUUUUGGGGGAUUUAAAAAUAUUUUAAACUAUUUUGGAAAAAAAAAAAUCUUAAAUCGUAGAUAAUUAUUGCUAAAUUGUAGCAUUAUUGUGAAAAUAAAUUGAAUCUAACCAACUUUUUUUUUUACAAUUAUCUCUAAUGGAGGAGAGUGUAAUCAAAAGGCUAGAUUAUAGGAAAUUUGUUACAAUAUAAUGGGCAUAUAGCACCAAAAUUAUGAUAAAAAAAAGUUUAAUCAAAUCAUUAAAAGGCAUGGAUGUUUGAUCUAGAAAAUUCAAAACUGAGGCGUCUAUAUCAAAAGAUCCCUAAAAAUUAAUGUGCCUACUUUUUAAAUUUGUAACAAAAUUAAUUUACCUACUUUUUAUGGUAUUAGUAUACAUAAAUGUAGAAUAUAUGUCCGUAUAUAUUUGAUCUAAUUAGGUUUUGGAUUGGAGGAGUUGACACAAAAUUAUAAAUAUAUUAAACAAAUUUAUCUAUUCUAAAGUUGGAGGGGAAUUGGUCUGUACAUUGCUACAGUAAACAAAUGCUACUCAAUUUCACGUUAUUUACAACAAAGCUAUCAGAUUUGGGUUGGGUUGGAGGGUAAUUUGUUAAAAGUUAGGAGGGUAAUUUUGUGCAUAGGGUUUAGGUGCCCUCCUAUACAUGACCCUUGAGUUUACUUUAUUUACACCACUGCCAUCAAAUAUGUGGCUGAAUUGGAGGGUAUUAUUAAAAGUUAAGAGGGUAGUUUUGUUCAAGGGGUGGGGGCGACAUUCGCAGACGGAGGCCGAUGGGAGCCAUGCCCAUUGCACAGAGAGAAAGGGAGUGAUGGGGGAAAUUACAGACAGAAAAGGAAGGGAUGGGAGGAUUUGAUGGAUGGUCACAGAGAGAGAUUCGGUGAGGGAUGUGAGGGGAGAUUACAGAGAGAUAAAUAAAAGGGAGGGAUCGGGGGAUUUGAGGGAUGGUCAGAGAGAGAAAUAGUGAGGGAGGGAGGGAUGGGGGGGCUGAUUUUCGGUUCCUCCUUCAGAUUUGUUCCGUAAAACCUGUUGGGUACAAUUCAAUUUCCUCCCCCUUUCCCCUGAACGAAAAAUUCGAAACCUACAAUUCAAUUUCCUCCCUCCUUGGCUUUCCGCUUUACUCAUCUCCCGGUGGUUCUUUCUCUCCAUACGAUUCGAUUUCGGUGAGUUCUUCGUUGCCCUCAUGAUUUCCCAGUUUGAUUUUUUGAGCGUCCUUAGUCGUUGUUUUUAUCUGGGUUUACUGCAUUGUUGCUUUUAGUUUCUGGAUUUUUAUUUGUUCCGCGGUUCGAUGAAUCGGUUAAUAAUUUCACACCAUGGGAUUUUCGCAUGGAAUUGAGCGCGGGGAUUCGGGGUGGGGUUUUACUGAUAAUUUGUCUUCAUUCAAAUGAAUGGUUAAAAUUUCUGAAGUGAGUGUGCAGGUGGGCCCGUUCACUAACUAAGCUUUCAAGGGAACCCAUCAGCGGUUUGCUUGCUGGGGGAAUUCGGAGACUACCAGUGUAUGAUUUAGUUAUCAUUUAUUUUUUUACUUAAAUUUAUCCAUAUAUAAUAUGUGGGUAAAUUUACACUAAACAAUUGUGAUAAGCCAAUAUGCCAUACGACUUUGAAAGCAUUGAUUUUGUGUUUAGUUUGCAUUUUUGCAUUGUGAAUGUUGAAUUUUGUGUUUGAAUUUGUAGCAUGAUCUUCCGCUGCAGCAUCCAAAUUUUGCAUUUGUAAAUUGUCAAAGAAAAACGAAGUAUGAGGAAAUUAUAGGAGAUUGUGUCGGCUUUGGCCAUGAAGGGUAUCAGCAGCUUGUUCCCCCAUACAGGUGAUUAAUCGUUUUUCAGUCUGUGUUCUAUUUGGAUGAGAAAGUGAUUGAAAAUAUGAUUUUUUUAUUUGUUGGUUGAUUUUGUAUGGACGAUGUAUUAAUUUUAUUUUUUUUGGGAUUUUGUGUAUUGGGCAUUGUGUAGAACCAGCAAUGCAAGAGCAGGAUCUGAUCAGUCAUGCCUGAAAAGGGGUUUGUUUCUCAAAUCACAUUAAUUAAUUAGAUUAUUAACGUGCGUUGGAAGGCUCUUCAAUAUGAUUUCUAAUUUCUCCUUUCCAGCAUUCUCUUUUUGGUUUUUGGAGUAUGUAUGUGAUUUGUAUUUUUUUAUAGAAUAAAAAUUAAUAAAACACGAGAUGCAGCAAUUAAUUUGCAUCCUUAUGACAACACAUAUGAAAGUGCAUUCAAUUUCAAUGUGCGAAUGUGUGACAGGAUGUGCCUGCCCGCUGCUGCUGGUAUGCUUGCUGUUGUUUCUCGCGUUGUUAAUUUUUUGUGUGUGUUGAUUUGAUUAACAACUCAAGCGUAUCUUUUUUUUUUGUGUUGGUUAGCAGCCAGUUUUAUGGCCCCGAUCUAGUGAUGCUUCUCAGUGACUGUGGUAAUUGCAGUUCAUUGCCACCAGUUGGUCAGCUACCUGCUCUGAAAGAGCUAUACGUAGAAGGGAUGAAAGUUGUUAAGAGUGUUGGUGUUGAGUUGUACGGGGGAAAUCAACCAUUUCAAUGUUUAGAGAAGCUAAAGUUUCGGGAGCUAUAGCAGCCUAGUCCAAGUGGAUGUGAAAGUCCAGACUUUCCUCAUCUUAAGGAGCUGGGGUUAUACGAAUGUCCGAAGCUGAGAGGAAACUUGCCCACUCAUCUUCCCUCCUUGAAAACACUUCAUGUGAACAAGUGUGAGGUUCUACAUAAAAACAGGGCCAGUAAUACCCUGAACGUGGAAUCCUUACGAGGAUCUCUUGAAAAACUGACAAUAAAUGGAUGCCCGGGUCUCUCAUUGUUACUAGAGUCGACGGAGACGCUGCCGUCGCUUCAGAAGCUUGAUAUUGAUAAUGUGGUGGGAAAGAGUUGUUGGCGCAAAUGGUGCACAACAGCAAUCGUCUUCAAAGUUUGACUUUAUAUAAAUGUUCCUCACCCUUGUCGUUCCUUACAAAUGGUCUGCCCACCACGCUGACAUCACUGAGCAUAACAGAUUGCAAGAAAUUAGAAUUCCCAUCACGUGAGAUGAUGGCCAAAUUGACUUCCCUUCAGUCUUUGCGUCUAUCCAACAGCUGUGAACGCAAAGGCUUGAGUAUUUGCAGUUUAGUUUUUUUUUUCUUCAUUUUAGAGAUUUUUCUACUGUUUGGUUUUUGGGUUUUGUCUAAUUUUUGUGGUCUGCUUUAUAGAUUGUUCUCUUUGGAAGCUUCUUUCCAGCCUUGACCUUCUUCUUGCCUGGUGCCUUCUCAUUGAGUAUUGGAGGAGCAUUAAAACACAGGUGUGUGUGUUUUGUCGACAUAAGAGAUGAAUGACAUAAAAACAUCCGUCUCUGUAUUUUUUUGUGCUUUUUCUAACCCAUCAAUUUCUUUUGAGUCAACCAAAUAGUCCCAAAUUGCAACUUAUGUUGUGAGGUAUUAUUGUCUAAAAUUAAGUAUGCAUGUAUAUUUUAUGUUUGUGCCCGCGCACACAUCCGCAUGGUGUUAAUCUCUGUGGGUCAUCUAUGUAUAUGUAGAUAUAUCUAUAUGUGUGUGUGGAAUGCAACAUAUCGGAUUUAGGUUAUACUGUGCAUAGUUUUAUUGCCUGUUAUUAUCUACGAUAUCACUAUGCCAUUUCUAUGCAGGCUCUGAAAGUUAUUCAUGAGCUUUAUAAGCACUUACCAUAAUUUAAGCAGUCUGUUUUGGGUUCUUUUUCAUUAGGUCAUUAGCUACAGAUUAAUGGAGAAACGAGGACCAUGCCACUGAUUUGGGUUCUUUUUCUAAUUUUCUGAUUUUGGGGUUUUGCAGGGAGAACUCCGCCUAUGUACUUACAUUGCCGAUCCCAAGCUCGGAUAAAGGAGGAGGGGGAGGGCGUCAGGUAGUCGACAGUCGGCACUCCAUGAUCACGUCGAAUCCUUAUGAAAAUGAAUUCAGAAUAAAAUUGCGCUAAAGCUAGGGCGUCACCCGUAAGUGGCGCGCUGUGUGGCCCGAGCACAGUGAUAAGUGAGCAAGGGUCGCUGUAUCUCCAUCGGCACCCGGAUGCAGUGUUAAAUGAGCAAGGGGGGCAUAGGAACUUCUUUUCGAACGACUCCACUCAAAGUUGUUUGGGAGCAUAUGCUCCUAUCAACUUUACACGGGACACACAAAAGAAGUACUUUGAUCCUAUUAGACGGGGGAGGGUGAAGAAGCUAGGACAGAAGGGUAGAGUUCAAGAAAGCAAAAUGCGUUUAGGAACGUGGAAUAUAGGAACCUUAACGGGAAAAUCUAUGGAAGUAGUGGAAGUUAUGGUGAGGAGAAGGAUAAAUAUUAUGUGCCUACAAGAAACUAAGUGGGUUGGUAGUAAGGCAAUUGAUCUAGAAAACUCAGGGUUUAAACUUUGGUAUUCGGGCACAAAUAGAACGAGAAACGGUGUUGGCAUCAUCGUGGACAAGACCUUGACACAAGAUGUUGUAGAUGUCAAGAGGGUAGGAGAUAGAAUCAUGGCAAUCAAGAUUGUAAUAGGACAAGAACUUAUCAAUGUGGUUAGUGCGUACGCACCUCAAGUAGGGUUGGAUACGAGUUCGAAGGAGAAAUUUUGGGAAGACCUUGGAGACUUGGUGUAAGGAAUUGCUCAGACGGAGAAGUUAUUUAUAGGAGGAGAUUUAAAUGGACACGUGGGCAGAGAGACAGGCAACUAUGGAGGUUUUCAUGGUGGCCAUGGUUUUGGGGAGAGAAAUGAGGAUGGGGAAGCUAUCUUGGAUUUUGCAAUGGCAUAUGAUCUCUUUUUAGCCAACACCUUCUUUAAGAAGAAAGAAGAACAUGUGAUCACCUACAAGAGUGGGUUGUCAAAAACACAAAUAGAUUUUCUUCUAAUGAGAAACGAGGAUGGGGAAGCUAUCUUGGAUUUUGCAAUGGCAUAUGAUCUCUUCUUAGCCAACACAUUCUUUAAGAAGAGAGAAGAACAUGUGAUCACCUACAAGAGUGGGUCGUCAAAAACACAAAUAGAUUUUCUUCUAAUGAGGAAAGGGGAUCGUAUAACUUGUAAGGAUUGCAAAGUUAUACCAGGAGAGAGCGUGGCUAAUCAACAUCGCUUGUUGGUGAUUGAUGUACAUAUCAAAAGAGUGAGACAAAAGAACAAGACUUGGAAGUGCCCAAGGACUAGAUGGUGGAAUCUAAAAGAAGAAAAACAAGCCAUUUUCAAAGAGAAAGUAAUCAUCCAGUGUGUGGGAUAGAGAUGGGGAAGCUAGCCAAAUGUGGGAUUCAAUGGCUAGUUGUAUCCGAAAAGUAGCAAAAGAGGUAUUAGGAGAGUCAAAAGGCUUUGCCCCACACCAAAAAGAAUCUUAGUGGUGGAAUGAGGAGGUACAAACAAAGGUGAAGGCUAAGAAGGAAUGUUGUAAAGCCUUAUACAAGGAUAGAACUGAUGAAAAUGGUGAAAGGUAUAGAAAAGCGAAGCAAGCUGUGAGAGAAGCUAAGUUAGCGGCUUACGACGAUAUGUAUAAACGACUAGAUACCAAAGAAGGAGAGUUGGAUAUCUAUAAACUAGCUAGAGCAAGGGAAAAGAAGACAAGGGACCUAAACCAAGUGAGGUGCAUCAAGGAUGAGGAUGGAAAUGUUCUUGCUACAGAGAACGCGGUUAAAGACAGAUGGAGAGGUUAUUUUCAUAAUCUUUUCAAUGAAGGACAUGGAAGGAGUGCUUCUUUAGGGGAGUUGAGUAACUCAGAAGAGUGUAGAAACUACUCUUUUUAUCGUCGAAUCCGGAAGGAAGAAGUGAUUGUAGCUUUGAAGAAGAUGAAACAUAGAAAAGCAAUAGGCCCAGACGAUGUACCAAUCGAAGUGUGGAAAGUUUUGGGAGAGACAUGUAUAACAUGGCUCACUGACCUUUUCAAUAGGAUUUUGAAAACGAAGAAGAUGCCAAAUGAGUGGCGAACGAGCACUUUGGUGCCUAUCUACAAGAAUAAGGGCGACGUACAAAAUUGCAUGAACUAUAGGGGUAUUAAGCUAAUGAGUCAUACAAUGAAGCUCUGGGAGAGAGUCAUUGAGCAUAGAUUGAGGCAAGAGACACGGGUUUCGGACAACCAAUUUGGGUUCAUGCCAAGGCGCUUAACCAUGGAGGCAAUCUAUCUCUUACGAAGAUUGGUGGAAAGAUAUAGAGAUGGGAAAAAGGAUUUACACAUGGUUUUUAUAGAUUUGGAGAAAUUCGUAUGAUAGGGUCCCAAUAGACAUUCUUUGGAGGAUUUUAGAGAAGAAAGGAGUACGAGUAGCAUAUAUCCAAGCUAUAAAUGAUAUGUAUGAAUGAGCAAAGACUGCUGUAAGAACUCAUGAAGGACAAACUGAAAGUUUUCCCAUAACUGUAGGAUUACACCAAGGCUCAUCCUUAAGUCCCUACCUUUUUGCGUUGGUAAUGGAUGAGUUAACAAGACAUAUUCAAGAUGAUAUUCCUUGGUGUAUGCUUUUCGCAGACGAUAUAGUGUUGAUAGAUGAAACACAGGAAUGGGUAAAUGCAAAGCUUAACCUUUGGAGAGAAGUGUUGGAAUCUAAAGGUCUUCGCCUAAGCCGAUCAAAGACAAAAUAUAUGGAGUGCAAGUUCAGUGCAAAUGGAGGCCAAAACGAGUUAGGGGUGAGGAUCGGAGAUCAAGAAAUACCAAAGAGCGACCGUUUUCGUUACCUAGGAUCUAUCUUGCAAAAGAACGGAGAAUUAGAUGGAGAUCUCAACCAUAGAAUACAAGCUGGAUGGAUGAAGUGGAAGAGUGCAUCCGGCGUGUUGUGUGACCGCCGUAUGCCACUGAAGCUCAAGGGAAAAUUUUAUAGGACGGCAAUAAGGCCGGCGAUGCUGUAUGGCACAUAAUGUUGGGCGGUGAAGCAUCAACACGUACACAAAAUGGGUGUAGCGGAGAUGAAGAUGCUUCGUUGGAUGUGUGGGCACACGAGAAAGGAUAAGAUUAGGAAUGAGGAUAUCCGGGGUAAAGUAGGAGUAGCCGAAAUUGUAGGAAAGAUGAGAGAAAAUCGGUGACGGUGGUUUGGACAUGUGCCAAGAAGGCCUACUGACGCUCCGAUUAGAAGAUGUGACUACUGGACAGAGGUUCAGGGCCGAAGGGGUAGAGGAAGACCUAGAAAAACUUUGGAAGAGACUCUAAGAAAGACUUAGAGUACCUGGAUCUAACGAAGGACAUGACACAGGACCGAGCAUAAUGGCGUUCUAAGAUUCAUAUAGCCGAUCCCACUCAGUGACUUGGAUUUUCCAAGUCUCCAGCCGAGAAGUUUUCCUCACUCAGGAAAUUAAGGGAACACUACCCCAACCUACAUGCUCCACUCACAAAGCUUCAACAAAAGAAAAUUCAAAGAACUUAGCGAAGAAGGCUUUGAUGUAUUUAACACAAUACGUUGAAAUGAAGGAAAGCUUAUUUAUUGAUAUCAUCGAUAAGCUACAAAUAUGUACAUAUACAUAAGUCAAAAUAAACAAACAAGAGGGAGCCUUCACAAAGGUUGCUUAGGAGAAGUCUCAGCAGUCGGUAGAGCCCCAGAAAGAGAAGGCACCGGAGGGGGAUCAUUCGGAGCCUCAGUACUGGACAGAACCCUAGAAGGAGGAGGCAUAAGAGGUUGAUCAUUUGGUGCUUCAUUACGCGGUACAGCCCCAGAAGACGAAGGCAAUAAAUGCCUUUGGAACAAACCCACAAAUCUCUGAUGAUCAAGUAAAACCUGACCAUCAGAUUCCUUCAUCUGGUCAAGCUUCCUCUUCAUGUUUGUAGCAUAGUCAUGUGCGAGCCGGUGCAACUGUUUAUUCUCAUGCUUGAGCCCUCUAAUCUCCUGUUUGAGACUCAUCACUUCAGCCGCCAAUGAUUCAACUUGGCGGGUUCGAGCAAAUAGGUGUUGGGCCAUAUUAGACACAGAACCUGCACACUGAACACUGAGAGCCAGAGAAUCCUUAACAGCUAACUCAUCAGACCGUUUGGAAAGUAGUCUGUUAUCUUUGGGAGUGAGAAGGUUCCUGGCCACCACCGCAGCGGUCAUAUCAUUCUUCAUCACGGAAUCCCCAACGGUAAGAGGACCAGUAGGGGAGACGAAGGAUGGGCGCCAUAUGUUGUCUGGAGAAGGCGGGGCUUCCUCUUCAACAAGGUUCAAGUCAAAACGACGGUCGGAGGGGCCAGACAUUUUCAAAUGUGUUGAAGAGAGAAGAGGUCGGACAAAUCAAGAUCUUAGAAGUGUAAGAAUGGAGCUUCUACUGGUGGAGAUUCAAGUGUGCUUUGGAACUUAAUGUCAGCCCCUAUAAAAAUCUGCACUCAACGGAGCUUCAGAAAUCGAAGAGGCGCCUGCUCAGAAAUCGAAGAGGCGUUUGCUUUCUCAAAAGCAAGGCUGCUCAGAUACCACGAGGGUCGAUCUCAGAAAUCGAAGAGGCGUUUGCUUUCUCAAAAGCUGGGCAGCGCAAAGACCACGAAGGCCGAUCUCAGAAAUCGAAGAGGCGCUCAAAAGUUGGGCUGCUCAGAGACCACGAGGGCCGAUCUCAGAAAUCGAAGAGGCACCUACUUUUCCAGCCUUGUCAGUACCUGUCACACACACACUCAGCUUUGCGAAAAUUAUGGGGAUUCGGUCGAAGACUUCUGGUGAAGUAGAAAGCACAUGAGUCUUACUGUUCAAUCACCCACUUCCCACACGCAACAGUAGCUCAUGGGUACCACAUAUAACUUUUCCAAAGUUCUCUGCCAAAGUUGAACACGUGAAGUUUGCAGCUCCCACUACAUCGCUCUGAUCAAGAAGGGUAAAAGAAUAGCAAAGAAACAACACUAACAAAGUUUAGACACAUAAAUUUUGAUGGUCGAGCUACCAUAUUAUUACCCACAAGGGUAAAGGAACAGUACCACUGCUGGAUAAUUGGAAAGUCCCUGUGUGUCAACCUCUGUGCUUCGUGGCAAGGUAGACUAUCAAACAUGCCCAACCUUUACUCACAUUCGAGAAAACACUCCCAACAAGAUUGCUUGCUCCAAAAUCGAAGAGGCACCGUCCUUCGAAUCUCGAGAGCCAGACUCCCAACAUGACUACUUUCUCAAAAAUCGAAGAGGGUAAAGGAACAGUACCAUUGCUGGAUAAUUUGAAAGUCCCUGUGUGUCAACCUCUGUGCUUCGUGGCAAGGUAGACUAGCAAACAUGCCCAACCUUUACUCACAUUCGAGAAAACACUCCCAACAAGAUUGCUUGCUCCAAAAUCGAAGAAGCAUCGCCCUCCGAAUCUCGAGAGCCACUCCCAACAUGACUACUUUCUCAAAAAUCGAAGAGACAUCGCUCUCCGAAUCUCGAGAGCCAGACCCCCAGCAUGAUUGCUUUCUCAAAAAUCGAAGAGGCACCGUUCUCCGAAUCUCGAGAGCCAGAUCCCCGAUAGGAUUGCUUGUUCGAAAACCGAAGAGGCAACACUUUCCCAAUUUCAAGAGCCGGAUCUCCUUGGAUAAAGCUAUCUGUAAUCUUCACUCGCAACAUUAGCUUUCCAGCUACCACAGACCACUUUUUCAAAGUGAUCUGACAACGUUAAAACAUGUGAAGCUGGCAGCUUCCACUACCGUGCUAUGACCAAGUAGGGUAAAGGAAUAGCAUUACUACUUGUUGUUAAGGAGACUCCUAUAUAUGUCGACCUCCAUCCCCAACGGAUAGGCAGACCUGCAAAAAUGCUCAACUCUUCCUCAUAUCUGAGAGGGCACUCCCAACGAAGCCUUUCGAAAUAUUCAGCUUUCUUUCCCCCCGAUAAUACCUCUGCAAACAAGCUAUACUAGAGCAAGAAUAUCUCAUAUCAUCAGGGUUAAAAGCAAGAGUAUCCCAUAUCAUGCUUUUUCCUUGUCUUUUUCUUUGGCCUUGUUCUUACCUGCAAGACAAGAAGAAAGAGAGCAAUCAGUCAGUACUUGGAAUCAAGCUUCCAGCCAGGAACUGACUGCCUGGAACCCCUUACCUGAUUACUUACCUGACAUUGUUCUCGAGUACUCAUCUUCAACAUCUUAUGCUUCCAGGGAAGAUACCGCAUCUGCCUGAGGAACAGAUAGGGCAAGGGAGAAGGAUAUAAGGAAGCAUGUGGAGACAAGCGUAACAGCACACGUGCCGAUACAUCCAUUACUCUGUCAAAGCAAAAGUAUCCCAUAUCAGUAGGGUCGAACGUACUCUAGAUUUGAUGGACUUGUUUUGACCCUCAAAUUCUUCAGUCGGCCUUAUACUCUGGAGGAAACCAGAAAUUUCUCCAGCUCAGUGCAAGAAUAAGCUUGUGGAAAGUUACUUCUUCAAAAGCAAAAGUAUCACAUAUCAUCUCUUCUCAUUUUCUUCUCUUUAUCCUUCAUGCUGCCUGCAAGAUAGGGAGAUUGUGAACAAUCAGCUGGAGCUAUGAUUGCUUACCUUGUCUGUCACCUCUUUCAGCAGAUCCCCUAGCUCGGCGAUUUGGGGGACUCCUACUACAUGGUUUGUAUCGCGCUUGACCAAGCCUGAAACUACAAGUAAGCUUCAAGUGAAAUUGAUACAUUACCUUGUGCAUCUCCACCAGUUAAAGAUACUACCCCUGGAUGGAGGAAGAGUACUUCCAGAGAAGAUGCCCCAUCUACCUAUGAGACAGAUAAGGCACGUCAAGACGAUACCACACUCUGAUACUUAGAAGUUUCGUGAUUACGAGAUCAUUCUCCCACAAUAUUUCCUAAUGUCAUUUGUACUAAAUCAUUCACUUGUACUCACUAAAGGAGAGCUUGAACCUAUGUACUUGUGUAAACCCUUCACAAUUAAUGAGAACUCCUCUAUUCCGUGGACGUAGCCAAUCUGGGUGAACCACGUACAUCUUGUGUUUGCUUUCCUAUCUCUAUCCAUUUAUAUACUUAUCCAUACUAAUGACCGGAGCAAUCUAGCGAAGAUCACAAAAAGCGACCGUUUUCGCUACCUAAGAUCUAUCGUGCAAGAGAACGGAGAAUUAGAUGGAGAUCUCAACCAUAGAAUACAAGCUGGAUAGAUGAAGUGUAAGAGUGCAUCCGACGUGUUGUGUGACCGUCAUAGGUCACUGAAGCUCAAGGGAAAAUUUUAUAGGACGACAAUAAGGCCAGCGAUGUUGUAUGGCACAGAAUGUUGGGCGGUGAAGCAUCAAUACGUACACAAAAAUGGGUGUGGCGGAGAUGAGGAUGCUUCGUGGGAUGUGUGGGCACACGAGAAAGGAUAAGAUUGGGAAUGAGUAUAUCCGAGGUAAAGUAGGAGUAGCCGAAAUUGAAGGAAAGAUGAGAGAAAAUCGGUUCCGGUGAUUUGGACAUGUGCAAAGAAGGCCUACUGACGCUCCGGUUCGAAGAUGUGACUACUGGACAGAGGUUCAGGGCCGAAGGGGUAGAGGAAGACUUAGAAAACCUUUGGAAGAGACUCUAAGAAAAGACUUAGAGUACUUGGAUCUAAUGGAGGACAUGACACAAAACCGAGCGCAAUGACGUUCUAGGAUUCAUAUAGCCGACCCCACUUAGUGGGAAAAGGCUUUGUUGUUGUUGUUGUUGUUGUUGGGGUUUUGCAGGGAGUACUAAUGUACUGAUUUUCUGGGAUUUUUUUUGUCCUUGCAGGAUUUUUGGUCUUUGAAAUGGGUAUGUGUUGUUUUUAAUGUUUCAGUUCUAGCGUUUUCCGUUCUUCGUUGCUUCGUGAUUCUCAUUUUUCAGUGUUGGGUGAUGGAAAUUUGUUAAAGUAGUUGGUAGUUUUUUGAGAAAGUUGGCAUUUUUAGUUAUAUUUUCUGUUUAAUCCUAAAUGUUUUGAAAACUCAUAAUUUUUUUGUUCUGGGAUUUAAAAGCAUCUUUUCCAGAUUGGUUACAAGGGUUAUGUUCUCUUCAAUUGGUUCACCUAAUUUUGAUUAGUUUUAAGUUUUGUCCUUUAAGUUUGUCUUUUAAGUUUUGUUCUUUAAGUUUUGUCUUUUAAGUUUUGUUCUCUAAGUUUUGUCUUUUAAGUUUUGUCUUCUGUGCUGUAAUGAGAGAUUUCCGUUGGCCUUUCGGAUUUUGGCAUGGGAAAGUUCACUUAUUUGCAAGGUUCUAAAAAACGCUAGGCGUUAGUUGGGCGGUGGGCUAGCGCCUAGCGGCUAGGCGGCUAGGCGGGAUCUAGGCGGGAUCUAGGCGGGCGCCUAGGCGGCCUAGGCGGAUUUAGGUAAAUUUCUUAUAUAUUUUAUGAAUUAAUUAAAUUUACUAUAUCAAAUGUAAAUAAUUAUUAACUAAUAUGUUAUUUCUUAUAGAAGAACAUACAUAGUGAAUGUUUUAUGUACAUAUAUAAUAUAUUUGUCUAGGAAAAAAAAAUAUUAUCUAAAUAAUUUUUAUAACAUAUAUAUAUAUAUAUAUAUAUAUAUAUAUAUAUCCCAAACUUUUAAAAAUAUAAAUAGCAUUGGGAGAGGGGCGUAGGGUUUCUAAAAGCACACUCAGAAAUAGAGCAUAUUUUAGUCUUUAUUUUAGAAUCCUAAGGAGCACCCUACUCGGAUGCACGACAUGUGUGCAAAUCUGGAGAUUCUUGCUGUAUCGGAUACACCAAUGCUUAGUCAAAAUUUCCUGCUAGGGUUUAUGGUGGACAUGUGUGUGUGGUCUUCAUUAUUAAACCCAUUAGCACCUCACCUUUUCACAUCACCCGUCCAUCACCUUGGGUGGUUUUGAUAAUUAAAACCAUCAACAUCCAUGGUUUUGAUAAUUAGAACUACCAACUUUUCCUUGGAUUUGAGAAUCUGAGAUCCCAUUCAUCGCCAUCAAAUAUUGAAAUGUUUCAUUGUUCAUCUCUUUCUCCCUCUUCUCACUCUCUAUUCCCUCAUCUUCACAGAGAUGAGUUACAGAAAUUCUCCGGUAAUCUCUCUCUCUCUCUCUUCGUAAUCGACGAGCUCCUCGACUUGAAGUCGCAGCCAAGUUAUGAAGAAUCGAGAUGCGAGAGCAAGUGGAGAGUGGAGACUCUGGAAAUUGGGAGUGACGAUCGACGACGAUGAGUCGAUGACCCAGGAAACCUCUUGAAGUUGCAGCAGGUGAGUGCACUGCAGUUGAGGAAGAAGAGACGAAGAGACUUAGUUUCUGAAAUUAGGGUAGCUGCAAGGCACGGGAACUUAAAAACAAAAAAACAAAAAGAAAACCGCCUAGCUCCGCCAGCCGCCUAGCCUGCCUAGGCGCCUCCUAGCCCGCCUAGGUGCCGCUUAGCCACCGCCUAGAGCCCAGCCGUUUUUUCCCACCGUUUUGCACAAAAACGCCUUGGCCACCCUCCGCCUAGCGCCUAGGCGGCCGCCUAGGCCGUUUUUUAGAACACUGCUUAUUUGUCUAAUUAGAUUGUGGAUGCCUUCGAUUCUUUAUUUAAUUGUUCUGUUUGCGUUCGGGUGUGAUGAUCUAAAUUUCAUAUGUUUGGAAUUAUUUACUUAACACCAAUUUGUUACAUUCAGAUCUCCACCCCACAUUUCACUAGUUCAAAUUCCAUAGAAGUUGGUUAUUGCAGAUUGCGUCUACAAUUAGAUCAGAGAUCAACUACUCUUUUGUUAUCCUGCAGAAGAUUGCUUUUGGGAAGGAUCUGAAGUAGUUUCUCUCUGUAUGUUUAUUCCCAUGUAGCUCUGUCUUUUCUAAUUGAUGGUGUUGAUAUUACACUGUAAUUCAUGAUGAUGAUUUAAUUGUUUAUUGAUUUGUAAUUGUUUGUGAAUAAUGUGGCAUAUAUGAAUUGCAAUCUGUGUUUGUAUGAAAGGGAUGGCAUAUUAUGUUGCUGACUUAAUUGUUUAUGUUUUUCAUAUUUGCGAAUGGUGUUAUGAUCAAUUAGGUGAUUGCUGACCUGUGACUUUGUUUGGAGCUCAAAUUUUGUGAGCAUUACAUUGGAUUGUUUUGAUGUUGUUUUGGUUGACAAUGCAGGGAUAGGAGAAACAAAGAGGAUGACACUUAUAACUGCCAUUCCCCAUCGGCCGUCUUCAAAUUUGGAUCACAAGAAGGGAGCAACAUAGGUGUUUUCCUUCUUUAUUUAGAUAUGGUUAGUGUAAAUAAUUGGACAAAAGAGCCAAACAAACCCUGUUCUCUCAAAUGGAGUUGAUGAUGUGGUCGACGGCCACCAGCCCCAACUCAAGAGUUUGGCCUUCAUAUAAUUGGAUUGUAGUAUAAUUUUAUUUUUGUUCAUUUCUUUUUUCCUUUAUAUAAGUGCAGGUGUUGUGAUGUUUUGAAUAAAGGGUGAUGAAAGGUGGUUCACACUUCCUCCUUACUUAAAGCAAGUGGAGAUGACGGUUUGUAUAAAAAGAAAAACUUGCCACGUACUUCAAUUUUCUAUUUUAUUAAUUAUUGUUUGGUUUUCCAAAUGUUGUAUUCACAAAGAGAGACCAAUUAUGUCUUUGAGAAACAAGUUUCUUUGUCUACAUUGCGAGAAUUUGCAGUUUGCAACUUUCAUUGGUUAUUAUAUUUGAUUGAGUUAAACUUGGAUUUCUGGAUUCUGACUUUUUCGUUUGUUUCUUUGUUGCAGAGUUGGCUUCAUUUCAUUCCAGGAACUCUCUAAAUAGGGCCAAGAACUCACUAAAUAGGUAGUCAAGAGGAAUUCAGUUUUGCCUUCAAUUUUUGCCUUCUGUUUACAUUCUUCCUGGAUGCACUCUCACCGCUUCUCUCGCUUACCACUUUUUUCUCACUCACCGCUUCAUCUCUUCUGUUGCUUACAAGGUCGUGUCAUAUAUUUUUUAAUUUUGUGGUUUAAUUUAUUGAAUAUUUGAAAAAAGAGAUAAAAUUAUAAGAUACUAUAUAAGAUACUAUAUAGUAUCUUAUAAAUAAAUGAAUCACAAAUGAUACUAUAGUUGUUAAAAAAUCCCAUUACUCAAAACUCCAAUUCCCUCCCAUUACUGAAAGCUCCAAUUCCAUCAAAACCGAGAUGGUAAAAGUACAAACUGGCUAGUUUCCACCAAAAAAAAAAGUACAAACUGGUUACAAAAAUAUGUUUUGUCCCAUCCAAUUGACGAAAAGAGAUAAAAUUUUCAAUUUACAAUUACUGAUAUGAUGUUUGUUUUGAAAAUCAUUAAGGUGAAUGGAGAGAUUUACAACCAUGAAGAGCUGAGGAGCCGUUUGCCAAAUCAGAUUUAUAAGGUCUCAUCAAUUAUGAAUAAACGACUUUUCAUUCCCAAUGACCUUUAUCGUUUUUCUUAAUGGGUUAGCUGAACAUGAGGUAGAUGCUGACUUUAUCAAAUAUGAGAAUGUUUUAGGAUUUCAUUCUAAUUUUUUGGCUGUUUGAUUACUUUGCUUUUCGUAAUUUGUUUUGCUUAUCGUCAAUUGGAUGGGACAAAACAUAUUUUUGUAACCAGUUUGUACUUUUUUUUUUGGUGGAAACUAGCCAGUUUGUACUUUUACCAUCUCGGUUUUGAUGGAAUUGGAGCUUUCAGUAAUGGGAGGGAAUUGGAGUUUUGAGUAAUGGGAUUUUUUAACAACUAUAGUAUCAUUUGUGAUUCAUUUAUUUAUAAGAUACUAUAUAAGAAACUGUUAUUAGCACUCUAAAAAACUCAUUCUACACUCGCGACAAGUGUAUUUUUCUUUUUAAUUAUGGAAAGUUUGAAGGGCAAAAUGAGAAUUUUGGAGUGCCAAUAACAAUUCCCUAUUAUAUAUAGCUCUACUGGGAAGGCUACUGUAUAUGUCUUCAUCCUGUUAAAUUGUAUAUGGCUCUUGAUGUCGGCUGAAUUAAAUCAAAAUGAAAACCAAGCUGAUCUUACCAGCCGAUAUCACUUAUCACUUGCUUAUUUAAAUUAUUUGAAGAUGCGUAUGUGGAUUGGUGAUUUUGUUGGAUUCACUUAGCUCAAAUAUAUGUUAUCUGAGUCGCUACAUUUGAGAAUGUGAUUCUGUUCCUACCACCAUUUUGCCCACUUUUUGUGGAAAUUAUUCAUUCCUGUUGUGAAUAAUACAUUCAUCCCCGGCAACGAAGUGCGGGCACAUUUUAUAGUUUAAAUUAAAUCACACAAUGGGUCAUCAAUAAUGACAAACUCGUCAUUUAUGCGAGUCAAACAUGAGGCCACCUACCUACUAGUUUAGUGGAAUACCACAAAGUGACAUGUUGAUACCUUUAAGUCUCAUAUAAUGGAUUGCAGAAUUAGGAUAUACCUAGACUAAUUUAGUCAGUGCGUGAACCCGAACAAUUAACAAGGGUUUUAUUCUUGCUUGAAUGUUUGUUAUAUGUUCCUAGUUUGACAAGGCAAUUAUAUUUCCGAUUACAAAAGUUAUUAAUUUAGUCGAGAAUUGACGCACCUGAAAUGGUGUGAGGAAAACAUGUAGACACAUCAACCGCAGUCCACUGUCCUGGGCAUCUAUCUUCCCCGAAACGAAGCUCAAAGCCAUACAUGAGGGCAUUGUGUAUGUCUUUAUAAGAGAAGUUGCUGUAGUCUUCAACGUAGCCGGCAGCCAAACUCAUCCACUCUACACUGCAACCCUCAUCCAAAUCCCAUGCUUCCAACCUGCCCCCGACAUAGUCAGCGACCAUGACAUAGCUAUACGUUUUUGGUUGACUCGAAGAAGAAGAAGAAGUAUUAUUCAAGCAUGGAGCAGUGUCCACGUACAGAGAAGAAUUCGAUGGAUUCGAACACUUCAAGUAAUAUAUAGAUAGAGAAUUGAUGUCAUAGGUGGGCCAAUAUGGAGAAUUGAUGUCCUCGGUGGUGGGCGGAAUAUUUUGAGACAUGGAAGAGCAAUUGUUGUUGUCAAGCCCAGGAUCUAGAACUCGGAUUGUAUUGUUAAUGUAGUUGAUUGCCUGGACAUAGUAUUUUCCGGAAGAAGGUACGUCUAGUACAGUAAUGUUGCUCUCACAGUACAGAGUAUACAUUAUGUUGCCACAGUACUUUGGAUCAUCGUUCAGUCGAAAAGGAUGGCUUAUGUAGUGGAUAUGGCCGCAGGAUGAAGUGCAGGACUUGGCACUACUGUUGUCAGCGUUACAAGUUUCACUGCAAAAGCAAAGAAGAAGAAAGGCUAAACUUAAGGUGAAGGACCUGCUUCCACUAAUUUCCAUUGAUCUGAGAGAGAGAGAGAGAGAGAGAGAGAGAGAGAGAGAGGGUACUAUAGCUUGAACACCAAGGAGUUAUAUAAUAUGGGAGGGGUUAAAGCGCUUCGCUUAAAGUUGCAGUAAGCCCGGCAAAUAUCCUAGGGAAAAGUCGGUCAAUGGUGUCCUAUAGAGAAAAGUCGGCCUUGGUGUUUGACACGGUCACUCACUCUCUCUCUCUCUCUCUCUCUCUCUCUCACAUUGACGAGGGACACUGUAAUUAACAAAAAAAUUGUUCUUCAGAGAUAGAUUUUGAAAUUCUUAUUUUAUAUAAAAAAACACCUAAUAUUAAUCAUUCAAAUGAAAUUCCUAAAAUUAAGUAUAAAUAAUACAUAAUAAAAACUGAACACAUACAAUCAACGGUCACGAUCAUGAAAUCCUUCGGAUCCUCAGAAAAAAAUCCGACGAUGAUCUUUUUCUGUGUAAAAUAAUUUGAGGGUAUAAUACUGGAUGUGCGAUUAAACCGAAGAACCCACCCACCUCCAUCUUCUCCGACCAACUUGAACCCAGCCACUACUACAUGUCAUCCCGACAACCCACUCUCAGCUUCCCAAACCGCCAUUUUUCACCCAUUCACCUACCACUGCCAUUAUUCAUUCAAUCAACCCAAAACACGAGAGCCACCCCCAUCUCACCAGUCGAACAGAUGCAGCCACCCACCCAUUUAAUCCCAGUCCAAAAUCAAACCCUCUCCUAAACCCACCCCAGAAUCCAAUAAUUUCAAAAAAUGGCUGAUUAUAUCAUUUCAAGAACCUCACAAUUCCAAAAACUAAAAACCCACUUCAAAGAUGUAAUAUUUUUCUCUCUUCCUCUUUUUGGGUUUUUUUUUCUUUUUUUUUAUCAAUUCUCUUCUGGGUUUUUGUUUACAGUGUAAAAUCAACACUAAUUUACUAAUUUUGCUUUGAUUUCAAACACUAUUGAGGCGUGAUAACCUGUUGCAAGCUCAGCCAUGGCGGCUACUGCGAAAUCUAACGGAAAAACCAUCACAGACUCUGCCAUUUCAUCCAAGGUUCCGACAAUAGCAAAACGAAUAGCUGUCGCAGAUUUCUUCCAACAUCAAUCACUACGCGAAAUUAAUUGUCAAUGAAGACGAUCCCAUUCCCCUUCGAAAUCUGCUGGGGAAAGAGACCUUCUUUCAGAUCUGCUCUGAGACCGGUUUAUGCGAGAGAGUGGUGAGCCUGACGACAGAGAGAAAUAAGGGCAGGAUUGGAAAAUUGGAAAGUUCAUUUAUUGGUUACUGUUUAUCCGUGUUUCUUCGAAAUAAGCUGCUUUUUCCAGCUUUGGGUUUCAGUGUUUUUUAACCCAUAAUUUUGAAAGAAAAAAAACUG